This 91682-nucleotide long non-coding RNA is filed under the name Prunus persica (peach). Its description in RNAcentral is "long non-coding RNA (PPER_LNC001223)". The record is from RNAcentral. Lineage: Eukaryota; Viridiplantae; Streptophyta; Magnoliopsida; Rosales; Rosaceae.
GUUACAAGACCAAAAUUGUUAAUGAAAAUUAUAAUAUACACUAAGCUUUUUGUGAACCUGUACUUUAUACUUUGAAGAAAAACAAGUAAAGAAUCUUUUUUUUUUUUUUUUUUAAUUUUUAAAAUUUGGCAAAGUUGUUGUUUUCUUUUUAUUUCCUUACUUGGGUGGUGGGUAGUUUCUAGGCAGGAUCCUCCAGAAGACGGCAUAAAUCCACUGAGAGUUUUCAUGAAUGCACAAGCUUCUCAGGGUGUGUUGAAGCAGAUGAGUCACAGCUAAGGGGUUCAGAUGUUCUUCCAUCUCUUGGGCGUAUCUCUCAAUGUUUUCUCUACCUUUUUUUUUUCUAUUUCUCCUCUUCCAAUCUUCACCUAUCCUCCUUUAUAUAAUAAGCCUACCAACAUGUUCAUCUCUCAUUUAUACCCCUCUCUCUCUCUCUCUCUCUCUCUCUCAGUGUGGAAGACUACUGGAAGUAAAAUAAAAUUUUCUUCAACCUUUUUUUUUACCGAAGUGUUUCCUGAGGCCCCACCUUGUCUUUCUUGCAAUCCUUCAUUCAAAACUACUACUAAAAUUUUAUUUUAUUUUCUUGGUUAAGUCCUACCUCAUGAUCCCAAUUAUGUUAUUAUAUCAGCGAAACGACCAAACCUUAGUUUUCACAGACUAAAUGAUGGCAAGUAUUGACUAGCUAGCGCCCUUUCUUUCUCUCCAACCCCCAAUGGUAUUAUUAUCAUUCUGACUUUCUGACGCACUUACCAUUUGGUGUUCCCACUCAAAUUUCAGUUCCAUGAAAAACUUUCUUACCCUCGACCUUCAACACUGCACCGCCAUCAAGCUUAGUUAUUGAAGCAUGUUAUAAAAUUAACCAAAGAUUAUUUGAUGACCAACGAAAUAUCAUAAACAAAUAUAGGGUUCUGCCAAUUUCUGAUUUUCCUGUGGUGUUGAGGAAGGCACGGUAUUUGUGUACGUAUUUUUCUGCUGGUGUACGAUAGAUAGAUAUCUUGUUCAGUCAAAAACAAUGGGUGCUAGCUAUCAUUUAGGUUCGAGAAACCUUAGCCCACAAUACGUACAGAGUUGCAGUUCGUAUAGUAGUACUUGAUAUUGAUGCCCUACUCUUGCCACUUCAUAAUAAUGGCACUUUCCCAAUUACAAAGAGGGCCAGCCAGCCAUUAUUAAGCAUUUGCAGAUAAUAAGGUGGAAAAAAGCUGCUUUCUUGCUGGUUGCUGCCAUAGAGUUUAAAGAGUGCUUCUCUUAGUCUUUUAGCCCUCACUGAGACAAAGCCAUGUUACAUAUAUAAAAUGCUGAUCGACUAUAUAUUGCAUUCAUUAAUUAUAAGUUAUAACCAUGCAUCGAUUUCAAUCUCUCUCUCUCUCGCUCUCUCUCUCUCUCUCUCUCUCUUCUGUGAACAACAUGAUGACCAAGAGGAGCUAUCAGUGAUUUCAUUUCCUCACCCUCUCUCCCUGACACCAAGGAAAAUAUUGACAGAACAUUAUACUGUCCCUUUGACCGUCCUUUUCUUUUUUACAAGAAAGAAACCGUCGUCUCAUUAUAACACCGUGUAAUAAAUGUAUGCAUCAGUGUAAUUUACAGGAUAUAUAGCCAAACAUUUGUCACCUUCAUUGCUAGCCUUGAUAGUGACACACAUUGCUAUCUCCAUAAUUUUCCCUUUGGAUUCUUGUUACCAAGGCCAACCCCAUCCAUGUCUCUACUCAAUGAGAGAGAGAGAGAGAGAGAGAGAGAGAGAGAGAGAGAGAGAGAGGGGUGUUAUAAUUCAUAAAUGGGUUCUGUUAUAUUGUAGUUUUUGGGAUCUUAUAAUGCAUGAAUUCACGAUCCCUUUGCAGAGUAAAAUAUUAAUAUUGGGAGACAAAGUCUGAUGGUGGUGAUGUAAGCAAAAGGAGUGUGUUUUGGGGCAACAAUUGAAUGAGCUUUGGAUUUUAUUGGUGCUGGUGAUGGUUCUGGUCUACACUUUAUAUUGUUGUUUUGUUGAUUUUUGAAAAAGCAGUUCCAAAGAUUGAUAUUGGAGAAGUUGGUAUGGAAGCAAAGAAUGGCUCAAGAUAGAUACCAGUGGUCAAAGAUUAUUGGUGUUGAAAUUUGGCCCAUCCCUUUCUCCCCAUUAACUAGUGGAAUCUCUGCUCUUCCCAUCCCCCAUCCUUUUUUGAAUCCCAUUUGAUAUAUUUAAAUCUCUCAAUGUAAUGCAAAAACCAACAGAAUUAUUAAUUAACAAAUGGUGUUGCUUUGUGAAAAUGUAUAGUGAUAAUCAGACAAUAUGAGACAGUAUCUAGUAAAGCUCACUCUAAGGCAGGCAUAUGAUCUUCUUCUUCUUCUCUCCCACCACACAACUUUAGCAUAUUAUUAGUUAAUUAUUUUAUGAGAAAAGGUUGGUAUGUAUAAACAUCGGCAGCAGAGAAUGGCAGGGGAUCAAUGUAAUUUGAUAUUGUUUUGGAAUGUUUGAUAUUGUAUUAUAAUUCAGAUGAUGGGCUGCUGCAUUGGGUGGAUUGCCUCUUUUGUCUUAAAGAAGCAGAAACACUAAAUGCUCCUCAGUUAUUUGGUUUUGUUAGAAAGGGUUGGUUAUCAGCUUCUCUAGCUCUACUGUGAAUUUGUGAUGAAUGUCCAAAAAUCUAAAUUUCAGUGUUUCUUAGAGUGAUGAAAUGUCUUAUCCACUUAACAAGAUGAUUUGUUCUCACACUCAUAUAAAAAUGGCAUCCACAUUUCCCAACAUGCAUGUGUCACAACAAUACGGUGAGUUUUAAUUCUUUUUCUAGCAAGGCUUUGGUCCAUAUUUUUCAAAGUGAGAGGUACCUUUUGUUUUCUGCACAGUUAAUAAUUUCAAAUACAAAGCCAUAUUAGGGAGGAGGAACCGAAUCUAAGAUGAAGGAAACUAUACAUGAUUAGGGUGUGCCAUAAAAUCCAGAGGGGAAAAAACUCAAAAAAGUCCAGAGUGGAGGGGUUUUUAGGCUGUGACAGAAGUUGAUCAAAUGCAUGAAAAUACUGGGAAUUCUUCACCCUAACAUAGAAAAACUCCAAGGCAAUCACGUGAAGGCAUUGCCAGUGACAAUUUUGGGCUAUAAAAAAAGCUGUGUGUACAAAUCCAUAACGAAAAGGAAAAAGGAAGAGAUUAAAGAAAGAUAUCCCUUUUCUGGGUAGCUUUUGUAACCUUUUCAUUGCUGUAAAAUUGAGCCUGUAUUUCAAAGACAAAAUAUUCUUGGCUCCCACACACACACCACACCCAACUUUUACAUGUCAUCAGUGUUGCAAAAAGCCAUCCCAUAUAUGGUAUCAAAAAGUGGUCGUAAACUCAAACCUGCAAUCAAAAGAUGGAAGAUGCUCUUUCAUUCUGGACCGUCCAUCACAAGGGAAGGGACCAAAUAAUCAAAGGUGUAGAGACAGUAGAAUAUACAUCAGAUAUUGCAUUAGGCAUGUGCCUCUGCUCUGAUAAGAAGGUAAAAUUUCUGGUGGAAAAAAAAAGAAAUAUAAUGGUACAAGUUCUUGUUCUUGUAUAUCUUCACAAAGGGUUGAAUAUAAUUAGUUCUUUGAGGGGGAAAAAAAUAGGAAAAUGAAAACAUGCAAACAUGAUCAUUGGUGCUGCUGUGAAAGUCAGAGAAAGAUACCCAAUGUAUGCUUUUGUACUUGAAAGAAUGGAAAAUGAUUUAUCAUCACACUCUCUUUGAAGUCUGAAGCUUGGUCAAUCUAGUGGACGAUCCAUAUGAGGAUCCACCUACCGUUAUUGUGAGAUACAGAUGUUCUACACAUAAUAUAUAAUUCAAUCUUUGAAGGGACUUGCAAAGAUUUUUUCUCCAACGCUCCUUCAUAAUCAUCACCAUCCCUUUCACUAUCAGCAUGCAUCAGCAUCAAAAUUAAAGUGCCAUUGGACAACCAAGACACAACUAAUAUAAUAUAAUAUUAUAUAUAUACUGGUCCAUUUAUAAGCUGUAAGCAAUGUGACAUCGUGAUGUCUUUAAGGAAAAAAAAUUUCUUCUAACGAGAAUAGCACCGUUUUGUUAUUUCAAGCCAAUAACAUAUAAUGACAUGUUAAAAAGUUAUCCCACUUGUCAAUGUGUUAUUGAUUUAAAAUAACGAAAAAUAUUAUCUUAUUAUAUGAGAGUUUCUCUCGUCCUUGAGGGGCCUAAUUGAUUAAUUUCAUUAUUCACUUUGCAAGUACAUGUCAUGUCACAUGCAUUAAUUAAUUGAUUAAUAGGCAACUUUUGUCAAUAUUACCCGCUUAAGUUGACAAUAUUAUAAAUAUAGGCUUUGGUUGAUGGAAACAUGCAUGCACAGGAUCUUGUGUACUUUUAGGAGAAGGAAUUAGGGGGACAAUUAGAUUAUGCUAAUCAUUGGAUAUGAUCAAUUAAUGAUAAAUUAGUUCUGUUGUUAUACAUAUAUAGACAAAGUGUUAACAAAGGUUAAGUGAGAUACAUGCAUGGAUCGCCAUGAUUGCAUUCAAUUGAGUGGGGUUUGAAGAGAUGAUGCUAGCUUCUUUGGCUAACAGAAGGAUGAAAGGGACUAACAAUCAUAGAGAGAUAGAAUUGGCAUCUAAAGCUCUGCAGUUGAGGACACCAUGACUAAGAUAUGUGGGACACACAUGGAGAGAUUGGGACUUGAUCAAAUCACAGAGAAGCUGCCUCCUCAUCCCUUUUCUUCUCAAUCACCAAAACCCUCUCUUUUUCUCCCUCAUUUGUGCCCACAUGGAGACUUAUCAAAUCAAACACAAUUAACCUUCCAAUGCAUUCUCAUGGUAAUUAAUUCAUCUAACAAAUCAAAGACAGGUGGAGAUUUUAUAUUCCAAGUGAUUACAUGUAAAAAAAAAAAAUAAAGGCUGCUCUGCACUGCUACCAUCCAUCUUGAUUAAUAUUGCUAUAGUAUUUUUGACUUAUUGAAGCUCUCUUUACAGUUGGCAUGACACACAUAAAAACAUGGCCAUAGUGAAGUGAGAUGCUCCUUGUUCUCUACUUUGAAAAAGAAGCAGAACAUAAAGAUAUAAUUUUUUUGGCCUACAUUAUGCAGUAACAACAGAAGCAUGGAUUUUUCUUGAGGUGUUCAAAUUGGACUAAAUUCUUGUUUUUUCCUAUCAAAGUACUAUUGACCACUUUUUUUUAUUGUCAAUCUUUACAGAACAAACAUAUACAUGAUACAUGUUUACCUGCAUAAUUUGCAAACAAGUUUACCAAAUGAACAAAGGAACAUGGUGCAUGUAACUCAAGAAAGAUAAAAAAAGAAAACAUGAUACAUGUUUAUAAAAAAAUGGUUGCAUGUUGAGUUUGUUUGUGGUAGGUGCCUGCCUUGCAGAUGCUCUUAUCCAGUUAGGCCGCUAAGUUUGUACUGUGUGGGGCAUGGACCAAAGCAACUAAAAUAUGAUCCCACAUCCUCCCAAGUCUCAACAAUCCCCAUUCUAGAUUGUCCACCUUAUGGCCCGUUUCUUUGGACUAUAUGCUUGGGUAGGUAACAGUCAAUUCCCAAUCUUCUGAGACUUCGAUGAUAUAGGGUUCACGGCUGACGGAGUGGUUUAAAAUGUAGGGUUUAUGGGAGUUUGUAUAUGCGUUUAUAAAUAAUUGAUAGUUUGCGUGUAUACGCUUAUCAUUUUAUUUCACUUCAAAGUUAAUGUUCAUAUUUUCUUUUGGAUUGAAGGAAGUACCAUGACAUCAAUUUCAUCAUGUACCAAUAUUUUGAUUGUUUUUGAAUAAUGGUUAAAGCUUCUGUACUGGUUUCGUGAGAAAACAACAUUUAAUUAUGGAGGAAUGGAGAUCCAGUGAUAUGCCACUAUCAAAGCCCUCAAAGGGCCCCUCAUAUUGUACGUUUGCUCUCUCUCUCUUUGAAGCUUUUUUUUUCUUCCUUUAUUUGCGUCUGUCAGUGAAGGAAACAAGGGGGAAGGUAAUUGGUACUAGCAGCCAAUGGCUUGCACUGACUUGUCCUUCUCCGUGCCUCUGCUAGUGCUUGCAAAUAUCAGAACCAAAUUUUUUCAGAGACUUAAUUAUUGAUCCUAGAAUAUUUGAGAAUGAUGAAGAAUUGAAAGGGUUAAUUUAUCUUCUUAUUGUGCAUUUUCCUGGAGUUUUUUCUUAACCAAAGGCAGAAGUUUAUUGAAUCAAAAAGAUGCAUGUCCUUACCAAGUUUGCCUAUAUUUGAACACCGACUCAAAUGUCCUUUUCUCAUUUUAUCCUGUCUAUUUUCUUUUCCAAGUUCUAGGCAGACAGGGACAAUGUCCAAAAAUUACUGCUUUUUUGGCAAUCUUGUAUUAGACUAAUAUCAAAAGCUCCAGAACCUAAUUUGCUCUUAAAGGGAGAUUUUCCGGCCUACUUUACUGAUGGGCACAGUACAAUAUGAACUUUAGAGUGUGUGGAAUUUUAUGCAUUAGAGUCAAAUUGAGGCAAAAUUCAUGUGGCUUUUCCUCUCCAAAAUAAUUGCUCCCUCCCUCCUUCCCUCCCUCCAAUUAUUUCAGGUAAGCAUUGACAUCACCGUAUCAUCAUUGCCAAAUGCCUGCAGCAACCCCCACUUCAGUAUAGAAAUGCAACAUGGAGAGACACAUGCAUACAUACAUACAUACAUACAUACAUACAUACAUACAUACAUACAUACAUGCAUACAUGCAUGCACACAUCCAUACAUGCAUACUACAUAUGAAGACUGGCAUGUUCCAAUAGGAGGGCCGAGAUCAAAUUCAUUAAGAUUGUAACCUUAAAAAAACAGCCGGAGAAGCAGUGAGUAUGUUGAUGAUAAGUAACCCAUCAGAGAUCGCCAGGGAGCUAAGCUGCAGAGAAGAGCCCCAAAAGUGGUCAUUGUCGAUUUGUCAUUCAAACCAAACUAUAGGACCACCAGAUGGAGAACUAUGUUCUAUUGGUCCACUGCCUAAGCAUACAACUGUCUUGCAUAAGCUCAACCAGACUCACAUUCCUCCUAUAUGGUAAAUAGGUUCAAAUUUCAACACAUAAAGGUUCUCGCAUGCUGCUUCUUCUUGUUGUUGGUUUUUGUUUUUUAUUUUUUUUUGCCAAAGUUAGAAAGCAGAAGGGGAUUUUUCUUACACACAUAUUGACAAGAUGCCAUAUAGAUGUGAACCUGAGACCACCGAUCAUCAAAUCAAUACUAUUUUUCAUUAGGUUAGACCCCUGUAUGAUCAACCCCUGCUGCAAACUAGAACAGUAAUGCUCUUAAUUUGGCAUUAGAAACACAAAAAGAAUGAUUACUGAUCAGAUUUAGUACUCCUUACUUAUAAAAUUUGAAAAACAUUAGGAAUUUUAUUUUUACACUUACCAAGUUGGACCAUGCAGACGCAGAGAGCUGCCCCUGAGGGUUGAUUGUUGCAUCUCUGUGGCCUUCCAAUCAGCCCUUCCUACUGCAGGGGGAAGACCCAAAAGUUGGGAAACUAAAAAGGCUUGGAAUACUGAGAGUCUGAUCGCUAAAGGCUUGGAUUUACAGACUAGCAGCCGCCUUCAUGGUAGCAGGAAAAUAUUAAACAAGUUCAUGGGCCACUCUAGAUAAAGGGAUAAACUUUCUGGCAAGGAAAUAAACAUGGUCUCAGUUAAAUUUAAACUAAGGCCUCUUGUUGCGAGUGCUUUCAUGGGCAAAGCCCAAGAAGAAAAGAAGAUGGUCCCACAAACACAAUUGCUAUCUUUCUCUGAGCCACAAAAAAAAAACAGAAAGAAACAUCCUCAUGCCUUACCGCUCAGACUAUAAUGAGUGGAAAGUUAUAAGGGGUAAGUUAUAAGGGGUUCACUUUAUAGUCAUCAGAUCAAUUCAAGGGCUGGGGAGAAUUGAGAUAAAGUUUUACAAUCGGGUAGAUGAGGAACCCAAACCCGAAUUUAAUAUCCAGCAGGUCCGAAAAAAAAGAAGAAGAGGCAAGUUCGAAGUUUGAACAUAAAAAACUCAUCGCUCUAAAACACAUAGCUCUGAGAAACCACUAAGCUAUGAGAAACGGUUGAAGGCAACGGUUAACGAUGGUUGAAGACAAUGGUUGAACGCCACUUCGUUCUCCAAACCCUAAAAAAGUAUUUAUUUUGAGUGGAAGGGGCAAAGGUGUGGAUUCCGAAAUAGUGAAGGGGCGAAGCAGUGGAAGGGGAAGGAGAGAAGCCGUAUUCGUUGGAAGUGAUAGGUUCCAUUUGUGGAGCAAAGCCGCACAAAGACCCCGCACAGACACCUUGCGAUUGUUCAAUAACCAGCAUUUGGUGAGUAAUUUAUGGAAUUUGAGUUUAGGGUUAGAGUAACGGUUUUCCCCAAUUUGUACCAUCAAUGUUGUUGAAUUUGGCAUCUCUUCUUUGUGCUUCACUUGCAUGUUAAUUUUUACUUGGGUAUAUGUUAAAAAACGAAUGAAAAUCAAGUCAAUAACAUGUCAAUAAUGAUAUGAAUAAGAUAAUGGUGUUGAAUUGGAGGAGGCCCUCAAAACCUUCCACAUUUGAAGCAGUGCAUAGUGCAGAUUAUCUCUCUGGCGCUAGAAUAUAUAUAGUUUUUGAAAUAAAUAUUAUUUCCUUUGUUACUAAAUUUGCUUGAGAAAAAUGAGAACAGAUAAUAAUAAACUCAUGAAUAAAAGUGCAAAGCAUUUGAUGAGUAAUUUAUGGAAUUUGAGUUUUGGAUUAGAAUAACGGUUUUCCCCAAUUUGUACCAUCAAUAUUGUUGGAUUUGGCAUCUCUUCUUUGUGCUUCACUUGCAUGUUAAUUUUUGCUUGGGUAUAUGUUAAAAAAAGAAUGAAAAUCAAGUCAAUAACAUGUCAAUAACAUAUCAAUAACAUGUUAAUAAUGAUAUGAAUAAGUUAAUGGUGUUGAAUUGGAGGAGGCCUUCAAAACCUUCCACAUUUGAAGCAGUGCAGAGUGCAGAUUACCUCUCUGGCGCUAGAAUUUAUAUAUAUUUUGAAAUAAAUAUUAUUUCAUUUGUUACUAAAUUUACUUGUGAAAAAUGAGAACAGAUAAUAAUAAACUCAUGAAUAAAAGUGCAAAGCAUUUGAAGAUAAAGGUUGAUCUAUGAUGAUUGUGGCUGACUGAAGAAAAAGCUAGAAAGAAAGAAGGAUGUGGCAAUGGCUUAGCAAGCAGAUAGUAGAGCAGAUGCUUUGCUUUGCUUCCUUCCACCAUAUUUCUUAUUUAUUUAUUUAUUUAUUUUGUGUUAUGUAUGAGAUGAAAAUAAUUGUCAUGUGUGUGAAGUGCAGAAUUUGCCUAGAUUGCACUCACACUCACUCAUGCAUCAACCAUUGAUUAUAGUUUGGAUCUAUAAAUAAAACACAUGAAAUUGUUUGUAAUUCACAGAAUCAUUGCAUUAAUAGGUAUUUGCACAAAAUUUGUCAUAUUGCUUUGAUGAUGUUAAAGCCUGUGAUCAGUAAUCCCUAUGCGCAUGUACUUUGUAAAAUUUGUAAUGUGCCUGGUUGACUAGUUGUGUAAAUACCAAUGUGAUUGUGCAAAUAUGUGGUAGUAUAUGUGUUCACGUUAUUUCAUCUUGUAUUUCAAGAAAUGGGAUCCAACAUGGAGCUGGUAUGGCUAGAGUCAGAGGCAUAUUCGUCACGGGUGAACAACUGCUCACAUGCAAAUUCAUCCAUAGCUACAAUUCGAGCAAAGUUGAGUGCCGAACAAUUAGAACAAUUCAAGACAUCAUGCUUUGGCCAUCUUCUGAAUAUAGAUAAGAUUCAGUUUAGCGGGCAGAUUGUGCAUGAGGUUGUGUUGCGUAGAGUAAUGGGGUAAGGUGUGAAAGACUUGGAUGGACUGAGUUUCUUAAUAGGGUGCGAGGUUGCUCAGUUCACUCGUCAGGAUUUCUGCUUGAUCACAGGGCUUCUUUUUGGAGAAGUGCCUGAAGUUUCCAGUGGAGAAAGUGAUGAAAUUAGACUUCAGAAAAGAUAUUUUAUAGACGAAGGAAUUACAUGUAAUGCUUUAGAAGAAGCAUUUUUGAGGUGCAUAGAGGAAGAUGACAUCUACAAGCUAGCUCUUGUUUACUUUGCUGAGUUAGUGGUUUUGGGAAGGGACAAGCAUUUGAACAUCAAUCUAAAUUACCUGACCCUUGUAGAGGACUUGGAUGCGUUCAACAGGUAUCCGUGGGGUUUGGUGUCCUUUGACAAAACCCAAGACAAUCUAUUUUAUGCACCAGCAAAGUAUGUGAAAAGCUUUGAAAAUGAAGAAGGAAGAGGGAAGGGGAAAAGUAAGGUAACGGGAACAAGCCGGAAAAAUGAGAAGGGUAAGAAGGAUAAGCAUGGUGAAGUGCAAAGGGGUGGCUGGUGUUUUAAAGGUUUCAGGUAUGCUUUUUAGGUACAUGGUAAUAAUGUUUAUGUUAGUUAUGUUUUGUGGACUUUAAAACUUAAAUAAUGAUUUUUGUCCUGUGAAUUGUGUAGAUUUGGGUAUAUGAAUUAAUUCCUAGAAUGGCGGACCUGAAUUACUGCAAGGUUGUUGAUCCGACAGUUGUCCCACGUAUUUUGCGAUGGAGAACUACUACGUCUGUUCCCGAGAUGAGAAAGUUGAACAAUUAUUUUUUCCAGAGCAAAGAGGUUUGGUUUGCAACCUUGGAACUAUUUAUAAGAUUCAAUGAAAUUAUGAAGUAGAAUGAUUGAAUAUGACUCUUGUCUGUAUUCUGAAACAGUCAGUUUAGUUGCAGGCGCUAUGUCCGAGUGAAGAGGAAAUGAGACAACCAUAUUGGAGUUGGCCACAGGAUCGCCCUGCUGUUGUCUCGGCAAAGUCAAUUCCUUCUUCAUGUGCUAACCUUGAUGAGUUGAACAAGGUGGUAAGCUUGUUGAGGUCCGAGUUGUUUCAGAGUAAAGCGGGAAAAAGACGUCCUUGAGUUAAAGGUCAUACGGAUGGAAAAACUUUGUUUAGGUCCUCAGUUUGAGCAGGAAGUAAGGAGGGACCUAGCUUUACUGAAAGAGCGGACGAAUCGUUGUGCCAUCUCACAUCUAUUUAAGGGAAGUGAGGAAAUGGAUGACAUUUAAUAGGAUGAAGGGCCAAGUAACAGAAAUGAGGGAAAGGAAAAGGAAGAUGAGGGGAUUGAAGGGGGUGAAGUGCAAAGAAAACCAAGUGAGGUAGAGGAAGCUCAAAGGAAAAGAAGUGAGGGAGAGCAAGUGAAAAUAAAAAGCAGCAAGGGAGAGGAAGCGUAAAGAAAGAGCAGUGAGGGAGAUGAUGUGAAAAGAAAAAGUAGUAAGGGGGAUGAACUGCAAAGAAAAAGCAGUAAGGGAGAGGAUCUGCAAAGAAAAAGAAGGGAGGGCAAGGAAGUGAAAAUACAAAGAAGUGAGGAAAAGGAAGUGUAAAGAAACCAAUGUGAGGAAGAGGAUGAUGAAGUUAUGUUGCUUGGCGAUGACAUUGGCGAGAGCACGGAGGGGACAAAGGUUGAGUUUACUCUCGGGGAUAUUGAUUUGGAUCAACCUAUAGCUGUGCUAUCUCAGUUGAACGUUUGGUUGAAUGAUGAAGGUAAAGCUGUGGAACAAGGGGUCCAAUUACGGAAGAGGAAGAGGAUCAUUCUUAUGUGGAAGAUCAUUGAAGCUAAUGAAUUGGUUCAAAAAACUCUGCCAGAGACAAUCCGACUUCGGAUGUUAGACCCAAUGAAGGCGAUUCCGCAUGAUGAUAUGGUGGAAUUGCUGAAACUUUGUUGGGAAUGGCGCCAUAACCCAAAGUAAGUCCCUUGUUUUUUGAGAUAGAAGACAUGAGUGUAUAUAUUUUUUAAUUGUUGUGUUCUAAAACUUUUUUAUAUUCAUAGUUUGAUGAUGCAAUUUGGCAACGUGAAAGCUGAGAUUGAAUUCUUCGCUUCCCUCGUCAAAGCUGACGGUUGGUUGAAAGGAGAUGUAAAUUUAAUUGAUUAUGCAUUUAUUUUAAUGUACAUAGAUUAUGAGAUUGAUAAGAAAAACAUGUGCAGCAUAUUGAUUUGGGGUUGUAUCUCAUCCGGAAGCGACAACAAGAGUUGGAGGAAGUAGAAAUAUCGGACUGGACAACGACCGAUGUAUUUUUUAUGGUAUGUCAUAGGCUUUGACCAAGUGCAGUUAAUAAUUACAAAUUAUCCAUACUUGCUUUGUGGAGGUGUUUAACCAUUGAUUGUUUUCUAUUUCACAGAAUCACAUUCAUACUUGCUUUGCGGAUAAUAAAGGAAAAAAAGAGCAGGUUGGGUGGAAAAUUAGAAACAGUUUACUGAACGUUGUAAAUGGCAAGGUUCCGGCGUGUGUGAUGGAUUGGCAGAACGCGUAUAAGGUGUAUGCCCAUUGUAUGUUGACGAAGUACAAGUAUUGGGGUGGCUGUAAUGAUUGAUCUGGUUAAGUGUGAAAUCAAAGUGUACGAUUUAAGGGUUUCACUUAUUCCAGAUGAGAUCUUAAAGGAAGAACUCGCCUCGCUUUCAAUUACGAUUCCAAAUCUUCUCAACACCAUCGACUUUUAUGAAGAAGAUGUUUACGCAAACGAUUGCAGCCGAGAUUGGUGGUGUCCGUGGCCAAUAGAACGUGUGGAUGUUCCACAACAGUCUAAUCAGUGAGCACAACUUUUUAUUUAAUUUUAUUACUUUAAAUUUUCAAUUACGUUAGAAUGUCAUUGGUUGAGUUGAUCAAGUUCUUGUUUUGCUUUAGAAGUGAUUAUGGCAUGUUCGUGUUGAAGUACAUUGAGCUUUUGAGCGCUGAGAUUCCGUUAGCUACUUGCACCUCGCAGAACUUGCCCUUUUUUCGGUUGAAGUUGGCUGCAGAGAUAGCACGGGGACAUGCUUACAUGCCAUGAUAUUGGUUGAACUUGGUUUAGGUACAUGAUGAUUAAAUAGGUUUUGGGAAUGUCCAAUUUCAAACUCAUGUAAAUACACAAUAGAGACCCAGGGGUCCUUUUCGAAUUCUACCUUUGCUCCUCAAUUCUUCUUCAUCUUUCUCAAUCUUAGUGUAUUUUGGUACAUAAUUUUAGGUUUAAGUUAUUGGACAAUAACAAUUAGAACCAAAAUAGUGGCAAAUAUUAUAGCGGAUGCAUGUUUUCAUUUCGAUUAGUGUUAUACUACGCUACUUUUAUUCUCAUAUUGUGCUAAAUGUAUAUGGAGCUAGAUGCAGAGCAUAGACAGAAAAAUGAAGAAUCUGAAAUGAAGAUGCUGAGGCUUGAUGAGGAGAAAAGUAAAUGGAUCUAUAAAUCUAUUGCACGUGGGCUAUCUAAAUGGAUAGGCAGAUGAGUUUUUGAAGUUAGACACAUGUCAUUCCUAUACAUAGAAUGUGCAUCUAGAGUGUAAAGUUUUUUUGGAUUUAAUGAAACAAACAUCUGUGUAAUAUUGACCUAACUCCUUCACGAUAUUUACAUAACCUUAACCAAAUUACAUUGAAUUGGAAUUUGAAGACUGCAUAUGUGAAUUGGGAUUUGAAGAAUGCAUAUGUGAAUGGGGACUGAUGACUUUUUAAGUGUAUUACAUCAUUGCAAAGUGAUAUAUCAUCAUUUAUGCAAGCCAUCAUUCCAAAUAUCAGAUCCCAAUCUUUAAGCCGUUCAACAUGCCUUGACUUAAUUGCAAUUGGUUGCAUGUUAAUAAGGUAAUUUUGUAAGGGGAAUAAUUGGCUAUGGCCUCGCAUCCAAUGUUUUAUUCAACGAUGCCCUCUUUAUAGAAACACAUGAAAAAAUAUCCCCAGGUGCAAUGCUAUAAAAACUCCCUAUUAGUUCCGUACCGCCCCUCGGGUUUGAAUCCCUCUCUCCUUUAUAAUCGGUUAAUAAAUUCGUUGAUGUUCUUUAUUUUAUUGGUUUUGGGCAGCUGAGUAGCAUAAAAAUAAUGUAUAUUGGUGCGUCUAUAUUGCAUGUCUGUUGCAUCUAUAUUGCUUCUCUAUUGCGUGCAUAUCUUACAUUUAUUGCGUGUAUUGAUUGUUUAUUGCUGACGAAGGAAAUAAACAACAAUACACAGGCAACAGACAAGCAAUAUACACACAACAGACACGCAAUAUACACUCAAUAGAUAUGCAAUAUACACACAAUAGACAUGCAAUAUACAUCAGUCCCCAAUUACACCAACCAUAAGGAAGUCGUAUUGAAUAGAAAAUUCUACUUAACAGUUGUUCUUCCUACUAAAAGAAAGAAUAAGGACCGUUUCCCCUAUUAAAUCUAACUCCUUAAAUCUUACUUGAGUGGUACUUUUGCCCUCAAUAAACAUGCAAUAUUGGAGCAAUAACAUGCGAUAUACAUGCAGUAAACAAUCAAUAAACCUUCAAUAAACAUUCAAUAUCGAUUCAAUAACAUGUGAAAUACAUGCAGUUAACAAUCAAUAAACUUUCAAUAAACAUGUAAACAAUCAAUAAACCUUCAAUAAACAUUCAAUAUCGGAGCAAUAACAUGCGAAAUACAUGCAGUAAAUAAUCAAUAAACCUUCAAUAAACAUUCAAUAUCAUGCUAUUUACAUGUAGUACACAAUAAAUAAACUUUAAGUAUACGCAAAUAAACAAUUUAUAUACACUGAAUAACUAUGCAAUUUUCAAAAAAAAUGUAUUGUCUUAUUAUUGCAUCGUAUUGGCCCUGUAUUAUGAUUUUAUCGUAUUCGUAUGACUUUAUUUUUUUUAAGUAAGUCUUGAAAAGUUUUUGCUGGGUUUCAGACAAAUAAAUGAUUUUGUUUCGAACAGUAAUUUAAACUCAAUGUCAAUCCACUUAUUUCAAGAAUAAAAAUUACAAAAUGGGUUUGAAAACUCAUUGGUGGUGAGUGCAAUAUGUCUUUUUGGGGAGAACUUUUACAAUUCUUGAAACCGUGCCCUUAAUUGGUCAUUAAAAGAACAAAUAAUAUGACAAUUGAUACAACUAAUAAAACUAAUACCAAGUCCUUAAUGGACUUCAGCAUAUUCAGCAGUGUAGCAUCAUACGUGUCAUCUUGCUGUUCUGCUUCAGCGGAGGUUACAUCAACCCAUUCGAAUCCAUUGCAACUGGUGGCUCCCUAAUUGCAGGCAUCAUAUAUGCAAAAUAAUUCUGUCAGAGUUAGACAUAGGUUUUUUCACCCACAUAAAUAUUCUGGAAAUGAAAACUUACAUAGGAGGUUAGACACUUCCAAAAUGGCUUCCCUCGAUUUUUAUCUGAUUUUGAAACCCGAAGCAUCAUUGCAGCUCCACAAUACUGACACCUCUUUGUUUGAGCGGGAGAUGAAGACGAAGACAUGUUGAAUCUUCUCACUUGUACCUCUUCUCACUCAAAUCUUCUCACUGAAACCUCUUCGGACUCAUACCUUCUCACUCAUAGUUCUUAGUCAUACCUCUUCACUCAUAACCCUAAACUUCUCACUCAACUCUCUCUCAUCUCUGCCCAAAUCGAAUUUUAUUAUUCUUUUCUGUGUGUGGGUGGGUUGGUCACGAUCUGGACACCUGUACUGUUAGAAUUGUAGCACCUUUUACCCCGAAAAGUAAUAUAAUAUUUCACUACCAAAUAUAUUAAUUUGAAAAUGGAGGGGACACUGCUUUAAAUAUAUUAUUUUAUUUAUAAUUCAUUAAGGCAACUAGUUGGAUAAGAAUCCAUAAUCAUUGGUUCCAUUUUAAUAACAUUAUUAAGGGUAGUUUGGUGUGGGAAAAUGAAAAAGUAUCUGAUGAGACCUUCUGUGACUAGUCAGUAAUCCAUCACAUUUGUAUCAAUGAAUUUGAUGGCAGGAAAAUCCUAAAAAUGGCUAUGCAAAUAGGUUAUUAAUUGACUUUUUGCCUGUCUGACUCUUUUUGCAUUUCGAUGACGUUUUCCCUUCUCUUGUCUUGAGUUUUAGGGUGUUGGGUUCAAUUUCUUUAAAAAUGGUCAACUUGAAAAAAUCUCAAGUGAAAACACCUUCUCAAAACACUACAAACAGAGGAUAAAACAAAACCAAAACCCCAUAUAUUCUCAUUUCUCCCCUCUUCCACUCCUCAAAUCGUUCGAUUCUAAAAACAUUUCAAUGAAUUCGAAACAUUUCACUACACUCGGAGGAAAGAGAAGAAAGCAUCUCCAUUUGGAUAUGCCCCAAGCCUUCAUCCUGGAGUUAGCUUGGUUUAAAGAGAUGUUAUACGUGGCAACCCAAUCAUCGGAAGAUCUCUUCCGUAUGGCAUCUGUGUGCCCAUUGUUCCAUACGUUGGCAAACACUCCACAAGUGUGGAACACUAUUUCAAUGGCAAAGUACCCAAACCAUCGUAGCUGGUACCAUGCCAAUCAUGCGGUCCAGUAUUUCUUGCAACAAUGCAGGGCUUGCGAGAACCUUGAGUCGAUAUUUAGAGAAGCGUUCAAAGUGUUUUUCAUGCAGGGUAACGUGGAAGUGUUGUAUGAGAUGCGCAUUGCAGCCACGACAGGCCAUAUGGAAGCGGCAUAUCUAGUUGGACUACUUGGCAUGUCCAGAAUUGGUCAGUCCAAAGAGGAUGCAUUAGAAUUUUUGUGUUCUUUGAAUCAAUGUAACAACAUUGAUAUGAAAGGAACCAGAGAUGCUUUGAGAUGUAGAUUAAGCCGAGUUUUCUCUAUUGCAAAACAUAUAGUAGAUAUGUUUUACUAGGGGAAGAUUAAGUUCAAUCACUGCCGCGCUUGUAACAACAACGAAUGAUGUUUUGUUAUUCAAGGCUGGCCUACUGAAGAAAAGAUAAAUCCUGCCUUCUGGACUUGUUGCAAUCGAUGCAAAUGGCACAGUGAGAGUGUUUUUUGGUUCAAGGUGAUGCCUGUGUAUGUUGUGCCAGGGAAUCCAUACCCUUAUAAUUAGUUGUAGUAUGUUUUUACGGUUUUAAUGCAUUGUGGACUUGCUUCUCUUCAGUUCUAGGUUGGCUGGCUACGUUGUACAAUGUUGUUUAAAUAUUUAGUUUUAAUCUAUUUUGUCUGGUGUUUGUGCUGUCAUAAACGUUUUAUAUAUAAAUGUAUAAUAUAUAUAUAUAUUAUAUAGUGGAAUGAUUACUGACAUCAUAGACGGCUACGAAUGACAUUUUACUGACACAUAUUUUGCACAACUGCAAUCUUAAUAUUUGGUAAACGAAAAGUCAUACAUGGAGUGAGUAGGUGUCUUUUCACCGGUGCUUGGGAAUGACAUUUUCCCACUUAGCAUAUCCCAAAUGAUUUGGUUAUAUGUUUCUUAAGCAAAACUUGAACAGUGAAUGACUUUGAAUAAUUUUUUCAUGAUGUUGUAGAAUGGAUGGCUUGUAUAUUUUCAUUUUAUUUUUCAAAAUAUCCCUUAAACCUAAAAAAGAAAAAAAAAUUAACAAAUUGAAGAAGAGAGAAACUGAUUAGCACCAGAAAUGGUUUAUUCGCAUGCAAAAUAAAAAUAAAAAUAAAAAUAAAAAUUUAGAGUAAAUAUAAUUAACAAAUGUACAAGCUAAAAAGUAAUAUGAUGAUAAUAAUAAUAAUUUAGGAUAAAUAAUAAUAUAAUACUUAUGUAGCGUAACCAUAAAACAGGGAAUUCAGUCGGAAGAUGAAGUCCCAAUGAGUUCGUAGCAAUUUUCGGAACAUUAUUGUGAUUUUUGUGUAUUUAGUUAUGAAUUUUCUAAGAAAAAGUAAUAAAAUAAUAAUUUAGGGUAAAAGGCAAGGAUGUGGCCAUGUUGACUGACGUACACUUGUGCAAGUGGUGAAAGGUGACGGGCUGAGAUUUCGUCAGGUGUCAUCUUGCAAUUAUUUUAGCUUUUUUAGUGCAAAAAUCUUUGAAAAAAAGGUAAUAAAUAGUAGGAAAAUCUUAAAAAUGCCCCGAAAAUUACCCCGGCCUCCUUGUGAUGUUAUAAAACUAGGGGAACCUAUAAAUCAUCCGUUUCACAAUAAAAAAUCCAAAUUGUUUUAGAUAACUCACUUUCAUCUUAACCAUAAGUAUAUAUGUUUGUUAACUUUAACAAGCAUAACCUACUUCAACAAGCAUCUCCCGUUAAUCUUCGGAAUUAUUUUUAAAAUGCGUAACCAUGAAUUGGAGAAUUCAGCAAGGGAGAUGGAGUCUCAAUGAGUUCGUAGCAAUUUUCAGAUCAUUUUUCUAAUUUUUGUGUAUUUAGUUAUGAAUUUUUUUAAGAAAAAGUAAUAAAAUAAUAAUUUUGGGUAAAAGGCAAGGAUAUGGCCAUGUUGACUAUGUACACUUGUGCAAGUGGUGAAAGGUGAUGGGCUGAGAUUGCGCCAGGUGUCCUCUUGCAAUUAUUUUGGGUUUUUUAGUGCAAAUUUUUUUGAAAAAAGGUAAUAAAUAGUAGGAAAAUCCUAAAAAUACCCCGAAACUUACUCAAGCCUCCUUGUGAUGUUAUAAAACUAGGAGAACCUAUAAAUCAUCCAUUUCGCAAUGAAAAAAAAUUCAAAUUGUUUUACAUGACUCAAUUUCCUCUUAACCCUAAGUACAUAUGUUUGUUAACUUUAGCUUUAAUAACCUACUUCAACAAGCAUCUCCCGUUAAUGUUCGAAAUUAUUUUUUAAAAUGCGUAACCAUGAAUCGGGGAAUUCAGCAAGGGAGAUGGAGUCUCAAUGAGUUCGUAGCAAUUUUCGGAUCAUUUUUCUAAUUUUGUGUAUUUAGUUAUGAAUUUUCUAAGCAAAAGUAAUAAAAUAAUAAUUUAGGGUAAAAGGCAAGGAUGUGGCCAUGUUGACUGACGUACACUUGUGCAAGUGGUGAAAGGUGAUGGGUUGAGAUCGCGCCAGGUGUCCUCUUGCAAUUAUUUUGGCUUUUUUAGUGUAAAAAUCUUUGAAAAAAGGUAAUAAAUAGUAGGAAAAUCCUAAACAUGCCCCGAAAAUUACUCCGGCCUCCUUCUGACGUUAUAAAACUAGGGAAACCUAUAAAUCAUCCAUUUCGCAAUGAAAAAAUCCGAAUUAUUUUACAUAACUCACUUUCAUCUUAACCCUAAGUAUAUAUGUUUGUUAACUUUAACAAGCAUAACUUACUUCAACAAGCAUAUCCCAUUAAUGUUUGGAAUUAUUUUUUAAAAUGCAUAACCAUAAAUCAAGGAAUUCAGCAAGGGAGAUGGAGUCUCAAUGAGUUCGUAGCAAUUUUCGGAUCAUUUUUCUAAUUUUUGUGUAUUUAGUUAUGAAUUUUCUAAGAAAAAGUAAUAAAAUAAUAAUUUAGGGUAAAAGGCAAGGAUGUGGCCAUGUUGACUGACGUACAAUUGCAAGUGGUGAAAGGUGACGGGUUGAGAUUGCGGCAGGUGUCCUCUUGCAAUUAUUUUGGCUUUUUUAGUGCAAAAAUCUUUGAAAAAAUGUAAUAAAUAGUGGGAAAAUCCUAAAAAUGCCCAUAAAAUUACUCAAGUCUUCUUGUGAUGUUAUAAAACUAGGGGAACCUAUAAAUCAUCCGUUUCGCAAUGAAAAAAUCCAAAUUAUUUUUACAUAACUCACUUUCCUCUUAACCCUAAGUAUAUAUUUUUGUUCACUUUAACAAGUAUAUUUCCUUAAUAUUCGUUAUAUAAUUUGUAAUAAUACAAGAAUUAGUUUCCUUUCAUAUAUAAGGAUGUAAAAUUAUCUGUUUUGUUAUAAUAAUGUACAUAUAUAAUAAUUGCACAUGAUUUGAAGCCAUCAUUGCAACUGCGCUUAGAGCUUUGAACAUGUUAGAGGUAUUCAAUAAGUUGUCCAUAUGACACCGCAUUGGGAACCAGUAAUAUAUUUUCUAUCAUGUCCAAUCACAUAAAAUAAUGCCAUACUUUUUCUGAAAAACCUCACACCAGUCAAGCAAUUUUAAAAUAUUAGUGAAUAUUUGUCCUAGUCUAUAUGAGUGAUUAUAUAUUCACUCUGCAUUUUUUUCCACAGUAUAUGUUAACUUUGAGUGGGAUUCCACAAACAUAUAAUAUAAAGAAAGAAAGCAAUAGUAGGAGAUGAACCAGUACAAAAAACAAUAUAUAAGUGGUACAUAAUAAUGCCAUAACCUUGUCACAAACGCACUCACAAAUACUUUUCCAUAAACCUUGCCCUAACAUAUAAUAAAUAAAGGCAACAUUGCAUAUGAUGCAACCAUGUCCAAAUCUGAUACGUGAUAAAUAAAAAAUGGACAUGGCAGCAACAUAUGACUGAAGUAGAUGGGCCCUUUGCAUCUCGUGUUAUCGUAGUUAAAGACACCAAAAUAUUAAGGUUGAAAUCUUUCAUAGCAGUAAGCAUCAAAAUAGGUUUGAAGCAGAGUUUAACGAAAAUUCAAAUUCCACUGAUUUGCCUAUGCUCAAAGACGAGAACCAAAAUGGUUACUUCCCUUGCUGAGUAUAUUUGUUAACGUCGGAAAAGGUAAUAGAUGACCAAUCAAACCCGGGUACUACUAGUUUUGCAUAGGAUCGGAAGUAGUCGAAUCCAGCUUGCAUCACACGCUUUUUUGACUCCACUGCAUUCGAUGAGUUAUUGUAUUUUUGAACAGCUACACUUCGAAGUCAUUUGUGUCUACGCUUCAUGCGUUGCAACUUCGCCCUAUCCAGAUUGGCAUGCCUUUUGUCAUCUUCAAUUUGGCCUUCAACAAAUUCCAAAUGUGCCCUUGCCCUUUGGAUUUCAUCACCAAGUUGAAGAUGCCUCUCCUUCCAGAAAGCAAGAAUUCUUUCAGACUCAAAACUUCUAAUAAAAUGGUCAUUCUGUCUAGGAAUGUGACAUUGUUUGUCUGGUGACUCACUUGCGUUUCGAAGGCGGUCUUUGUUUGGAAGGGUGUUUAUUAUGCUCACAUCAAACUUGGUUAGUAAAUCCAUUCUAUGGGGGGAGAGAGUUUUUGUGGAGGAGAGAGUUUCAGUAGAUGUAGACAGAUUCGGUGGAGAGGAGUGAGUUUUUUGUGGAUGGAGAAUUUCUAUGAAAGGGGUGAUAGUAAUACCAAUAAAAGGGUUCCUGCCAAAAAACAUUUGGUUGACAAUAUAUAAAUUAAUUUUUAGUCUGAUACAAUCUAAGUUUAAUCCUAACUAGUUUGGUUAGUUUGGUUGGGUUCACUAACUAGAUGUCACUUCUGUUGAGUUUCUUUCAACCACUAACAGUGGUGUAAGGAGAGUGUGAGGUUGACAUGCUUGAAAAGCAAAACCUGACACCUCUUUUUUAAAAAUUGAAAGAAAGUACAUAUGUUGACUACGCAUAAGCUUUGGUAUGUUGGUCUAUAAAGCUAUGUUGCCUUUCUCAAAUGAAAUUGCAUAUGCAAUCCUCAUCCUCCCAAAACAAAUAGGAUUAUUCAAGCAUGUCAACCUCUUCAGGCGCCAACAACACAAUCGAAAAUGAAAAAUUGGAGUCGCAGGUUACAUUUCCACGUUGUACUCGCCGACCUCUUUCAUUUUCAACAUCAUUUGGGAGUAGGGGAGGGGGACUCUGAUGAUCCAUUAGAGGCAAUACAUGCAGUCAAUAGCAAGCUGGAUUAUAAUUCCAGAUUGAUGAAUUCAUGGCACGAGAAAUGUGUUGACGAUGAGGUCAUUUUGGAUGAUCUUAACAGUAGAGUGAACAAAGUGUUCUCCUAGAAGAACAAGUACUUGAAGCUAAGUGAUAAAUGGAAGCUGAAAGCUGAGGAGUUAGAUACAGUAAUGAAUGAUGAAAUUAAAGGUUGUUUGAUGAACCAUAUGCAAUGCGAGGAGCACCACAGUGAAUUGGAGUUGGCAUUCAAUGAAGGAUUCGAAAAAUUCUGAGCAUUUGCGGCAACUACUCAUACAAGUUAAAAUUGGGACUAUGUGUCCCCUGAUGCUGUGAGAGAGAUACUAGACGAUGGUGGUGACAUGAAUGAGCAUAAGCAUGUCAAAGCUGCUCAAAAGAAGCCGACCGAUACGAUUAAGUGAUUGCGGCUACUGCUGUUCAGUUGGUUGGGGGUGAUCGUGGUAUUGCACAAAUUAGAAGUAUAUUCCCUUAAUGUCAUUAUCUAAUUUAAAAUAACACAAAUAUCAGUUUCAUUUGCUUCAUAUAUAAUUAUUGGGACUAUGUAUUGCAAGUCAUCAUGUGUUUCUUUUGUCUAACAUUAUAUUUUGCAAAUAUCAAAAUAUUAUUCAAUAAGCAGUCAAUAUCACAGCACGUUGGGAAUCAGUAAAGCCCUAUUAUCAUGUCCGUUCACAUUAAAGAGCUGGCGUACUUUUUCUCAAAAAACUGACACGUGAGUCAUAAGUAACAUAACAUGUGCUAUACAUUGUGUAGUGAAUGGUUUAUGGUUUAUUUAUAUAUAAUAAAAUUUCAAAUAUUGUUGAAUAUUUAUUUCGUCUAUAUCAUUGGGGACAUGAGUGACCAUAAGCACGUGAGACCUGCUAAGAAGAAGCUGACCAAUACAACCGAGGGAUUGUAGCUACUGUUGUUCAGUUGGUUGGGGAGAUCGUGCUAUUGCUAAGAGGGAGCACAUAAAAUACUUUGCAAUCAAAUUUUCUUUUGUGUGUGGAAUAAUGAGUAGUUCAAUUGUUAGUGUACCCUUUAAUAUUCUCCAACCGUUCGAAAUGUGAUUAGCUGCAAUGUACUUUUUUACACGCUGCUUUCUAAUCACUAUGUUCCAACAAAGUGCUACAAGUAUCCUUCAGUUACCAAUGUUUACAAAAUUGUGCACCUAAUAACAAGUCGAGCUCAGAUCUUAAUAACCAAUAAAACACUAGAACAUAACAUUCGGAAAAAGUGGGUGCUGCUGGAAAUGGUGAGUGCUACUGGAAAUCAUUACUAAUAUUGGAAACAACAGCUGGCUGCUGGAAAUAUUGCAUUAGCCUGUGAUAUAAUCAAUGAAUCUCUGUUAAAACAUAAUUCACCAUAAACUACCCAUUUUACAUGGUAAAAGUCAUUGCUUCUUCACAUAACUCAAAAUUUAAUACUUUAUCAAAUGUCUAUGAAAAUUUCUAAAUAGGGAGAAGACGUAAAAUUAAUAUGUGUCCAAAUUUCAUGCAAGAAUGAAACCAAGCAAAUUUUCAUUUCAAUUAUCAGUGGACAUAGUAAGAGCUCAUCAGUGGACAUGAACAAAAAAAUAAUAAUAAUAAAACUGAAUCUAGAAAACUUCACCUGAUCAUUAGUCUUCAUAGCAACCGGGCUUCGUCUAAUAGAAACAUAAAUCAUUCAGUUGGUCUGUGCAUCUUGUCAAAUUCGUCGAAUAAUGGGUCACUACGAUCUAUUGGAGUUGAUUCGUCAUUGUUCGCUUCAUUGCCUUUUCCUUUGCUCCCAUUACUCGUUUCGACCUUUCUUUGCACUUCACUCUCUUAGGGUCUUUCAUAUAUUGUCAACUUCGUUAUUACUUGGUCCAUCCUUCAACAACUUCCACUUCACCUGCAAACGUUUUAAAGUCUCUGAUAGUAGCUCACAUCCUUCUUCACUCAUUAAUGCAUCAUCAACCACAUCUGAAGCAAGUCGAGACAUUGUACUCCGCUUUAUUAAAAGACCAGGAUCUGCAGAGUCUUUAAUUUCGUUGCCAUUUGCAUCUGACACAAAUCCAGAUUUCGCAGUUUUCUUCCACCUUUUCAAAAUAUAUUUAUCUGGCAUAUAUUCAAUAUGGUCCCUUCUGAACAAUGCUAGGAUGUGCUUGUAAAUAAUUCCAACAAAUUCAAAUCUUUUGCAGCUACACGAUGUGUGGUCAGAAUCUUUGACAUAUAUGACUUCUACCACUCUUGUUUCCCAAUUUUUCCUUUCGCUCACGUUAAAGACAACUUUAGAAGCAUCCUUUGUUUUGAGCUCUAGGAAACAUGCUGUACUUUGUAUUAGUUCUUGCUCAAACUUUUGAAACAUUGUCCUUAUGUACAAGGUUGCCAUUUGUUUGUUCAUUGGCAUCGGUAGAAUACAUUGAGCCACUUCAAAUGCAUCUACAUGAUCAGCAACUAACUCUUUUGACGUUGAUGAGAAAGUGCCUUCUCAAAUCGUAUUAUGAAAUUCAUCAACGAAUUUCUCCUUGAUAUGUAUUGCUUGAAGAAACCAUGAGAACCUUCCGCUCUUUGGCUGCUUGACAUUCCAGCAGCAAAAAAGUGUCGUGCGUAGGCUGGAACCCAAGAUUCCCUUAAAUCAAACAUUGAACUUAGCCAUGGAUGGUCAGUCAAACCAGCCUUUGUAACCACAAUAUUCCAUUUUGCAUCAAACUCAUCCUUAUUGUCAGUAUCCCAUAUGGCUUUCUGAAAUUCACGCCAAUACUCCUUAUAAGCAGAAUGUGGUAACUUAAUAGAGAACUUUGAUGAGAUGUGCCAUAUGCAAAGUCGAUGAAAUGUAGUCGGGAAGGCUAUUGAAAUUGCUCUGGUCAUUGCCGCAUCUUGAUCUGUAAUGAUCCUUUUAGGUUCGCCACUUGGCAUGACUUUCUUAAACUCCUCAAACAUCCAAAUAAACGACUCAGUCGUUUCCUUGCUCAAAAAUGCGCAUGCUAAGACAAUUGUCUGACCAUGGUUAUUAACUCCCAACAUUGGUGCAAAUGUCAAGUCGUAUCGAUUCGUGUUAAAUGUGGUAUCGAAUACAACAACAUCUCCAUAAAACCCGUACGCCCGUCUAGAAGUUGAAUCUGCCCAAAAACAUCGACUAAACCUGUCAUGGCCAUCUCCCUCAAUCUUGAAAUAAAAAGCCUCAUUUUUUUUCUGUUCAGCCAUAAAAUACUCGGUCACUAGUUCAACAUCGUGGUUCUUCAGCUUCCCAUUCACACUACAUUCAAGAUUGUAGCUAUCUUUUUUGAUAAAACCGAUUUUAUCUAUUCCUCCGGAUUGCACCUCGAAAAUACUUACCUUCUGAUGGAUGGGAACAUUAAUCGAACCCAACUGUUUUGUGAGUACUUUUGUAGAAUCUGAAAUAUGACGGUGUGAUCUCAAUAAAGACAUUCUUUAUGAGGGUGUCAUCUUAUGAUUGUGUCCCUCAGCAAAAAGAGAGAUGGUAUACUUCUUGCUUCCAUUUGUCUUCACAACCACAAUCUUAGCUUUACAAUUGCAUCUACUUAUUCCCCGCUGUCUUUUUCUCUCCCGAUUUUCAUCUUUCCUGUAUGCACAUUGUUUGCAACAUACAAAUUCUUUCCUCAGAAUCUCUUUCUUAUUUUUCCCCCAAAAGCUGGAAUAAGGUCGAAUACCAAAGCCAACCAAGAAUGCAUAUCUAUUAUAAAAAUUAUAAACGAGGUCAAGCGAGUCGAACUUCAUCCCAACUGCUGGUGUUUCCUCAUUUCUUACUUCAGGAAUGUAAACCCUCCCAUUAGCUGUUACACAGUCAUCACUCUUUGAGCCCUCAGACAUUUUAUCCACGUAUAUUAUUGAUCCACUUCUAUAUUACUGCGUAGCAAAUAUUAAUUCAUUAAUCAAUCAUUACUGCAUCACAACAUAUCAAUGCAUUCCACUUACACAAAACAUUCCCCAAAUUGACACAAAACACGCAUAGCCUAACUUGUUGGAUUCCGAUUACACAAAACGUAAGCAAAAUUUAAUAAUAGUUACGUCAUCUCUUGUGAAAUAAUCUGGAAAAAAUAACAUUAGAACCAACAUGUUCAACUAAGAACACAAAUGUAAUUCAAACCAGCAAUUACAGAACUUCACCCAAUAUCCUCUCCAAAUGCUUACUCCUAAUGUCAUUAAGCCUAAGUUUAGGAUCUUUUACCUACAUUUUAUAAUUUCCCACCCCCACAAAAAAUAAUCAACUAAGUAUAUUGAAUAUUCAGAAGAAAAUUAUGCAUUAUUGAUUCCACAAAUGACGCAUUAUUGAUGCCAUAAAUGACGAAUUUCCCACCCUCACAAAAAACAAACAAAACCCAAUAAAAUCAAUCCAGCAAGAGUGAAUUUACCUCUCAAAAUCAAUCGGGAGCUCCGAAGUCAGUCAGCUUGAGAGAAUGUGGUGGACAUUAGAGAAGACUCUUUGGUAUUGGAAACUCCAUCUCUACCAAACUCGAGGAACAACUGCUGCUGCGGCGUCUAGCUAUAGAAAGAGAUUGCUACUUUGCUUUCAUCUGGAAUCUUGUCUGCUGAACAAAAAAGAGAAGGGGUUUUCACUUGAGCGAUAGAAUCAAAACAUGGAAACAGCUAGGUAAGAGCCAUUAAUCGUCAUACCGAGGAUACCAUAGAUCGCAGGCCUCCCAAGGAGCUAAUGACAAUGAAGCGACUAUGGGUUUGGGAGCUUUGGAUCCUUCUAAUUGUGAGUUUGCGUUACAUUCAAAAAGAGAGGAUUGUGUUCUUGAGUUUUUCACAGAGAGGGAAAGAGGGAAAGAUCUUCAACUGAAGUUGGGUUUCUAACGGGUCAGAUUUCAACCCGGUUCUACAUGCACCAUCUUUUAAAAACUCACCGUUGGAUGAAAUCCAACGGCUCGUACAUACCUCUCAAAAACACCCCUUAUAACUUUCCACUCACUAUAAAAGCUCCCCAUGCCUUACAUUCCUUUUUUGGUCCAACGUCAUGUCUUACAUAUAAUUCUCCAAAAAAUAUAUUAUUUUUCUCUGUUUUUAUAUUUUAAUAGCAAAAAAAAGAACACUAUGAUGAUCAUGAGGUAACAUCAUUCGAACUUUAAUCUGUUACCGCACAAACAGAACAUCACAUCUCAAAGUCCCUCCAACUCCAAUCCAUGCCAUUGUUCGAAUGCGAUUGGUCGAGCAUUUAACCACACCAUUGUUGUUACCAAUUAUAUUUAGGUGGUCCAUAAAUACUCAACCGAUAUAAUUGGUAAACACUCAAUGUCAUCAUUUCUUGUAUACUAAACCUCAUUCAAUCAAAGCCCGUUUGGUUCACAGAAUGAAUUUGAGAGGAAAUUAUUUCCCAUAUUAUUUCCCAAGAGAUGGAAAAGUAUUUCCCACACGUUUGGUAAUGCUGGGAAAGUAACCGAGAGAUAUCACUUUAUUUCAUUUCCCAUGUUUGUUUUUAGUAGGAAUGGAAAACAAAAUUUGUAUAAAUUUUCAAUUAUAUCCAUAUUAAAUCAAAUAAAAAAAGAAUGCGUUUAAUGAUUUAUUGUAAUUCUAAAUUGUUAAUGGGGACAAAAUUAUCAUGAAAAAUAUUUAUUUAAUAUUGGCUCAUUUUUCCAAACUGUCCCAGGAGGAGGGAAAACAAAACCCAAGUUUGGAAGAUGGCUUCACUUUUCCCUUUACUUUCCCAUGAAUCAGGAAACGAUUUUUCAUGCCUGGACUUAUCAAACAUGAGAAAACAAUUAAUUUUCCAUCCCCAAGUCUUCUUUCUCAUGAAUCAAACAAGGCCCAAGAGUCAAAUAUUAUUGUAUGUCAUGUAUUAUUAGCCCACCACUUUUCGUCUCUACAAAUGAUGAAUAACAAUAGUAGGAUUGAAUUAUUGAUCUAUUUAGCAAGUGGGAACGAGAAGCAAGCAUGCGUACAGAGGAAGCAGGGCAUAGAAGCAAGCUGUUGGGUUUAAAAUCAGUAACAGUGAUCAUGGUGAUGGUGGAGUUUUUGGAUGUGGGGUUGAACAUUUUGAGCAAAGCAGCUAUGAAGAAAGGGAUGAGUAAUUUUGUCUUUGUUGUCUAUGCGAAUGCCCUCGCCCUCUUUGUCUUGCUUCCAUCUUCCUUCUUCUUCUACAGGUUUUAAUCUCAUCCAAUUAAUUACCCAAUAACCCUUCUUUUAAUUUUUAGUUUUAAUGAAGUAGUUAAUUAUUUAUUUCUGCAGGAGAAGAACUUAUCCACCUCUCUCAUGGUCCUUGAUCUGUAAACUGUUCCUUGUUAGCUUUAUGAGGUAGCUUAAACUUAGUCAUCUCUGCUGAUCUAUUUUACUAUAUAUUUUGGUUAAUCAUGUUUAAAUUUGUUUGAACAUGAUUUCUAGCUCUGGUGCGCAGCUGCUAAAGUUUAUUGGAAUAAACUACAGCUCUCCAACUAUGGCCUCUGCAAUGAUUGAUCUCAUGCCAGCUUUUACCUUCAUUCUUGCUGUCAUCACUGGGUAAAUAUACAGUUACUGUCCCAAAUUGAUGAAUGUAUUUUCUUUUUUUUAUAAUAAAAAAUAUGUUUUGGUUUUUUAGGAUGGAAAUUCUGGAUUUGAGAAUUACCAGUAGACAGGCCAAGUGCAUAGGCACAGUGGUCUCAAUCUCAGGGGCACUCAUGCUGACCUUAUAUAAAGGCCUACCACUCAUAAGGGCCGAUGCAUCACAUAGUAAAUUAAUCAGUCUGCAGCUUCUUUUAUCCUCUCAAACGAACUGGUUCAUUGGAGGCAUUGUGCUUGCAUUUCAAAGCUUCUUGCUAGCAAUGAUGCAUAUUGCAGAGGUAAUUUAAAAUCCUGUGCUCACAUCAAAACCACCUCUUAAUUGCAUCAUUUCAAAGCUUUUUUGAUUUUUUUUCUCUGCAGACAUGGGUUAUUAGGGACUACCCUGCAGUGCUGAUGGUUACAACGAUUCGGUGCAUCUUUGUUACCAUCCAAUCUGCUGCAAUUUCUCUGAUUGCUGUCAAAGGACUAAAUGCAUGGAAGCUAAAGCCUGACAUUGAACUCAUAGCUAUUGGGUACAAUGUGAGGGAUGAUCUGUUUCAACUUUAUAGGCUUAGUUUCCUUUGAUUUUCAACCAAACUUUAUGUGCUGCUUAAUUGAUUUCUAGGCAACUUUUGAAGUAAUGCUAAGGACUGGUAUUCAUUUGUGGGCAAUGAAUAUAAAGGGUCCUGUUUAUGUUGCCAUGUUCAAGCCGCUUGGUUUAGUCAUGGCACUUUUCGUUGGCGUGGCAUUUCUUGGAGAUACUCUUUAUCUUGGAAGGUAAAGAUUAUCUGUUAUAUUUCUCACAUACUCUGCUACCUAAUUAACCAUGUUUUAUUCACCGACUCAGAAAAUAAAAAACCAUGUUUUAUUGAGGUUUUUUUUUAAUCUGUUUCAACUUACUUCAACAGGUUGCUGGGAGCGGCUAUAACAGUGGUAGGGUUUUAUGCCGUAAUUUGGGGGAAAGCCCAAGAAGAGAAGGAGAAGGCUCAAAAUGAUCAAACCAGAAGCUUUGAGUCAUUUCCUCAAUCAGAAGCAGAACCUCUUUUGCCUAAACAUUGUAAACAAGGCACUGAGGAGAAAAGUCUUUUGGAAAGAGUUUUUCUUAUUAAAUAGUUGAGAUGAUAUGUUGUGAAACCACAAAAAAAUUCUAUUUUUUUAUUUGAUAUAAGAGAUAACGAAGUAAGUAGAAUCGAACACAAUAUGUGUAACGUGGAUAAGUAAACAUUCUAGUAGUAACAAAAAAAUUGGAAUAAAGUCCAACUUUUAUUUGAGUGAGGUGAAAUUGUGGUACAAGAAUAAGGUUCCACGGUGUAUCCAAUUCAUACUUAUAAAGACUUUUUUUAAGUGAGUGAUUUUCAUAGAGAUGACAAAUUCUUAAAUACUUUCAUAGAAUUGAUAAAAGUCACUAGUAAAUUGGCAAGACUUUUGCUCUUAACAAUUAGCCUUAAAAGUAUAGAAAAGUCAUUCAUUUAAUAAGCUUUUUAAAAGUCAUUAACUUUUGGGAUACCACCAAACUUUUAAAUACUUUUUAAAAGUCAUAACUGAAUACCACCAAGCUUUUAAAUACUUUUUAAAAGUCACAAUUGAAUACUACUACACUUUUAUAUACUCUUUAAAAAUCUAAAUUGAAUACCUCCAGGCUUUUAAACUCUAUAAAAGUCAUUAAAAAUUUGAAUUAGAUACACCCCCUAAUUAUGGUUUGGCAUAUUUAAUUUUCCCUUUCUUUCUAAGAUUUGUAAAUAGGGCUCUUUGCUAAAUUUAAUCUCGGCUUAAAAUGUUGUAUGACAACCAAGUGGGGUCACCUUUCAAAAUCUUGAUAUCCAUAAAGACAACUUUAUAGAUUCUUUUUAUUAAAAAUCUUUUGAGGAUCCAUAUUACAUACAUGAUACAAAUAAUACAAGAGACACCAGAGAUGUUGCAGUUUGUUUAAUGCAGAGGCUCAUUCCAGACUUUAUUUAUUCUUUCUCAGUAAUUAAGAAAUUGCUAUAUCAAUUGAUAACUAAAAGUUAAUAGAUUUGUAAAAGACUAUUAGAACAUUUUCAACAGAUAUGUCAAAUUGCCAUAUGAACAUGAAAUGACAAAAAUUGAAGAUUAAAGUUGCUCCAACUUGAUAAUUGUAUUAUCCAGGUCCGCUUAAGAUUGUUAGAAUAGCACAUGGAGGUCACAUGUUCUAGUUAGAAUUGUUAGUAGAAUCUGUUAGUUUGUUAAGCUGAGUUUACUUAGUCUUUAAGUCUGUUAUCAGGUAUAUAAGAUGAGCUUUCUUCUUCAAUCUUCUCUACUGUUAUCACAAUCGAGUAGUCAAAUCCUACAUGAAUUUGAAGGUUUAAAGAGAUAUGUCAAAAAUAACAUAUCAAAAAGCUUGAUGUCAAAUGUUAUUUUAAUAUUUUUUUAGUCAUGGACCCCACUAUCAUUUACUCUUUUUAAAGACUUGAUGCAUCAUAUAUGCCACAUUUGCUUUUAAAAAUAAAAUAAUAUGAUAUUUGGUAUUUCUUGUGGAGUUAAAUUUUUUCUAAAAUGUCAAGUUGCCACAUAAGCCAUCAAAUUCAAAUUUAACAUUUUGCAUUUCACAUCACCCUUGGAGAUGCUCUAAGUAGUGGUUUGGAAGCAAUUGCUUUUUUCAGAAAAUGUCAUGGGUUCAAGUUCUAGUAUCCGUGUAGUGUGUGUGAGAUGUGUGUGAGUUUAAUAUACUAUCACACCCUUUCAAUAGGAAAGUUAAAAAAAAGAAAAAAGGUUAAUAGGUUUAGUACUAUUGAUAAACCAGUUAGGAUCAUAUCCAAAAUAUAAUAAAAACGUUGGGCCAAUACCUUUACCUUUCAUACAAAGCAACCCCAUGAGAAGAGGUAUACAUGGAUUUACCACCAGGAUGUAAUUUAGCUCAUGACAAGAAAAAUCAAGUUUGUAAGCUUAGAAAGUCAUUAUAUGAGUUAAAACAAUCUCCCAGGACAUGGUUUGACAGAUUUACUAAGUCUAUGAAGAAUUUUGGAUGCACUCAAAGUAAUCAGACCACACAUUUUUCUUGAAAUGUGAUGGAGGAAAAAUCAUUGCAUUAAUUAUUUAUGUGGAUGACAUGGUUGUAACUGGGAACGACACAUGAGAGCAACAAAAGCUACAAAAGUAUUUGUCUCAGGAAUUUGAGAUGAAUAAUUUAGGUGCUCUAAAAUACUUCCUCGAAAUUGAAGUAGUAAUGUCAAAAACUGGUAUAUUUUUGUCUCAAGGGAAGUAUGUGAUAGAUCUACUCACUGAAAUAUGAAUGCUUGGAUGUAAGCCUGAUGACACACCCAUUGAGGUGAAUCACAAGUUGUGUGAAGACAUGAACCGAUUGCCAACCAAUAAGGAACAAUAUCAACGCCUUGUUGGAAUGUUGAUAUAUUUGGCACACACAAGACCAGAUAUUGCCUAUGCUGUGAGUGUGGUUAGUCAGUUUAUGCAUUCUCCUACUGUUUCUCAUAGGAAUCUAGUUGAUCGGAUCUUAAAUACUUAAAGUCAGCCAUUGAAAAAGGAUGACUUUAAGUAUUAAUGUUCUCAAAGAAUGGAAAUCUUGAAGUUUGGGCUUUUUGUUGGUAUACUGAAAUAGUUGGGUUUGGGUUCAAAAAACUGAAAUUUUAACAUAUAUAUAUUAAAAAUUAAUUGAGCUAGUUCGGUUCAAUUUUGAGAGACAUAAAACCAGUAUCGGUUCAGUCUGAUUUAGUCUCAGUUUGUUGACUUUUUAGUCAAUCGGUUUUUUUCUCUAUUUUUUCUAUUCGGUCCGGUUCUUGUUCCAGUUUGCAGUUCCAAUGUCCACCCCUAACAGAUAGAUGCUCUAUAUUGGGUUAUUUUACAUUCGUUGGAGGGAACCUAGUCACUUGGUGGAGUUAAAAAAAAAAUGGUUGCUCGAUCUAGUGCAGAAGAGAGUAUCGAGGAAUGACUCAAGGAGUUUGUGAAUUAUUGUGGAUCAAAGGACUCUUGGCAGAAUUGAGUUUUAAACCAGAGAAGCUAAUGGAGUUAUAUUAUGAUAACAAGUCAGCUAUCGAUAUUGCUCAUAAUCGAGUUCAACAUGAUCGAACUAAACAUGUUGAGGUGGAUAGACAUUUCAUCAAAGAAAAAAUUGAGAACAAGAUCAUCUGUCUACCCUUCAUAAAAUCAAAAGAUUAAUUAGCGGAUGUCUUAACAAAAGUUGUCUGUGGACGAGUGUUUUAUGACUCACUUACCAAGUUUGGCCAUGAUGAUGUGUAUGCACCAACUUGAGGAGGAGUGUUGAUGUGAAUUAACCUACCAAAUCAAGGAGAUUUAUUUCCUAAGUUAAUUAGGUGAUUUACUUCCUUAUUUUAUAUAGUCGACGCAUCCUUAUAUAACUAGGAGAUAUUCUCUUAAUUAAUUAAUGUAUCUAUUUCUUUGUAAAGCACCUUGUAAAAUCCUAUAUAUUUCCUUAUGGAGAAGAAUACAAUUAACAUAAAAUAUUCAAACCAAAUAUGAUAUUUUAGCAAAACAAAACCUUAGUUCCAUUGUAAUUCUGGGCUUGCCUUUAUUUUAUUGGGCUUCAAGUUGUUCCUGUCUUUGGCUUCUUCCACUUUUCAGCUAAUUUUAUUUUCAUAUAUGCAGAUCUUCUGGACAGUUAAUGGGACUUGCUGGUUUAAACUAUGCCUCUGCUACACUUAACACAGCCAUGCUUAAUCUCGUUCCAGCCUUUAUUUACAUUCAUACUUGCAUUACUAUUCAGGUUUCUAAUUUCCUUCAGUUUGUGUUUCUCUUACUAUUCAACGUCAGGCUUUUUCUUCUGUUAAAAUCAUGAUAUAUUUUUUUCUUCUUCCAACUCACCAUAGAUAUUGACUAAAGCCACUUUUAAUUAUUUGUCAAGCAAGUCUCAUGAUUACUUUUAUUUUACUGUUUAAUUAGGAUGGAAAAGCUAAAUUGAUAAAGACUAUAGGAACUGUAGUGUCAAUUACUGGGGCAUUUGUAGUGACCAUCUACAAGGAUUCAGUGCUGUCAUUUCAUGUUUUUUAUGUAUAUCAUGUGCGUACGUUAAGCAUUUUAAAUAUAGAAUCAGUGCUGUCAUUUCAUUAAAAUUGAAAACAAGAAAUGGCUUAGAAAAAAAGGGGGACCAAUGUCAUUUCAUUUAUCUGCAGACAUGGGUUAUUAGGGACUAACCUGCAGCGCUAAUGGCGACAACAAUUUGCGGCGUCUUCGUCAUCAUCGAAUCUGCUGCAAAAGUUGAAGUAUGAUAUUAAGCUCAUAGCUAUUGGGUACAAUGUGAGAACAUAUCUUUUUCAACAUUAUUGGCUUAAUUUUCUUUUGAUUUUCAACCAAACUUUAUGUGCUGCGUAAUUGAUUUCUAGAGGCAGCUUUUGAAGUAAUGCUAAGGACUGGUAUUCACUUGUGGGCAUUGAAUAUAAAGGGUCCUGUUUAUGUUGCCAUGUUCAAGCCACUUGGUUUACUCAUCGCACUUUUUGUUGGCGUCGCAUUUCUUGGAAGGUAAAUGUUAUAUUUUAUAAUGCUCUUUAUAUUGGUUGCAAGGAUAUAAAUUAUGAGAUAUAUAGUCAUAUACUCAUUCUUAGUACUAAAAUUAUAAAUAAAUUCUACAUUAUUUAAUUUCCAAAAAAAAUUCAAAAAAUGACAGCUGGCCCUAUUGAAUUUAAUUUUGAUUAUUAAAAUACUUUGAUACCCUAUUGAGUGUUUUGUGUUUUUUUUUUUUUUAAAACAAGGUUUUGGGGUUGAGUUUGUUUUAAGAAAUCAAUGACAGUUUUGUAAUUCAAAAUAAGUUAAAAGCCUUUUUGUUAUGUUGUAAAUGAGCUUUGGGUGUGUUUCUAAAGUCCAUUUCAUAUAGGUUUUUUUAUUUUUUAUAAUUUGGGCUCCUAUAUUGGGUAUAAUAAUGAAUCUCCCAUAAAUUAUAGCUUAUGUUUCAACUUAUUUCAACAGUGGUAAGGUUUUAUGCUGUAAUUUGGGGGAAAGCCCAAGAAGCGAGGGAGGAGCUCAAAAUGAUCAAACCGGAAGCUUGGAGUUGGAGUCAUUUUCUCAAACAUAACCUCUUUUGCCUAAACAACGAGAAAGCCUUCCAUGAAAUAGGGAUAAUACCAAUAACGCUAUGAAUAACACUUUUACAUGACAUAACAUUAUUAACUAAAAUAACAAAAUAGUGCUAACCCUUUACAACUAUAUUUUUCUCCUAAACAAGGCCCUGAGAAGAAAAGUCUUGCACGCCAUCAAAUGUCAAGCUCAAUUUUCAAAGAAGAAAAAAGAGAGGCUCUUGAUGACUUUUCAAAAUAGAUUUUCAUGUUAAAUAGUUGAGAUAAUAUGUUGUUAAACCAACAAAAAAAAACUCCAUUGUUUUCUUUGAUCAAAGAGAUAACAAAGGAGGUAGAAUCGAACACAGCUCGUGGAUAAGUAAACACACUCCCAAUCACUUUUAUAUUUUAUCGGAUGGAAACAAAUAAAAAAAACAUAAACAUUUGCCAAUACAGGAAAAGAAAUUGAACCAUGACCCUACAUUUUGGGUGGGGUGGAUGUUUUUUUCAGUCUGUCAUUAAUAGCAUGCAAAAUUGACAUCUCAGUGGUGGUCAAAAGCAUUUGCAUUCUAGUAGUAAAAGAACAUUGGAAUAAAGUCCAACUUUUAUUCAAGUGAGGUGAAAAUGUGGUAUAGGAAUAACGUUCCACUUUAAUUAUGGUCUGGCAUAUUUCAUUUUCCCUUUCUUUCUAAGAUUUCUAAUUAGGCAUCUUGCUAAAUUUAAUUAUGGUCAAAAUCAUCUUUCAAAAUAUUGCUAUCGACAAAGACAAAUGUAUAGAUUCCUUUAAAAGAAAAAAAAAAAUUGUUGUCCAUAUUACAUGAUACCUCAAAUAAUACUAGAAACACCAAUUGAUGUUGAAGAAUUUCACUUGUUUCAUAUAUGGGCUCAUUCAUGACUUUAUUUAUUCACACUAAUUAAGAAAUUGUCACAUCAAUUAAUAACGACAUCAGAUAAAAAACAAAUUAGUUGGGCCAUUGGGCUUUACCUUCAUAAACAUAUACAGGCAUGGAGAAAGCAAAGCAAACAAGCAACCCCAUGAGGUGGGUGGGUACGCGUGGGCCAAGAUAUCGUAGCGUAGGCGGUGGAGAGGGAGAAACGUGUACCUGCGUGAAUGAAAGUAUAAAAUCAUGCAUGCAUAGUUCUGUUUUAAACAUCUAAUCGUUGACGAUUGAACUUGAAAAUUUAACACAUUUGCAUUAUUUCUGCAUAACAACAGAUUUUUCCAAGAUAAAAUUCUUCCAUCAGAUGUGACUCAAUUUUUGGGCCUGAAAAAUCAAUCCUUGACUAAUUUAAUGCCAGAAAAGUAUACCAUUCUGGGCUUUAGUUUCAUGCUUCCACCUUUGUGGCUUUGACUCUAACCAGUAUAAUUCCUGGAGAGAGAGAGAGACAGAGGGACACAGAGAUUUGGAUAUGGCGAUGGGGAUUUCUAUGCCCUUUGUGGGAAUGGUGAUGGUGAUUCUUGCUCAGGUGACUAGUUUGAUACUAAACAAGGAAGCCAUGGCCAGCGGACUGAGUGAAUAUGUUCUUGCUGUCUACUCUUUUGCUCUAGCCGCUCUCAUUAUUCUCCCUUUUUGCUUCUUCUUCAACAGGUCUCUGCCUUUUCUCUCUGUUUCUCUUUCUCUCUGUUUAAGUUGAUUCACUUACUUGUCUCUUCAUUUGAUGGCAGAUCAGAGCGUCCCCCACUCAGCUUCUCCAUCAUCUCGAGAUUAUUCUUACUCAGCCUUAUUGGGUUUGUCAAAAAGACCACAGUUGAAAGUUGAAACUAACAACCAUUAAUUAAAUACAAGUUGUUCUUGUCUUUGGCUUUUUCCACUUUUCAGCUAAUUUUAUUUUCAUAUAAACAGAUCUUCUGGACUGUUAAUGGGACUUGCUGGUUUAAACUAUGCCUCUGCUACACUUAACACAGCCAUGCUUAAUCUCAUUCCAGCCUUUACAUUCAUACUUGCCUUACUUUUCAGGUUUUUUAAUUUCCACAGUUUCUGUUUUUCUUACUAUUCAACGUCAGUCGUUUUCUUCUGUUCAAAUCAUGACUUUAAAAAAAGAAGAAGGUAUUUUCUAGAGCCACUUUUAAUUAUUUGUCAAGCAAGUCUCAUGAUUACUUGUAUUUUACUGUUUAAUUAGGAUGGAAAAGCUAAAUUGGAGGAGCUCAAGCAGCCAAGCUAAAACUAUAGGAACUGUAGUGUCAAUUACAGGGGCAUUUGUUGUGACCUUCUACAAGGGCCCUGCAGUUAUACACGCACGCUUGUCCUCUGCUGGGACUGGCCUAUUCAGUAAUCUAUUUCUCUUCUCAGAAAAAUCACAUUGGGUCCUUGGAGGGCUACUUCUAGCAGCUGACUCCUUCUCGACCUCAUUAUGGUUUAUUGUGCAGGUGAUGAACUUUUGUACAAGAAGUUCUAGCUGAUAUAACACCCACUUACCUCAAGUAUAAAUUAAUAUGAUAUGACCCUUUCUUUUUUUUCGUCUUUUCUUUCUCUUUAACCUCGAAUUUUUGCAGGCCUCAAUUCUUAAGAAGUACCCUGCAGUGCUGAUCACAGUCUUCUUUUACUGCUUCUUUGUCUGCAUACAAUGUGCAUUAGUCUCACUGAUACUUGUACAAGACCUAAGUGCUUGGAGGCUAAAACCUAAUAUUGGAUUGCUUGCAGUUUUAUACUAUGUGAGCAACAUUGCAUAUAAUUGUGAUAUCAUAUUGUUAGUGGAUUAAUUAAUUUAGGUUAUACAUAAUUUGUUAGUUAACAUGAGGUAUAAUUUGCAACAUGUAGGGGAUUGUUGGGAUUUCAUUUCGUACCAACAUGUGUACAUGGUGCCUGCAGAGAACAGGACCUGUGUAUGUUUCUAUGUUCAAGCCCCUUGCCGUGGUUUUCGCAGAUGUCAUCGAUGUAAUAUUUCUGGGACAAGCUCUCUAUCUUGGAAGGUAUAAUACAGAUACAUGUAGCAGAUGAAGAUGCAGCUUUUCACUUUUACUAAUUACGGUAUAUCUUCCUUUUUUAUUUCCAUGGUACAUAAGAAGUAAUCAAAAUUUUACUGCAGCUUGAUUGGAGCAGCUGUAAUUAUCUCUGGUCUUUAUGUUGUGAUAUGGGGAAAGUCCAGAGAAGAGAAGUUGCAUGAAAACAGUGGAGAAGGGCAGAAUUGCUUAGAAUCAUCCACUGAAAGGGUCCCCCUGCUGUAAAAUGUGACACAGAAUUGCCUUGUAUAAAUAUUAUGGUCUUAAUGUGUUCAAUAUAGAAUCAGUGCUGUCAUUUCUUUAAAAAUUGAAAACAAGAAAUGGCAGAUAAAAAAGUGAGAUCAUUGUCAUUUCUUUAUCUGAUUUUUUAUCUGCAGACAUGGGUUAUUAGGGACUACCCUGCAGUGUUAAUGGUAACAACAAUUCGCGGCAUCUUUGUCACCAUCCAAUCUGCUUCAAUUUCUCAGAUUACUGUCAAAGGACUAAAUGCAUGGAAGCUAAAGCCUGAUAUUGAGUUCAUGGGUAUUGGGUAUAAUGUGAGGGAAGAUCUGUUUCAACAUUAUUGGCUUAAUUUUCUUUUGAUUUUCAACCAAAACUUAAUGUGCUGCUUAAUUGAUUACUAGAGGCAGCUUUUGAAGUAAUGCUAAAGACUGGUAUUCAUUUGUGGGCAUUGAAUAUAAAAGGUCCUGUUUAUGUUGCCAUGUUUAAGCCACUUGGGCUAGUCAUGCCACUUUUCUUUGGCGUGCCAUUUCUUGGAGAUACUCUGCUAUCUGCAAUAACCAUGUUUUAUUGUGAUGCAGCACGGAAGCACGGAUUUAUGGAUCAACAAACCUCUAAAUAAGAAAAGAUAAACUGAAAUCUACUAGAAAAUAGGGAGAAUCUCUAAAAUUGGAUUAAUAAUUUGAAUAAACUGCUUAAUACAAUACCAUGCGUUGACUUAAAUAGAAAACAAAGAAACCCUAAAACCGUAGGACACCUUAGGUUCCAUAAUAUUCUAAAACUUAACUAAUAAGAAAAUAAUUUAAAUCCUAAUUAAAAUCAUAUCAUGGAAAUAAUAUUCUGAUUGAUAACUUAUUCUAGAAAUACAAAUAUAAAGGUAAAUUUCAUUUUACUACUCGGAAGUUUCCGACUUCCCUACAUCAAGUUUUUUUUUGUAUCAACUUCAUUGUGGAAGCAAAAUAUCUCACCCUAGGUCAAAUAAUUAGGCCAAUCAAUCUGGGAAUUAUUUGACCUAAUUGGGAGUUAUCUAACCUAAUUGGGAGUUACGUGAAUUAAUUGGGAGGUUAUUUGAUUCAAAUUAGAUGUAUUUGAUUCUUGCCUUAAUUAGGAAUUUGAUAAUCAAAUCCCUAAAUACACCAACCUCACCAAUCUCCCCAACCUCACCAACCUCGCCAAAUUAAGGAAGAAUAAUUCCUUUCCAUCUACGGAAUUCUUCUUCUGAAACCCUAACCUCCGAGGCCCUCUAUAUAUAUUUGGCUACGCACAAGGAUUGAGGUACGUCUAAAUUCCUACUGAAACUCUACAAAAAUUAUCCUUCACAAAUCCUAGCCACCAUAUUCUUUCUCUUUCUCCAUACACGGCUCCGGCCACCUGGUUUUCCUUCAAACACCCAACCUAACUUAGGCAUCCGAAGGCCUUUGGCCAACACCUCCUGGGUGUGGUCCUUUUACUCCGAUUUGUUUGGUAGGGAGAAAGAGAAGCGAAGAAGAUGAAGGAAUCUUAGGCGAAUAUUCUUGUGGGACGAAAUUCGCUCCCACAUUCAUAUCCAAAAUUUUAUUUUUUACAACUGUCAUACCUUUGUUAGUCAAACUGUUAAGUUAUCCGUUAAAUGAUGAUGUGACAAUCAAUAGCCCAGCAAAAAUCACACAUAUUGUGCCACGUUAGUUGAUAAAAUUUAAAAUUUAAAAGAUAAAAAAUUAAAAUAAUCAAUUAACAAUUAAAAAUGUGAGAAAAACAUGAAAAUUUCAAACAAUUUAAAAAAAAAAAAAACUCUCUCCCCUCUCUCUCUGCAACUAACAACACAGAGUCGGGUAGGUGUGGGUAUCUAAGCUAGGGAUCUAGGGUCUGGAAGGGGAGGGUGGAUCAGGGUUAGGGAGGUGGAGUGGGCUUCUAAGGUUGGGGAUGAUGGGGAUCUGAGUUAAAGAGAGGGCAGCUGCUUGUUGUUAUGUUAACUCACAAUUGUACGGGCCAAUUAGUAGUAUAGCAGGACAAGUACGAGGUCAUACCCAUGAGGAUUGAGAAGUUAAACUUAGUUAUGUACUUAGAUAACCUGAUUCUAGAAAAUAGGAAGUUAAGUCUAAAACAGAUUUUAAAGUGAGACUGAGUUUGGAAACAAAUAAAGCAAAAUGAAAUUGGAAUUUAAAGUGAGAGUGCUUGUGAUUGUAAAAACAAAUUAACAAAAUGAAAUUGCAAAUGAAAGCAAGUAAACAAGUGUAACAAAAAGUGGUCUUAAGGGUUGGAAAACAGAUUUGGAGACUAGGGCAUUCGAUUCACCAUAACAAUCCAAUUCAAGGUUAUAAGGAUUCAAGUGACAAGUCUAAUUCAGAAUCAAAGAUUGAUUCUAGCUAAAGUAUGAUUAGGCCAUAGUGUCUGAUCCUAAUAUUGUAUUCCUAAUUCCCUAAUUAGAUCCUUGUUGUCAAACUUAAAUUAAACAUUAGAAAUCCAUUAAGUACAGAAGAAUGUUUUAAAUAACCAAGCAUGUAUCUAAUUCCUAUUGUCGAAUGUUUAUACAUACUAUUCCUAUUCAUAGUUCAAUUAGAAUUAAAGCAUAUGGUGUCUACUCUUAAUUCAAACCAAGAUAUACAAAUCUGAAUGGUAGCUAGGCAUUCCGAUUAGCAUAUAGGCAAGUAGGCAUAAUGAAUAAGAACAUGAAUCAUGAAUCAAACUUGAACUUGAAAUUUAUAAACCCUGAAUAUUCAUGUUAGGUUACAUCGAAGCCCUAGUUUUAGAUUUAGCUACUCAUAAUGGGAAAGAAAUUUCACAGAAAUGAGAAAACAUAAUGAAUGCAAUAAGAGUAGAAAAACCCAUUUAUGAAGUUCUUGUGGUGUCCAAUAUGAGCUUCCCCAAGUAUAGAAGGAUGUAUGAAGGCUAAGGAGGUGAUUUGGGAUGAGUUUGGGUGAGUGGUGAUGUGAAACCCCGUAUUUAUAAAAUUAUAUAUAUUAUAUUUCAAGAAAUUAUAUAUAUAAUUGCUUUGAUUGCAUUCUGUCAUGCCCCUGUGAAAACCCCAGGUCCGGGGUGUGACAUAAUGAGAAAUAUAAUAUAUAGCGGACUCGGGGGUAGGUGAAAACCCCACGCCCGGGGCGUGACAGGUGAUGGCUGAGAAAAGGAAAAUUCCUAGGGAAAUGGAAGGAAGGCUUGCUGUGAUAGAUUUAGUGAUUUGGGGUUGUUUAGAGCUUCGGGUUGAUUGCUGAAGUGUUUGGGGUUGUGGAAGUGUUUGAGAGUGAUUUCUAAAUGUGUUUGGGGAAUGAUGGGAGUGUGGAGAAUGGAUGAAUUGUAGGAGUGUGAAUCCCAUGAUGUGUCUUUGGUGUGGAAUGGAAGUGGUAUUUAUAAGGAGAAGGAAAUGAGAAUUCUGAAUUGAUUUAUGCCUUCACCAACAACACUCACUUCACCAACCUCACCUAACACACCAAUGCAAUAGAAUUCUGAAUUGAUUUGGUUGUGCACUUCACCAACAAAUCCCACCAGAAAUCAUAGCUCAUGCAUAGCUCAUCAUGACCAAGCAACAAUUAGCUCAUCCUUAGGUCAGCAUGACUAGCAACUUCAUAGGCUCACGAAUUGAGCUUCCCUUAAGCAAUUGAUGACUUUGAGCUGUACAUCUUGAAGUUCAAAAUGUCAUCUUUCCAACCAUAUGUCAUUUGGGCAAAUCCAAGGUCGGAUGAAGAUGUUAAGACCGAAACGAAUUGCUAACUCAGUCUGCACGUUUUUGCACCAUUUUGCAUAUUUUCCUAUCCAAAGCCACUAUUGCUACCUAAACCUCAAAUAACUGAAUGAUAAACACAAAUAAGAUUAGAAGCAUAACUUUAACUCAAAAAUAUAAAAUCAUAAGCUAGAAUGGUUCAAAAUGAUAUACAAUUAUAAACUGAUCACUGCUACAUUCAUCUAGCCGAGAUUUCAAAUCCGGCGACAAGGUGGGUCUUCGUAGAUGCAAGACUAGGUCUUCAUGGAUUCGGUGACGAGGCCAACUUUUUCUUGUGUAAUUGAUUUGUGUGAUUCGAUUGUGUUUGUGGUCGUUUAGGUAUUGAGAGGUGGUGAGGAAGGGAUGCAAGGCUUUGGAAAAGUGGGAUGAAAUGAUAAACAAGCUGGGCUUGUUCUCAACCAACGAGACCAAGGAGGAUAUUAGCACCCCCAAUCUCAAAUAUCUUCUAGGUUAAAAAAAAAUAUUUAAUUUUUAUAUUGUGGAAAUAUGAAUGGUUGCUCCCAAUCUGCAUUUACCAAUCCUUUCAGAUAAUAGCUCGUAAAGCUUUUCUCCUUGGUUUAAAUAUUAUGAGCUUCUAAUGGUAUUUUGGUUACCGGUGCCAUAUUAUCUUGGUGAGUUAUCUGAGAAAGUUACAUUGGAUGGCAAGAUAUAGAUUUCAAAUCUGGCAAUGGGCAUCUGUUGAUGAAGCAAUAAUUUACCAAAUGAGUUGAAAGAGAGGGUGUGGGUCUUUGUGUGGUAGUGGGGUGUGUUUGUACAAAUUUCUCACGGGAGAAUAUUCACGGGUUGAUUCCUUGACCUUCGAUCUUUCUUCUCUCUCUUCCUCGAUCAUUGCAAAAUAAAUACGAGUAAAAGACCAUACCUGGGAUGGUGUUGGCCAAAGGCCCUUCUAUGCCUAAGUUAGUUCAAUUGGAUCUUUGAGAAAACAUAUGGCAAUAGCUAAAAUGGAUGAAGUUUUCUCUAUGGGGAGAACCGGGUGGCAUUAGCCGUGUGUGGUGGUACUUAGCCAUGUGAGGAGAGAGGCUGAGAGGGGCGGCGAGAGAGAGGGCGAGAUUGUUUGCGUAGCAUUUUUGAGUGUGAGUUUAGAAUUACCUUGAGUGCCUUGUGUGGCAUGUAUUUAUAGCCUCCUUGUGUGUUAGGAUUUUGGGAGAAUAAUCCUUAUUUGGUUAGGAUUAUUCUUCCCCAAAAAGAUGAUAGGAAUUACUCCCAGAGAUUUGGUGGAGAUGGGUUCCUUGAUUUAAGGAGAUAUUCAUAUCUUAAAUCAAAGAUAAUUUUCCUAAUUAAAUAGGAAUUAAUUAGGGUAAUUAGUUUGACCUAAGGAAUAUUCCUUUUCCAUGUGUCAUCUUCUUAUUGGCCGGUGAAAUAUAUGCUCCCAUAGGGUGGAGGGGGUGGUGGCUGGUCGGGGGUGGAAAUGGUGGCGGGGGUUGUGAGCAAAGAUAGAAGAAGAGGGUUUAUUUAUUUAUUUAUAAUUUUUUAAAUUUUUUUAAAUUUAAAAAAUUGCUUGAUUUUUUGGUAGUUGGGUUGAGAGAGAGGGGAUGAGAGGGAGUGACGGCAGCGAGUGUUUUUUUUAAUAUAUAAAUAUUUAUCAUUUCACGUCACGAGUUAAUAGAUUUUUUGGCGGCUGAUUGACAAUGGGUAUGAAAAUGGAAGGAAAUUAAACUUUUGGGUACGAAGUUGAUACGAAAAAAUUUUAUGUAGCAAAGUCAUAAUUUCAGAAAACUGAUGGGUAGUAAAGUUCUCAAGAAAUCAAGCAACCCGAAAAUUCCAACAAUACGCAUUCCUUCUUUUCCUAGUGCCAUAGAUGAUGCUCGAACAUUAUUUUCCAUAUUUGAAGCCUAAUUUUCUGAUUUUGAAUUUUUCUCCUGUUUCAAAUUUCCUUCGUAGGAACAAACCCAUGAUUUAUCCUACAUCAUAUAGCUUUGUUUCAACUUAUGUCAAUAGGUUGCUUUGAGCGCUAUAACAAUGGUAGGGUUUUAUGUUGUAAUUUGGGGAAAGCCCAAGAAGAGGAGGAGGCUCAAAAUGAUCAAACCGGAAGCUUGGAGUCAUUUUCUAGAACAAAACCUUUUUGCCUAAACAAGAAAAAACACUUGUGUGCAACGGGAAUUGCAACAUUCUUCACACAAGCUUUUCAACUAAACAAGGCACUGAGAUGAAAAGUCUGGCACACCAUCAAAUGUCAAGCUCUUGAUGACUUGACAUGGUAUUUAUCACCACCACCGUCACCACCACUUGACAUGGUCAUUACCGCCACUCUCCCCACCAACAUUAAUGUCUCUAUCAUCCCCACCACCACCAUCUCUACUACCAUCCCCAAUAUCAAACAUGAUGGUCUACUACUAAUUUGAAUUUAUAGAAAUUUAUAAAAAUCUAUCAAACUCUAUGAUAAGAUUCUAACAAAUUUCAUCAAAAUUCUUAUGAAAUUCAAUCAAAGUAUAUGUGGAGUUUAUAAAAGUAAAAUAAAAUCCAUAGAGUUUUAACUACUUUAAAAUUCAUUAAAAUCUUAAUUAAUACCAAACAAGCUCUUGAUGACUUUUGAAAACAAAUAUUCUUGUUAAAUAGUUGAGAUGAUAUGUUUUUAAACAAAAAAAACUCCAUUUUUUUCCUUUAAUCUAUAUAUAUAAAGUAAAGGCUUAAAUGCUAAAAUGGUCCUUGUGUUUUAGCCCGUUAGCCAAUUUAGUCCAUGUGUUUUCAAUUUGGCUAAUUUGGUCCUUGUGUUUCGGACUGUUAGCUAAUGUAAUCCAAUCCGUUAAACUUCUAUUAAAAUAUUAAUAAAAAAUAUAAAUAUUUGAAUUCAAUCUAUAAAAUAAAUAAUUAUGAAAUAAAAAUAAGAUUUAAAAGCUAAAAGCAAUUAAAAACCAAAGGACAACACCAUUUCUCCCCAGCAACAAUUCACCCACACGCAAAAACCCCAACUCCCCAAGCCACAGUCACCCACCCCUCCCCUUCUCUCUCUCUCUCUCUCUCUCUCUCUCUCUCUCUCUCUCUCUCAAGAACAAUCCCUAACUCCUGACCAUCUCCCAGUAGAAUCUUCACCAUGCAGUCAUCGCCCCACUCCCCCCAACCACAUUGCUGAGCAGCCCCGCACCCAUCCUUUUUUUAAAAAAAAAAAAAAUCUUUUUUCUAAUGCUAUGUUUUAGUUCUAAUGAAGUUUUAAUAUGUUUUUAAAUUAAUUCAAUUUUUAUAAAUUAAUUUCAACAAAAUUUAUAGGUUUUCAAAGGAAGAAGAAAAAAAAAAGAAUUAUCAUGUUUAUUUAACGGCAAUUUUAACAGAAUGGGCCACAUUGGCUAACAGUGCUAAACACAAGGACCAAAUUGGCUAAAUUAAAAACACAUGGACUAAAUUGGUCAACAAGAUAAAACACAGGGACUAUUUUAGCAUUUAAGCCUAAAGUAAAAGGCAGAGAAUGGUGAAACAUUCAAAAUACCAGAAAAUGCCCUUGGUUAAUGCAAACAUUAAGAAUUCAAAUUAUUAAUUAAAUGAGGAUAAUAUGGUAAAUUCACACUUUUCAUAUUUAAAAAAAUUAAAAGAAAAAGAAAAAGCAGAUAAUGGAUCCUAUUUUUAUGGAACACAACUACCCAUUAUCUUUUUUAAUUCUAAAAUAAAUUUACUUAUUUUUUUAAAAAAACCUCUCGCAAGCGCGGAAGCGCGUGCAGAGAGGCUAGUAUAGAUGAAGGAGAUAAACUCGAACACAAUACGUUGAUAACUAAACACUCCCAAUCACUUAAACAUAAACAUUGUGCCAUUAUGGUGUGGCCAUUUUUUCCUUUAUUAUCCGAUGCAACAAAGAAAAAGACCAUAAACAUUAGCCAAUCGAAGAAAAGAAAUUGAACUAUGGUGUGUCCCUUCAUUUUCGGUGGGAGGGAUGUUACUGUCAGUAUGUCAUCUCAUUAGUGGUCUAGCUUUUAUUAAAGUAAGUCGGUCCCCUCUCUAUCUAAGAUUUGCACAUAGGCCUCUUGCUAAAUUUAUUCUCGGCUUAAACUGUUGUAUGGCAGUUAGGAGUGGGCAUCAAUUCAGCCGAAUUGAUGAAACAAGCUGAAUUAAACUAUAAAUAUCGAUUUGGUUUGAUUUUGAUUAAAAAAAAGUCUAACAGUUUAAAAAUGGAACUAGACAGUAUAUGAUUUGGUUUAGUUUAACUUUGAACUUUUUAAAAUUGGCCUAAAAUAAACAAGAUCGUUUUAUUUAUUAAUAUUAUAUUUUACACGUGUAAUACUUUAAUUAGGUAAUAACUACAUAUGAAUAUUUGAAUUGAGCUAUAUUAGUUAUUGAAAUUUGAAGUUUUAUGGCAUGUUGAGCUUUAGGACGGUUUCGUACUAUGGAAAAUAAUUGAAGUAUGGAGCAAGUUGUGAAUUUGUUAUUUGUAAUUGGCUAACAAUGUUGAAAAAAUGCAAAAGAAAAGAGACUUAGGCUUAGGCCCAAACCGGCCAAACCAAACCGUUUUAAAUUAGUUUGGUUUGAUUUUGUUUUCUUUAUGACUUUUGUCAAAAUCGAAUCAACCAAACCGUUAUAUUGUAAUUGAUUUGGCUGUAAUUUUGAAGUAAAACUAAUCCAAUCGGACCAUGCCCAACCCUAAUAACAACUAGUGGGUCAUUGUAUAACUUUCAUAAAUUUUCAUUUGUUUCAGAUGUUGAAGCUGCAUAGAAUAUUUGAAUUGUGCCUACUAUCAUCAACCAAGGAGAAAAUAUUGAAUGAGAGCGUGGGGUAGGUAUUAACAGUGAUUCUCAAAUAUCGCAGAACAGAAUGUGAUACGAUGAGAUAGAAUGCAAUAGAAACAAAGACACAAGAAACGGGUUAUCUAUUCUUAACGGUCAAAGUGAACCCUUUCAUUCUGGGUAUUGGAGCAACACUACCUAUUGAUAAGUCCUUAACUUUAGGUCUUUUUUAAAUUGACAAUACUUGUAUGCUUUUAGCUGGAAUCUUAUUAAAAAAUGGGAGCAUAUGGAUUGGUUCAGAUCAAUAUGGAAAAGGGUCAUCCUAUAUAUACUUUAUUUAGUAAUUAAGAAAUUGCCACAUUAAUUAGUAACCCAAAAAUUGGUAUGUCUAGUAUUAUUGAUAAACUAGUUAGGAUCAGAUAAAAAAAGUUCAAAAGAAAAAACAAACACGUUGGGCCAUUGGACUUUACCUUCAUAAUCUAAUACAGGGAAUGGAGCAAGCAAGCAAGCAAGCAAACAAGCAACAAGCAACCCCAAGAGAUGAGGGGGUUGGUAUGUAUGGAGAAAGACUUCUAUAAAAUAAGGAUAGCAUUAAUUUUCUAUUUUCGGCUAAUAAUGUUCCACGUGGUAUAGCAUUAUUGGCCGAGAUCAUAGCAAAAUAUUGCAUUAUUGGUUUAGGGUUUAGGGUUCUGGAUUUGCAACGGCGGCGCGACAAGGGGAAAGUGGCAGCUGUAGCUUCCCAAAUUUAGGAUUCUUCCUUUGUGUUUGUAUUGGACUAGAUGUUUGUUUUAGGGUUUUCUUUUAUCUGACUUUUUUUAUUUCUGUUGGGCUGAAGCCUUGUACCUAUCAAUGUUGGGCUGGUUUUUUAUUUUUGCAUUUUCUGUGUAAUCCCUUUCAUCUCUAUGGAAUGAAUUCCCUUGACCCAAAAAAAAAAAAAAACAUCUAAUUGUUGCCGACUGAAUAUGAAAAUUUAAUAGAUAUUUAUUUUUAACAUUGAUUUUAUAUAUAAAUACUACAACCUACAACUCAAAGACAAAAAAAAACCAAAAAGUACUUGCUUUCUUAUUUUUUUUAAAAUUUAAAAGUAUCAAACUUCAGUGGUAAUAUUAUAAUUUUUAAGAUUUUUAAGGCUUGUAUGGUAUAUUUGGCCCCAUUGAAUAGUCAAUUGAGUUUUUCCCUAGAGUUUAAGUAUUAUAGGAUUUCCUUAUAAUUCAGGUCCAUUUACAAGCUUUUGUGUGAAACUGUCAAAAUUUUAGACAUUUGCAUAUAUGAUAUAUGUGACACUGCCAAAAUUUAAGACAUUUGCAUUAUUUCUGCAUAACAACAGAUUUUUCCAAGAUAAACUCUUCCAUGUUGCCACUCAAUUCUCUAUCUUUUGCCUUGAAUUUGUGCAGGCCUUAAUUCUCAAGAAGUACCCUGCAGUACUGAUCAUAACCUUCUUUUACAACUUCUUUGUCCCCUAACAAUCUGCAUUAAUCUCACUGACACUUGUACAAGCCCUAAGUGGUUGGAGACUAAAACCUAAUAUUGGAUUGCUUGCGGUUUUAUACUAAGUGAGCAACUGUGCACAUAUAACUCUGAUAUCAUAUUGUAACUCCAAUGACACAAAGGUAUAAUUUAAGGCAUAUAAUGGCCUAGUUUUUUUGUUAAAUAAAAUGAGGUAUAAUUUGCAACAUGUAGGCGAUUAUUGGGAUUACGUUCCGUAUCAACAUGUCUACAUGGUGCCUGCACUGCAGAGAAAAGGACCUGUGUGUGUUUCUAUGUUCAAGCCCCUUGCUGCUGUUGUCAAAGAUGUCAUUGAUGUAAUUUUUCUGGGACAAGCUCUGUAUCUUGGGAGGUAUAAUAAACAUGUAUAUCUCCGUAUUUUGUUGACCAAAUACGUACAACACAAGAUACAUAUGAGCUCAAACUGAUAUACACCUAGUGGUUAACCAAAAUUAUUGUAGCAGAGAAAGAUGCAGCUUUUCACUUUUUUUUUUUUUCAUGGUACAUAAGAAGUAAUCACAAUUUUACUGCAGUUUGAUUGGAGCAGGUGUAAUUAUCUCUGGUUUUUAUGCUGUGAUAUGGGGAAAGGCCGGAGAAGAGAAGUUGCAUGAGGACAGUGAAGAAGGGCAGAGUUGCUUAGAAUCAUCCACUGACUGCAAAAUAAGACAUAGAAUUGCAUUUUAUAAUUGUGCGACGGUCUCUGUGGCCUUUAUGAUGUGUUUAAUGUAUGUAAAGCAUUUUCAUUAAAAUUUGAAAACAAGAAAUGAUUUACAAAGGGGCUGUUUGAUAACCAUUCAAUUUUAAUUUUAGUUUUCACUUUUUGUGAUAGAGCAUAGGGGAAAAUGAGAGAGACGAUGAGAGGAGAGAGGAUGAGAAGGAGGAGUAACAAAAGUGAAAACAACUUCAAAUAAAUUUCAGUUUUUAAUUUUUGUUUUCACUUUUGUUACUAAUUCCUCCCAUCUUCCACUCUCAUCUUCCCUCUUAAUUUCAUAUUUACUCUCAUUCUCACUUCCAUUCUCCCUCUUUUUCUUCUAUACUCUAGCACAAAAAUUAAAAACUAAAAAUUAAAAUUAAAAUGGUUAUCAACAUGAAAAAUCAGAUGAAUGGAAAGGAGAAAAAGUUAGUUUGGUUCUUCUUCUGAUUGGUUGAGUCGGUAGAUCGAAAUAAUUAAGGCUAUUGGAUCCAACUCAAGAUGUCUCCUUCCAUGGUGCAGUUUGUAGUGCGCGAAUAUAAAUCAUAAUUUUAAUUUGAGUGGAACUGAAAUCACAGUAUACACCAAAAAUAUCUACAUGCUUGGUUUCACUGCACACAUAGACAAAACCUAUGUCAUCUCUUUAUACAACAAAUACAAAGUUUUACAAAAGAAAAGCAUAACACUGCUGCCAAAGAGAAUUGACAGUUGCCUUGAAAAUAUACAAACAACCCAUUUCCUCUAUCCUACAACAAAACUACAAGUGCAAAGGGGAAGAAAACAGAGAAGUGGUCCAAGUGAUUCUGUCUUUGUGACCUUGUGACUCUGUGUGUGUGUGCGCGCCACACAGACACAGAGAGAGAGAGAGAGAGAGAGAGAGAGAGAGAGAGAGAGAGAGAGAGGAUGAGCAUGGAGAGUAUACUGCCAUUUCUAGGGAUGGUGAUGGCGAUUCUGGCUCAAGCUGCAAAUAUGAUAGUAAACAAAGCAGCCAUGUCCAAAGGGAGCAACAAAUACAUUAUGGUUGUGUAUGCCAACGGCCUCUCCACUCUCAUUCUUCUCCCUCCAGCCCUCUUCUUCCACUACAGGUUCUUCUUUCUUUAAUUCUCCAUCUCCCUCAAUUCUUUAAUUUACUGUGUUCAUCAAUAAGGUGUGUGACAAUCUUUCCUCUUCAUGUUUCUUUGAUUUUCUGAUCAUUGGCAGAUCAGGGCGCCCUCCCCUUACAUUCUCCAUACUCUGCAGAUUCUUCAUGCUUGCCCUGUUUGGGUUGGUAACAUAGUACCAUGAAACUUUACACUACUUUUUUACUGUGCAUUUGCAAUUUCUUACAUGUAAAUUGUAAGAUAAAUAACUCAAUCAAUUGACAUGCGAAUUUUUUUAGGGGUUCUUUAUUGAUGCAUAUUUAGAAAAAGAAAUAUAUUCUGGUUGAUUUUAGUUACUUCCAUGCAGAUGUUCUGCCCAGAUAUUUGGAUAUGUUGGUAUAGAAUACAGCUCUGCCACGCUUGGCACCGCCAUGCUUAACCUCAUCCCAGCAUUUACUUUCACACUUGCCAUCAUUUUCAGGUUCUGUUUUUUAUUUUCUGAUUGGAAUAUAAGAAUACUGAUCUGAAUUAUACAUAUAUAGAGCUCAUGGCAAAUGACUAAAACUAUUAAGCUUUUUCUUAUAAGUUGAUUUCUUAAGAGAAAAAACCAAUUAGAUUAAUGUGUAUGUGUAAUCACAUGCAUUGAUUGUUUGAAAUGGGUGGUUUUAGGAUGGAAAAGGUGCAGUGGAGAAGCUCAAGCAGUAAAGCCAAAAUUUUGGGAACCACAGCAUCAAUCGCAGGAGCUUUUGUUGUAACAUUCUACAAAGGCCAGCCAAUCAUGCUGCUACCAUCAUCACAUCCACCCAAUCUCUUCUCAUCAAAAUCAAAUUGGGUUCUGGGAGGCCUUUUUCUUGCAGCUGAUUCCUUCUCCAGUUCCUUAUGGUACAUUCUGCAGGUAAUUAGGCGUAUCAUUCAAUCACUCAAUUACCCUUUCAAGAGCUCAAAGCAAAGAACAAGCAAAUCAAUUAAUUAAUUGUUUUAUUUUCUUAAUUCCAAACAUUUGCAGGCAUCAACCCUAAAGAAGUACCCAGCAGUUGUGGUCAUAGUCUGUUUUCAAAGCUUAUUCACUACCAUUCAGUCUGCAUUAUUUACUUUGAUUGCAGUUAAAGAUGCAAGUGCUUGGGAGUUAAGGUUGGAUAUGGGGCUGAUUGCUGUUUUGUACACUGUAAGCAAGCAAGUAGCAAUGUCUAUAAUGUUUUCAAGUUCAAACUUUAUUCAUAAAUUCAUUUUUGUAUGUUCAUAUAUCUCAUCGUAUAGGCAAUUGUUUCAAUCGUUCUCCGUUACACUUUAACCACCUGGUGUGUGUGGAAGGCUGGAGCUCUUUUUUGUUCUAUGUUUAAGCCUCUUGGAAUUAUUUUUGGUGUGAUCAUGGGUGCCAUCUUUUUGGGAGAUCCAUUCUAUUUUGGGAGGUACGUACAAUUGUAACUCGUGUUACUGAAGCAUUUGGAUAUAAUCUUUAAGAGAUUUGUAGCUUAAGUAGUUAAGCAUAUUUAUCCGUCUAUCCAAGAUCUCGUUCCAAUUAAUUAUAAGGGUUAACUCGUAGGUUUUUUUAAUUUAUAAAUUUAAGCACCUGCGUGUAAAAUUUUAAAAAUUAAGUACUAAUUUGAAACGAGCUCAAAGAUUGAGUACUUUUAUGUAAACUCUAAUUAUAAUUUGUUAGAGUCAAUAAGUGGUGGUCUCACUCUUUUUAGGCGCAAUAAAGUAGUAUAUGUUGAAAAGACUAUAAUUAUGGGUUUUGUAAUAUUAAACUUUCGUUAAACGUAAGGUGGUUGAGACGGUUUUGUAAUAUGGUGAAAGAAAACUUAUAAAUAAUCAGAAACGACAACCAGUACAUAAUAAUGUAAGAGAAAUGGGGUACCCCCACCUCAAUUAGUGACGGCCCAGUGGAUAAUAUUUUAUUUCAUUGAUUGAUUGAAAGUUAGUGAAAGCCUCAGAUGGUUUUCAAAGUCUUUGCCUCUUAACAAGUCUGCAGGUUUAUGAUUAAGACUUCUUGUUAGCAAAUUAAUUAAUGAUAAUUGUACAAUAAUUUUGCAGUUUGGUUGGUGCACUUAUGAUUGUUACUGGGUUUUAUGCGGUGAUGUGGGGAAAGGCCAAAGAAGAGAAGCUGGUGGAAGGUGGUAGUCGUUGGGAAUCAUUAGGUCAAAAUAAUGUCCCUCUACUACAAAACAAUAUACAAGAGAAGCACAACUGCACAAGUAUCUUGUGAAUAACAAGGCAGGUUCUUUUUUGUUUGUGUACAUAAGCCGCAGAUUAUUAAAAUGGUCUAAAUGUAAUGAAAUGAGAAUAAAUUUAAUUUUUUUUAAUGAUAAUUGUAAAGAUUUGAGAUCCUAUAUAUGAAAAUUACAUUUAUAUUAUCUCGACUCACCAAUAUUGAUUUUUGAACUGAAACGAUCGAGCAUACAACUAAUUGAAAUGUAAAGCGAGGUUUUCACUAUUCAACUUAUCAUUUGAUAACUAACUUGUUUUUAAUCUAAUGAAACUCAUCAUUUCAUCCCUAAUUAAUUUUUAGUCUAAUAAUAUUUCCCUUAAUUUCAUAAAGAAAAUUUUAAGUUCGAAUCUCACUCACAAGUUGAAAAGAGAGAUGAAAUAAACAUUGAAUUUUGAAGUUACAAGUUACAACUAGUAAAAACAGGACAAUGCUUGAAAGAAAAUUGAAACAAUGUUUUUCUUUUAUCUUAAAAAGAAAAGGUCGAAACAAACAACAUAUUUAAAAAAAAUAGUAAAACCAAGUGGCGGGCAACGUGAGACAAACAGACACACCAAUUAUGAAUGAAAAAGUGAGUCUUUGGUCAGUUGAAAUCAAGUGUAACUGAACGAUCUGACGAGUUUGAUAGAAAGUGUGUGUGAUUCUGGUUGUGGGAUUGAAGAGAAAAACAGAGCCAUGGGGAAAGUUGCAGCACUACCUAUAGUAGGGAUGAUGAUGACUGAGUGUGCUGGAGCAGGGGUCAUAAUACUAAGUAAAGCAGCCAUGUCUACUGGCAUGAGCAACCUCAUCUUUGUCUUCUACUCCAACGCUCUUGCUGCCCUCAUCCUCCUCCCUACUUCUUUAGCCUUCCACAGGUAAUUAAAUCUCACUCUUUAUGGACUACCCAGAAACCAAAGAUUUUGUUUUUCACUAUAAUUUCCUACUUUGGUCACAAAUGUAAUUCCUUUCUUUGAGUGUUCUUGUUAGAUCGCGUCCUCCUCUCACUUUCCCCGUCCUCUGUUGGUUCUUCUUGCUUGGUCUAAUUGGGUAAGUUACUAUAUUCAUCUACAAACUACAACAUUAGAAAAAUCCUAUAUAAUAUGAUAAAUUAAAGUUUGCAUUUUGGGAUGGUUUUGUUUGCACAAUUGACGCUUUUAAUUUGUUGCCUUGUGGUAAGUGGAUUAUGUUUAGUGGGUUUGAUUGGUAUUCGCAUUUUGCAGAUUCGUUGCGCAGUUUGUUGGGUAUGCUGGGAUUAAUUACAGCUCUCCUACUCUUGGCACGGCUAUGCUCAACCUCCUUCCUGCCUUUACCUGCAUACUGGCAGUCAUCUUUAGGUCGCGCCCUCCUCUUAUUACUCACCCCACCCUCUGGGGUUACCUAUUUUACUUUUGUCUCAGUGGAAGCUAUUUUAGCUUGUUUUUCUAUUUUACUUGGGAAAUUGAGCACACGCAGGUAGGCAGUCUGGAGCAUACUUUUGGUUUGUUUUGUGUUUUGUAAAGAAACCUUCUAGGGAAAAAUAAUAAAAAAAGUUUCUGAAAGGUUAUGUUUUGAGUCUUGAGUCUUUGGCCUUAGUUUCCCAGGAGAAUCAAGUUUCUUCUGCUGUAUCUACAUUGCAGUACUUAUUUUGUUUUUCGAAGAUUUCUGUAGAAGAACCAGUGUAAAGAGUUCAAUAAUCAUUUUCUCGUCUCCAAUGAGAAUUUCAGCUGAUGAGCUUUCUCUCAUCACAGAUAAGACUGUACAAAUUUUGAGACAGCGGUAGACUGGUAGUUUGGUAAUGUCACACCGUCAACAAUUUCUAAAUUCAUUCAACUGGGUAUUUUCAGAAUGGAAACAGUUGACUGGAGAAGCUCCAGUACCCUAGCUAAAUCCUUGGGAACAAUGCUUUCAAUUUCAGGGGCAUUCAUUGUGACUCUUUACAAGGGCCCUGCACUUUUGUUGACAUCCUCAACUGAUAUAUUGUCUUAUAAACAACUUUUCUCACAACAGUCAAACUGGGUCAUUGGAGGAAUUCUCCUUUUGGUUUAUUGUGUGUUGGCUUCAUCAUCUUAUAUUAUACAGGUAAGAUCUGUGAAUUUAAAAUCCUUAUGAAACUGUGGAAUUUGUUCAGAAAAUUGAGAUUAGUUAUUAUUCUAUUCUGUGUUUCAGGCAUCAGUCAUAAAGAAAUACCCAGCAGAGCUAAUUAUGGUCUUUUAUUAUUGUUUCUUUGUGGCUAUUCAAGCUGUAGUAGUCUCUUUGAUUGUAGAAACAGACCUAAGUGCUUGGAGCUUGAAACCUAAAAUGAGGUUGAUCGCUGUUGUAUACUCGGUAAAUGGAAAACGUAACUCAACCAUUACAUACCUAUUGGAUUCAGAUAUGUGCUAAAACAUGAACCUAAGCUGCUCAACCUUUAAAUUAUAUUAUUGUAGGCAGUUUUUGGCUCGACAUUUACGAUUGGUGUAACCACAUGGUGCCUUCAUAGGGCAGGGCCUGUUUUUAUAGCUAUGUUUAAGCCUUUGGGGAUUAUUGUUGCAGUUUCCAUUGGUGUUACUUUCGUUGGGGAUACUUUCUACCUUGGAAGGUAGGAUUUCUACCUUGUUUUUCCCUCUUAACUACCAUAUCUAAAUACUGCAGAGUGAGAGACAUUAACUUUGUUCCUGGUGAAAAAAAAAAAAAGAAAUAAAUCAGUUGCUUGCUGAAUCCUGCAGUUUGGUAGGAGCAAUUGUAAUUGUCAUUGGUUUUUAUUCGGUGAUGUGGGGCAAAGCCAAUGAAGAGAAGAUGGAUGGUGGUGCUGAGACAAAGAGCUUGGCAACAAGCAACCAGCGGGUCCCUCUAUUACAAAACACUCUUGAAGAAAUAUAGAAGUUUACAGUAAUCACACCAUGAGGUUUCUCUUGCCAAACAAAUGGGUACUCUAUCUCCUCUUCUUCGUUCUUUCAGAAUGCUACCAUUUCUGUCAUUCUUGAAAAUUGGGAUAGGUUAUUGUGGAAUUGUUUGCUGAAGGCCAUGGAAAAUUGAGGAUAACUGGAGAACUCAUCCUUUCCAUCAGUUGUUAUACUCCAAUUCAGGCCUGAUUUGGCGCUGGGUUGGUCCAUUAUUUUUGGUAUUAACUGUUUAAGAUAACCAGACAAUCCAUGAUGCUGUUUGUAUCACCAACAGAUAGUGAACUACCACCAUCAUGCACAUGUGGGGUUGGAAAUAUCUAACAACCACUGUUGAUGUGACAAUUAGAGAAGAUGGCAGCCAACCGUCAAGUUUUAUUUUUAUUUUUAUUAUUUUUUAUGCAAGCGAUAUUGGGUGGGGGGGAUUCGAAUGUAGGACCUCGGGUGCAGGGGAAACCGACAAGGUUAAUUGCAAGCAAUGACCUGUUUGCCAAUGGGUACUUGCGUAAUAGGCACAAUAUGGAGAUAUAUGUUCGGUAUUUUUCUGCAUAUACAUUUGGUAGUUUUGUUCAUAAUAUGCCCAUACCUGACUGGAGAAGUUUUGUAUCUAUAAAAUGUAGGGUUGUGAACAUGGGGAGCAUAAUCAUACAUAUCAUAUCAGAAUGAGUUGGACGUCGAGUUUGCAGGGUCAAACUUAAAGGCAACCGUAACAGAAACAUUUAUGUGAAAGCAGCUUCUUGUUUGGAAAUGAAAUCUAGUUGUGGUAGUUGGUUUAAGAUGUAUGAUCUCCUUCUUCAUUAGUUGUAGCAAAUAAGGUGACAAUAAGUUAGUUAGCCUUGGGAGGGAAGGAAUGAUGGCAAUUGGCGAGGGCUAAAGUUCUUGAAGAACAUAUUUUCCACUAUUUAAUUGAAACAUCUGUUGACCUCUUUUGUUGUUUCUGUAAUUAUAUAUCGUUAUUUUUCUUUCUAAUCAUACUAGUACUUCAAAUUGUGCAAUUGAAAUGGAGGCUCUUGUGGGCUGAUAUUCAUGGGAAUUAUGAAUUAUAUAUGCUUAAAAUUUUGCUAGAUCUGGGUUGAGUUCAGAUUUUAAAAAAAAAAAUCUAAAGCAAGAUACAAGAGAAGCACAACUGCAGAAGUCCUCUGUUUAUGCCUAAUGGAAAUGGAAUUCCUCUGUUUCUAGUUGAUGCAUUUUCAAAUUUUAUCAAUUCAAAAUUGUAAAAACGUGUGCCUGCCUAAAUGGAACCAAUAACUUAACCUAAAAAAUUAAGAUAAUUGCAUUUUGUACAAGUAAAUACAUUAUCACACCACCUAACUAGAACUGGCAACGAAUAAUUUGACAAAGAAACUAACUAUACCAUCAGGCAUCAAUUUUCCUGCGCCUUAAGCCAGUUGGACCUGAAAGACAAUCAUGACAGAUAUCAAUAGCUUCAGUGUCAAACUUGCAUGCUUUCAACUGUGAAGCCGUGGUCCCUCUUGUAUGUAUAUGUCACAAGGCACAACACCAGGUGCAUGCUUACAGCACACACAAAGGUUAUUCUGGUUUUUUUUUUCCCUUCUUGGCAUGGGGAAGGGAAUUUCAGUGGCUUUUGUGGCACUGGUGAUGGCAGUUCUUGCUCAGGUGACUAGUAUGAUAUUGACCAAAGAAGCCAUGAGCAUCGGACUGAGUGAAUAUACUCUUGUUGUCUACUCUAAUGCUCUCUCCACUCUUAUCCUUACCCCUUCUUCCUUCAUCUUUCACAGGUCUCAUUUCCUUCUCUGUUUCUUUCACACUGUUUAUACAUUUUGAAACUACAUUCCCCUGCAUGUUUAUAAUAUAUAUCUGACUCUUCAUUUAAUGGCAGAUUAGAGCGUCCUCCGCUCAGCUUUUACAUUGUCUUCAGCUUCUUCUUACUUGGCUUUAUUGGGUUUGUAAAAAAGACCUUGUUUUUAUUUUCGAAGAGGUUCAAGUUGUGGGUACUACUCAAUUUUCGACUUGUAUUGCGCUUUUCCACUUUGCAGCUAAUUUAAUCCUCAUUAUGUAUAGAACUUCUGCACAGUUAAUGGGACUUGCUGGUUUAAACUACGCCUCUGCUACGCUUAACACAACCAUGCUCAAUCUCAUUCCAGCCUUUACAUUCAUACUUGCCUUACUAUUCAGGUUUCUAAUUUCUCAAUUUGUAGUUCCUACUUCUUUCUAUCUAUCAGGCGUUUGAGUGAUUGAGUUGAGACCAAAAACGUAAUAAUAAUAAUUUGUCUUAUGCUAAGUUGAGGAUAAAAUAAUUGUUCUCCAAGUCACCCAUGAUUUUAUGUGAUUAAUUAGGAUGGAAAAGCUAAACUGGAGGAGCUCAAGCAGCCAAGCUAAGUCUUUUGGAGCUGUAGUGUCAAUUACAGGGGCAUUUGUUGUGACUUUCUACAAGGGCCCAGCAGUGAUCCACCAACGCUUGUCUUCUGACCCGUUGAGUGGUCCAUGUCUCUUCUCACCAAAAUCACAUUGGGUCCUUGGAGGAUCACUCCUAGCCGCUGAGGCAUUCAUGUCCUCAUUAUGGAUUAUUCUGCAGGUAAUUCGAUUUAAUAUUUAUAUUGGUGGUGAGUUUGUAUAAGUACUAGGCUUCUAGCUAAUUAAAUAGGACCCUUUUUUCUUUUUGCAGGCCUUAAUCCUUAAGAAGUACCCUGCAGUGCUGAUCUUAGCCUCCUUCUACUGCUUCUUUGUGACCAUACAAGCUGCAUUAGCCUCACUGAUACUAGUAAAAGACCCAAGUGCUUGGAGUUUAAAACCCAAUAUUGGUUUGUUUGCAGUUUUAUACUCAGUAAGGAAAUAAUUACCGUCCCAAUGUUCUGAUUUCAUGUUCUAACUCCAAUUAUACAAAAACUGGAAUUAGGAAAUGAGUAAGAAUUAGUUGAAGGCAUAAAUCUACUUUGACCUUGAACUUUGGCCUAAUUUUUUGUUUACUCCUGUUUGUUGUGAAGUGGUGAGUAUGUAACAUGGGGUACAAUUUGGAAAAUGUAGGCGGUUGUUGGGACUGCGUUACGUACCAGUGCGGUAGCAUGGUGCCUGCAGAGAACAGGACCUUUGUAUGUUUCUAUGUUCAAGCCCCUUGCUGUUGUUGUCGCAGAUGUCAUUGAUGUAAUUUUUCUGGGACAAGCUCUGCAUCUCGGAAGGUAUGAACACAUAUUUCUCUGUAUUUUGUUGACUGAUCUGAUUGUGCAAAAUACCUCUGAGUUCAAUGUGAUAUACUUGAUGCAAUUUGCUAAAAUGUAGUAGCUUUUCAACUUGUACUAAAUACCAUCUUUUUUAUUUGCCAAUAGUGCAUAAAAAGUAAUCAAAAUCUUACUGCAGCUUGGUUGGAGCAGCUGUAAUUAUCACUGGCUUUUAUGCUGUGAUAUGGGGUAAGGCCAGAGAAGAGAAGUUGCAUGAGGACAGUGGAGAAGGGCAGUGGUCAGAAUCAUCAUCUGAAAGCACCCCCCUGCUGCAAAGUGCAAAAUAAGACACAGAUUUGUCUUGUCUAGAAACCAUGGUCUUAGACGUCUUUGUAAUUUUGAUGUGCAAUUUGAUGUGAUUUAUGCAUAUAUAUAUAUAUAUAUAUAUGUUAAGCAUUUCCACCUAUCAAAAGAAAAAUAUGUUGAGCAUUUCCAUGCAGAUGUUCAUCUCAGAUAUUUGGAAAUAUCUGUAUAGCAUACAGUUCUCCCACGCUUGCCACGGCCAUGCUUAACCUAAUCCCCAGCAUUUACUUUCAUACUUGCCAUCAUUUUCUGGUUCUGCUUUUUUCUGAUAGUAAGAGUAAUUUGAACUUGGGGACCCCUACUCAGCGAAUAUAUGUGCAUGACUAUGACAAAAGAUAUUAAACUUUCCCUUUAUAGUUGAUUUCUUAUGAAACUCAGUAGAAUGGGAUAAUCUAAUCCCAUGAGUUGGUGAAAAGAGAAAUAGGAUAGUCCAAUCCACAGCUUGAUUGGCUACAUUUGAACAAGUGACAAGGACUUUCAUAUUCAAAAACAAAAUUUUCGAAAAUGACUUAUAGCAGCAGCUUUUAUAACCGCAGUCUAGUUGAAAUUUCGAAGGGUCAGCUGUCCUCCAGUUUUCCACUAAUUGGAACAGAAGAUGCGAGUGAAAAUACUGCAAUUAGUGUUAAAAUGUAAACUGCCUAGCUAAUUUCUGAUUAGUUAGUAAGCUCUAAGUCAGCUUAUAUUUAAUCUGUUUUUAAGUCCUGUGUUAGCUGAGCACCUUGGCUUAUAUGCCAGGUGCAAUGCUUGAGUCAGUUUCUAUUUCCUAGCUGUCCUAAAAAGCUGUGUAUUGCCAUGUGUCAUAUUCACAUUGGCUUACUGUUACAAACGGUUAGAUUUUGAAUUGGCUGAUGUAAGAGAACAUGCUAUUGUCAUGAGGGAAUAUAGGCUCUGCUGCAACGGUUAUGCAGAGUAAGCAUUUUGUUAUUACAAUCUUUGCUUCUCAGCUCUCUCUCUCUCUCAGUACCUUCUUUGCUCCCUCUGAAAUCCAAACAUUCAACAUGGUAUCGAGAGCGCAGGUUGGAUCUGGAUAGUGGGCGUUGAAACUGUGUAAGCUGAGUCUGGAAAUCCGACGAGAAAUUUCCGACUCUCAGCUCAUUGAUUCUGGUCUCAGAUGGCUGGGUCAGGAGGGAGUGAUCUUAGAGCUCCAAUAUUCAAUGGGGAAAACUAUGAGUUUUGGAAGAUUCGAAUGAGAACAAUUUUCAAAUCUCAUGGAAUCUGGGAUUUAGUUGAGAAAGGUCUUCAAGAUCCAGAUUCAAAGGGGAAGAAGGUUGAUGAAGAAGGGUCAUCGGAGUCAGAGAAGGUGUCUUUGUUAAUGAAGGAUGCUAAGGCUCUUGGUAUUAUCCAAGGUGCUGUUUCAAAUGACAUUUUCCCCAGAAUCUCAAAUGAAGAAACCUCAAAAGGUGCUUGGGAUAUCUUGCAUCAGGAGUUUCAUGGUGAUAAGCAAGUCAGAUCCAUCAAGUUGCAGGGUCUGCGUCGUGAUUUUGAGUACACCAGGAUGAGGGAUGAUGAGAUCUUGUCUGGGUACAUCACUCGGUUACUUGAGCUUGUAAAUCAGAUGAAGGGAUAUGGGGAAGAUCUGACCAAAGGGAGGAUAGUUCAGAAACUGCUAAUAAGCUUAACCAAGGAGUUUGAUCCAGUCUGCUAUGUGAUUGAGCAAACUAGGGACAUUGAAACCAUUGAAGUGCAGGAGGUAAUUGCAGCAUUGAGAGGAUUUGCUCAGCGUCUUGACAGACAUGCUGAAAGCACCACUGAGAAAGCUUUCAGCAGCAUGAGCAUGAACUCAAAAGGAUCUCAGUCAAGUUCUAGUCCUGACACUAAUAAAUCAAAGAAGAACUGGAAGUCCAAGGAUAAGAAAUGGGAUUCUAAACCUCAAAACAAUGCCAAUCAAAGGGGAAAACCGAGUCAAGGAGACAAAUCUGGAAAAUGCAAAUAUUGUAAGAAGCUAUACUAUAGUGAGUGUUGGUUUAAAGGAAAACCAAAGUGUCAUGGCUGCAAUCGAUUUGGUCAUUUUGUCAAGGACUGUGACCAAGCAAACAAGGCAGGGAAACUUGCUAACAUUGCAAAUCAGGUAACAGAACCUGCCAUUAUGUUCUAUGCAUGUCAUGCUGCAACAAUUGGAAAGAAUGUGAAUAUGUGGUAUGUUGAUAGUGCAUGUAGCAAUCACAUGACUUCCCAUGAGUCCUUACUUGUAAAUGUUGAUAGAAGUGUGAAGUGUAAAGUCAAAAUGGGGACUGGUGAUCUAGUACAGUCAAUAGGCAAAGGGACUUUGGCUAUAGAAAUGAAGGGUGUGACUAGAUAUAUCAAGGAAGUCAUGAUUGUACCGGGUUUGGAUGAAAACUUGCUAAGUGUAGGUCAAAUGAUAAAACAUGGGCAUUGGCUUGUAUUUGGUGAUAAUGCAGUUGAUAUCUAUGGAGAUAGGCAGCUGGAAGAUUGCAUUGCAAGAGUGCCAAUGAAGGGAAACAGAUGUUUUCCUUUAAAUCUAGAUUAUGUCAAUCCCCCUAUGGCAAAUAGAGCAACAGUUGGAGAAACAUCCUGGCUGUGGCACAGAAGAUUUGGGCACCUAAACUAUGUUAGUUUGAAGCUGUUACAAGAGAAAUAUAUGGUUCAGGGACUGCCUAAUCUGCAAGAGUAUGAGAAGGUUUGCUCGGGUUGUGCUGUAAGCAAGAAUCACAGAAGCUCAUUUGAUAAGGAAAGAUCUUGGAGAGCCUCUCAACCUCUAGAACUGAUUCACUCAUAUAUAUGUGGUCCAAUGUAGACCAUCACUCUUGGAGGGAAUAGAUAUUUCCUCACCUUCAUUGAUGAUCACACUAGAAUGUGUUGGGUGUUCUUCUUGCAGCAUAAGUCUCAAGCAUUCAACAUAUUCAAAAGGUUCAAAAGCAUGGUUGAGCUACAAAGUGGUUAUCAAAUUAAGAAGCUAAGAAGUGAUAGAGGUGGAGAAUAUACAUUUUUGGAUUUCUCAAAGUUUUGUGAAGAGAUGGGAUUAGAAAGGCAACUGAUAGUAGCCUACUCUCCACAACAGAAUGGAGUUGCAGAGAGAAAGAAUCGUACUGUGAUGGAAAUGGCAAGAGCCAUGAUGCAUGAGAAGAAAAUUCCUUUGAAGUUUUGGGCAGAAGCUGUCAAUACAGCUGUAUAUCCACAAAAUAGAAGCCCUACAAGUGCACUGGACAAUUCCACUCCAUUUGAGAAGUUUAGUGGAAGAAAACCAGGAGUGAAGCAUUUGAGAAUAUUUGGUUCUCUAUGCUAUAUUCACAUCCCCACACAGAAAAGGCACAAGCUGGAAGAAACAGGUGAGAAGGGAGUAUUUGUAGGAUAUGGAGUAUGUGAAAAGGGGUAUAGAGUACUCAACUUGAGAACUCAAAAGAUUGAGCUGUCUAGGAGUGUCAUUUUUGAUGAAGAAGCAAUGUGGAAUUGGGAAACAAAUGAGGCAUUGCAAAUUCCUAUGUCUUGGAGUGAUGAAGCAAGUUCAACAGUAUCAGAUUUGGAUUCAGAACCAAAUCUGUUACAACAACAGAUUGUGCAGUCUCCUAUGGAAACACAAACAAGUAGUGACUUGCAUGCUACUCAAGAUUCAGCUCUACUUGAAACUUAUGAUAACACCCCAAAGAAAUGGAAGAGUUUAAGUGAUGUGUAUGCUCAAUGCAAGAUGAGCAUCAUUGAACCUGAAAAUUUUGAAGAAGCAGUCAAAGAUGAAGCUUGGAGGAAGGCUAUGACUGAGGAGAUACUUAUGAUAGAGAAAAACUCUACUUGGGAAUUAAUUGAUAGGCCAAGUAGUAAACCAAUUGUGGGAGUGAAGUGGAUAUUCAAAACUAAGCUCAAUCUUGAUGGCUCCAUUCAAAAACAUAAAGCAAGGCUUGUUGCCAAGGGAUACACACAAAAACCAGGGAUUGAUUUCAAUGAAACCUUUGCUCCAGUGGCAAGGUUAGACACCAUUAGAACCCACAUAGCUCUUGCUGCACAGAAAGGCUGGAAACUAUGGCAAUUGGAUGUCAAAUCAGCCUUCUUAAAUGGUGUCCUUGAAGAAGAAGUUUAUGUUGAUCAACCAGAUGGUUUUGUGGUUAAAGGUGAUGAGGAUAAAGUGUAUAGGUUAAGAAAAGCUCUCUAUGGGUUGAAGCAGGCUCCAAGGGCCUGGUAUAGUGAAAUCGACACCUACUUGAAUCAGUGUGGUUUUCACAAAAGUCCAAGUGAAGCAACUCUCUAUGUGAGAACCAAGAAAGGUGUGGGAACACUAAUAGUGUCAAUCUAUGUAGAUGACAUAGUGUAUACAGGAAGUAGUGAUGAAAUGGUGAAAGAAUUCAAAGCUGAAAUGAUGUGCAAGUAUGAGAUGUCUGACUUGGGUUUACUCCACCAUUUUCUUGGUAUGGGAGUAACACAAACUGAAGGGAGCAUCUUCAUUCACCAAAAGAAGUAUGCUCUCACUCUCUUGGAUAAGUUUGGACUCAAAGACUGCAAGUCAGUAAGCACUCCAUUAGUGGCUACUGAUAAAUUGAAAAGAGAGGAUGGAAGUGAAGCUGCAGAUGAAAGCUUGUUCAGAAAAAUUGUAGGUAGCCUGCUGUAUCUCACUGCAACCAGGCCAGAUAUCAUGUUCUCUGCCAGCCUGCUUGCAAGAUUCAUGCACAACCCUUCUAAGAUGCACUAUGGGGCAGCUAAAAGGGUUCUAAGGUACAUACAAGGUACGAUUGAUUAUGUGACUGGAAAGUCUGCAAUCUUAGUAGGUUACUGUGACAGUGACUGGAGUGGCUCUGAGGAAGAUAUGAAAAGCACUUCUGGAUAUGCGUUUUCAUUUGGAAGUGGUAUUUUUUCGUGGGCAUCAGUCAAACAACACAGUGUGGCUCUUUCUACUGCAGAGGCAGAGUAUGUGAGUGCAACAGAAGCUACAUCACAAGCCAUUUGGCUCAGGUUUGUUCUUGAAGAUUUUGGGGAAGAACAGACCACUCCAACUACUGUGUUUUGUGACAACACUUCAGCCAUAGCAAUGGCUAAAAAUUCAGUUUUUCAUCAACGGAGCAAGCACAUUAAAAGGAAGUUUCAUUUUAUUAGAGAUGCAAUACAAGAAGAAGUGAUUGAACUGCUCUACUGCAAGGGAGAAGAGCAGAUUGCUGAUAUCUUCACCAAAGCACUUCCCAAAGACAGGUUCGACUAUUUGAGGAGAAUGCUUGGAGUGAAAUCAGCUAGCACUGUAGAAGGGAGUGUUAAAAUGUAAACUGCCUAGCUAAUUUCUGAUUAGUUAGUAAGCUCUAAGUCAGCUUAUAUUUAAUCUGUUUUUAAGUCCUGUGUUAGCUGAGCACCUUGGCUUAUAUGCCAGGUGCAAUGCUUGAGUCAGUUUCUAUUUCCUAGCUGUCCUAAAAGCUGUGUAUUGCCAUGUGUCAUAUUCACAUUGGCUUACUCUUACAAACGGUUAGAUUUUGAAUUGGCUGAUGUAAGAGAACAUGCUAUUGUCAUGAGGGAAUAUAGGCUCUGCUGCAACGGUUAUGCAGAGUAAGCAUUUUGUUAUUACAAUCUUUGCUUCUCAGCUCUCUCUCUCUCUCUCUCUCAGUACCUUCUUUGCUCCCUCUGAAAUCCAAACAUUCAACAAUUAGGUCCUCUUUGUUGUUAUGUAAGAACAAAUAUGCUUCAGUUGUUUGAAAUGGGUGAUUGAGGAUGGAAAAGGUGCACUGCAGAAGCUCAAGCAGCCAAGCAAAACUUUCUGGAACCAUAGUCUCAAUCACAGGAGCAUUUGUGGUAACAUUCUACAAAGGCCUGCCAAUCAUACUGCUAUCAUCAUCACUCUCCAAUUCACCCAAUCAACUCCUUUUUCUCAUAACAAUCACACUGGAUUCUGGGAGGGCUUUUUCUUGCAGCUGAAGCCUUCGCAACUUCUUUAUGGUACAUUAUGCAGGUAACUAGGCCUAUUAUCAACUCAAUUACCCUUUCUAGAGCUGAAAGUAAAGAACAAGCAAAUGUUUGCAGGCAUUUGUCAUUAAGAAGUACCCAGCAGUGGUGUUCAUAGUCUUUUACGUAACCAUAUCUGCAGCAUUUACAUUAGUUGCAGUUAGAGAUGCAAGUGCCUGGGGAGCUAAGGCUGGAUGUGGGGCUGAUUUCUAUUUUAUAUGCCGUAAGCAAAUAGUAACCCUGUCAUGUUUUGGAGUUGAAAGAUUUUUCAUAGUUCAUAAAGGAUACUUGUAGAUGCAAUUAAAUUCUUUUUGCAUGAUCACCAUAUAUAGGGUAUUGUUUCAAGCGUUCUUCGCUACAGUUUGAUCACUUGGUGCGUGUGGAAGGCUGGAGCUUUUUUGUUCUUUGUUCAAGCCUCUUGGAAUAAUUUUUAGUGUGAUCAUGGGUGUCAUCUUUUUGGGAGAUUCCGUCUAUCUUGGAAGGUAUAAAUAUUGGUCAUCUGGUUUGUUUCAACCUUCUCACUUGUGCUUUUCAAGUGUUUAUCAUAUCUCAUCAUAUAGGCAAUUGUUUCAACCGUUCUCCGUUACACUUUAACCACCGGUGGGUGUGGAAGGCUGGAGCUCUUUUUUGUUCUAUGUUCAAGCCUCUUGGAAUUAUUUUUGGUGUGAUCAUCAUCAUGAGUGCCAUCUUUUUGGGAGAUCCAUUCUAUCUUGGAAGGUACGUACAAUUGUAAUUCGUGUUAUUGAAGCAUUUGGUUAAACUUAUAAAUAAUCAGAAACGACGACAAGUACAUAAUCAUGUAAGAGAAAUGGGGUACCAGGUACCCUCAAUUAGCGAGGGCCCAGUACAAGUCUGCACAAGUCUGCAGAUUUAUGAUUAAGAAAGACUUCUUGUUUGGUUGGUGGGGAAGGUCGUUGGGAAUCAUUAGGCCAAAAUAAGGUCCCUCUACUACAAAACAAUGUACAAGAGAAGCACGACUGCACAAGUAUCUUAUGUAAAUAACAAGGCAGGUUCUUUGUUGUUUGUGUCAUGCUACUAGUCAUGUGAUUAUUAAAAUGGUUCUAAACUUUUAAUGUAAUGAAAUGUAAAAUAAUGCCCAAUUUUUAGUUGUAGAAACUCGGAAUUCCAUAUGAAAACACACUUGAAAUAUCUCGACUCACUAAGUUUAAAGUUUAUAAUAUCGAUUUUUUGAACAAUUUUUGGACUAGAACGAUGCAGCAGACAACUAAUUGAAAUGCAAAAGGAGUUUCACCAUUCAACUUAUCAUUUGACCACUAACUAAUUUUUAGUAUAAUGAAACUCAUCAUUUCAUCAUUAACUAAGUUUUAGUCCAAUAAUAUUUCCUUCAUUUUAUAAAGAAGAUUUUAAGUCCGAAUCUCUCUCACAAAUAGUAAAAACAGGACCAUGCUUGAAAGAAAAUUGAAACAAUGUUUUUCUUUUAUCUUGGAAAGAAAAGAAAAGGUGAAAACAGUGUAUUUAAAAAAUAGUAAAAACCAAGUGGCGAGCAAAGUUAGACAAACAAACACACACCUAAGCAACGAUGAAUGAAAAAGUGAGUUGAAAUUCUGAAUUAUUUGACGAGUUUGAUAGAAAGUGGUUGUGUAAAUUCUGGUUCUGGGAUUGAAGAGAAAAACAGAGUCAUGGCGAAAGUUGAAGCACUACCUAUAGAUAUAGUAGGGAUGAUGAUGACUGAGUGUGCUCAAGCUGGGGUCAUGAUACUAAGCUAAUUUAAUCCUCAUUAUGUAUAGAACUUCUGCACAGGUAAUGGGACUUGUUGGUUUAAAUUACGCCUCUGCUCCGCUUAACACAGCCAUUCUCAAUCUCAUUCCAGCCUUUACAUUCAUACUUGCCUUACUAUUCAGGUUUCUAAUUUCUCAAUUUGUAGUUCCUACUUCUUUCUAUCAGUCAGGCGUCGCACCAGAAGAGAUGACCGGAGUAUUUGCAUGGAUAAAUUUCUGCCAUUUAUUGGAAUGGUGGUGGCGAUUAUGGCUCAGACUGGGAGUAUGAUGCUGAACAAAGCAGCCAUGUCCAAAGGGACCAACAAAUACAUCUUCGUCGUCUACACCAAUGCCCUCUCCGCCCUCAUUCUUCUCCCUUACAUCCUCAUCUUCCACAGGUUACAUAUAAUUCCUCUCUUUCUUUCAUUUAUAUAUUUAUUUUACAGUAUGGUGAAUAAAGUGUGACAUUAUUGUCUUUUCUUUUCUUGUUACUUUGAAUUUCUGGUCUAUAUGCAGAUCAGAGCGUCCUCCCCUUACCCUCUCCAUACUUUGCAGAAUCUUCAUGCUUGCCCUGUUUGGGUUGGUAACAAGCAACUCCACUCUUUUAGAGACCUUUUUUUUUUUUUUUUGUUCUUUUGUUCUUAUUGAUGCACAUAUUCUGGAGAAAUAUAGAGGUCAUUUGAAUUUGUUUUACUUACUCCAUGCAGAUGUUCAUCUCAGAUAUUUGGAAAUAUCGGCAUAGCAUACAGCUCUCCCACGCUUGCCACGGCCAUGCUUAACCUCAUCCCAGCAUUCACUUUCAUACUUGCCAUCAUUUUCAGGUUCUGCAUUUUUCUGAUAGUAAGAAUGGUUUGAACUUGGGGACCACUACUCUGCGAAUAUGUGCAUGACUAUGACUAAAGAUAUUAAACUUUCUGUUUAUAGUUGAUUUCGUAUGAAACCAAGUAGAAUGGGAUAAUCUAAUCACAAGAGUUGGUGAGAAAUAGGAUAAUCAAUUCUACAGCUUGAGUGGCUACAUUUGAAGAAGUGACAAGGACUUUCAUAUUCAAAGACAAGUUUUGGAAAAUGAGUUAUGGCGCUGCAGCUUUUAUAACCUUCAAAGGGUCAGCUGUCCUCUAGUUUUCUGUCCUCUGGUUUCCACUAAUUGGAACAGAGGAUGCCAGUGAAAUUAAGGGUGAAACUGCUGCAAUUAGGUCAUCUUUGUUGUUAUGUAAAAAGAAAUAUGCUUCAAUUGUUUGAAAUGGGUGGUUUUAGGAUGGAAAAGGUGAACUGGAGAAGCUCAAGCAGCCAAGCAAAAGUUUGUGGAACCAUAGUAUCAAUCACAGGAGCAUUUGUUGUAACACUCUACAAAGGCCUGCCAAUCAUACAGCAAUCAAUAUCACUUUCCAAUUCACCCAAUCAACUCCUUUUCUCAUCACAAUCAAACUGGAUUCUGGGAGGGCUUUUUCUUGCAGCUGAAGCCUUCUCAACUUCUUUAUGGUACACUAUGCAGGUAACUAGGCCUAUUACCAAUUCCAUUACUCUUUCUAGAGCCGAAAGUAAAGAACAAGCAAAUGUUUGCAGGGAUUUGUCGUUAAGAAGUACCCAGCAGUGGUGUUCAUAGUCUUUUACCAAUGCUUAAUUGCAACUGUUGGUGUCUUUUUCCGCCCGAGGGAGGAGACCGGUCCAACACCGAUGCCCCGAGUGCUCUCAUGAAUCAGCACUGAUGGUUCUUGGCGGUGAGUGAGCUUCCAACUAGACCCAAUUGAAAGUUGGAUCAGGCUUGAAUGAGAGAGACCAGCCCGGUCCUCGCUUGGGGGCUGGAAAUCGGGCUGGUCUUCUGAAUUCUUUGGAUUGCAUAGGCGUGCCACUAUUGAAAUCGAGGGUGACCCAAUAGAAUUGUAAUGAUUGUAUGCUUGUUUGAUCGUAUACAGGAUUUUGCGCUGAUCUUGACAUCUAAUCAAGCCAUUGUGCUCCAAGGGGGGUACUAGCUCAAAUUAGUUCUUUUCUAUGCCUCGAUUAAGAGGACUUCAACAUUCUUUCAUUUGCAUAUGGAUGGUAUGAUAGAUAUACGGUACACCUGAUCAGAGAAACAUAAAGAUCAUAUUAUUCUGGUUAGAAAAUCCCUUGGACGGGCUUAUCAACCUUAAUUUAAACACACAAAGGAAAACUUUAGAACAAACUUAUUUUAAAAUGGGCUUAUCAAUAUUGAAAAAGCCUUAAUCACCCUUUAUUGGGCAGUAUUUAUCAUUAUCGGGCAGGACGAGGCCUUGUAGGGGAUAGGUACUAUUUAUCGGGUAAGAACAAACCCUUGAUUGGGCAAAUGCAAAUCCUUGUACAGGCCAGGUGUUGUUGAUCGGGCUUAGCGAAGGCCCUUAAACGGGCUUUCUCUACGAAAUAAGCUUGUAUGUCCCUAGUAUAAGUUAAGAUAAAUACUGAAAUAAAUUACUCUACCAACUGAAAGUGAAUAGGUACUGGAAAUGAAAAACUUUUUUGUCCGAUCUUUAUUAUGAUGGCAAGUGAACAGAGAUAUGAAAUGCUACAGGCUUUGAACGUAAUACAAACUUCCUAACGCUGAACACUGCAGACGUUCAUAUCUGAAAUGAACACUUUUAGUAUAGUAUUUGGAAAGGAUUAGCAGUGAUGCUAAUAAAUCAUACUAAGUGUUUAGCAGAGCAAUAAUAAAGAUGAUCGCAGAAGUUGUUGACUGGAUAAUCUGAGUAGUGAGUUGGUUGUUUUGAAAGCUUUGAGGGUUGUUGUUUUUUUAUAGACAUUGAGUCUUGUUUGGAGAGAGAAUCCCCGAUGCCUGCCGUGAUGCUCUCUAUUUAUAAACUGAUGGCUUGAAUGCUUUGGUGUUGAGUAGACAAAAGGAACGUUGAGAUCCCACAACAUCAUUACAGUUUUUAUCUUCUUGCGAAUUAAACCUUAGUAUAGAGAAAAAUGGAAGAUAGUUGGGUGAGCACAUAUCGAAAGUCUCCAAUUUGGCCUUGUGGUUGUCCUGUUUUUGCUCCCUGAGUGAAAGAUAAAAUAUUUUAUCUUAAUUUCUUCUCCCAUAUCGCGUGCAGCCUCUGCAAGAAAGGUUGUUUCCUUUUGACUCUUUUGCUGGGUCACAGUCUGACUUCAAUAAUGGACCAUGGGCCUUGUUAACCAAAUCAAUUUCUUGGUCCAUUUAAAGGCGUGAAUUUCUGAAAUAGUGAAUGAGGACCACUUUUGGGCUUUUUCCACUAUUGAUUCAAAUAUUGCCCCCUAAAUCUGAUGAACUUUAGACAAAGUUUAUUAGAUUUGCCCCCUUUUGAAUGAAAAAGCCCUUUCGAAAGAAAAGUUGAGCCUCGAAGCAUAUGAAAUACCAAAAUACACUUGUUGGAAAAUGAUUUAAACGCUUCGCACCCUUUCCCUUCAUCAUCACCGAUUUUUCAGUGAACUUGUGAGACCAGUAAAAUUCCCUAAAACAAAAACCCUUCUUUGAUUUUCGGUAUGCGGCAGCAAAAUUUCAGCAAUGGCUCCAAGAAAACAGAAGUCGAAGAAACAAGUAGCUCCCAUGUUAGGCCGAAGGAGUUGAAGGACAAGUUGCGAAAUUUCAAUUUGUUCUUUGGGCAAAAGAAAGAGAAGGGUGGUGACUGUUUCUUCACUCCAUUUCCUCUCUCGAUCACUGAAGAGUCGGGGAUGCCCAUGUUAGGUCCGAGAUAUUUUGGUGUUAAACCAGCAAGCCUGAGGGCUUUGGAUACCAGUAUGGUUAGAGCCUUUCACCCCUAUAGUCUUUCGGAUAUAGAAUGGAGUUCGUGGGGAAAAAAUUCAAGUGUUCUUGGUUCGAAUCCUGAAGUGGUUCCUUCUGGCAAAUUCAAAACCUUGAGCGAAUGGGUUGAAGACUUAUGCUCUAAGUUCGGGGCAAAGUGGAAAAAUAAUGGCAUAUAUGAUGCCAUUAUGCUUUCGAAGAAAAAAAUAGCCCUGAAUCUGCUUAUGCUGAGCGCCACCGUGUGUUAUUUGAACAGUACUUCCAAUACCUUCGAUUUCGGGCUGGGGCCAGUAACUCCUACAAUUCUGGACAAGGCGUCACUGUUCGGGUUUCGUCCUCAUGAAGUAAUCGCGGAUGCUCUUGGGGAUUAAGAGGUCAGAGGGCAAAGGGACAGGAUUUCUCUUGGCGCAAGCCAUUCAGCCCCAGACUCGACCGUGAUGAACCAGGAUGAGGCGGAUCAGGGAAUGGGGUCAGGUCUGCCUGAUCUUGAACCUACUGCUGGUAAGAACAAACUGUUUUUCCUUGGUCACAUCACCCCUUGAUGAUUUUGAGGUGUAUUUAUCAUUAUCAGGCAGGACGAGGCCCUGUAGGGGAUAGGUACUAUUUAUCGGGUAAGAACAAACCCGAGCAAAUGCAAAGCCCUGGACAAGCCAGAUGCUGUUGAUCGGGCUUAGCGAAGGCCCUUAAACGGGCUUUCUCUACGAGAUAAGCUAUGUAUGCCCUUAAUAAAGUUAAGAUAAAUACUGAAAUAAAUUACUCUACGAACUGAAAGUGAAUAGGUACUUGGAAGUUGGAAAUGAAAAACGUUUUUGUCCGAUCUUUAUAAUGAUGGCAGGUGAACAGAGAUACGAAAUGCUACAAGCUUUGAACAUAAUACAAACUUCCUAACGCUGAACACUGCAGACGUUCAUAUAAUAAAUGAACACUUUUAGUACAGUAUCUAGAAAGGAUUAGCAAUGUGAUGCUAAUAAAUCAUACCAAGUGUUUGGCAUAGCAAUAAAGAAGAUGAUCGCAGGAGUUGUUGACUGGAUAAUUUAAGUAGUGAGUUGGCUGUUUUGAAAAGCUUUGAGGGUUGUUUUUUGUUUAUAGACGUUGAGUCUUGUUUGGAGAGAGAGUCCUCGAUGCCUGCCGUGAGGCUCUCUAUUUAUAUACUGAUGGCUUGAAUGCGCUAGUGAUGAGUAGACAAAAGGAAUGUUGGGAUCCCACAACAUCAUUACAAGUUUUUAUCUUCUUGCGAAUUAAAUUGCCUAUAUCGAAAGUCUCCAAGUUAGCCUUGUGGUUGUCCUGUUUUUGUUCUCUGAGUGAAAGAUAAAAUAUUUUAUCAUAAUUUCUUCACUCAUAUCGCGUGCAUCCUCUGCAAGAAAGGUUGUUCUCCUUUUACUCUUUUGCUGGGUCACAGUCUGACUUCAAUAAUGGACCAUGGCCUUGUUAACCAAAUCAAAUUCUUGGUCCAUUUAAACCCUCAAAAGAAAUUCUGCUCAGUGAGUUGGGCCUGGAUUUCUGAAAUAUUGAAUGAGGACCAAUUUUGGGUUUUUUCCAUUAUUGGUUCAAACAGCAACCAUUCAGUCUGCAGCAGUUACUUUAGUUGCAGUUAGAGAUGCAAGUGCCUGGGAGCCAAGGCUGGAUAUGGGGCUGAUUGCUAUUUUAUACGCUGUAAGAGAAUAGCUACCCUAUCAUGUUUUGAAUUUGAAAGAUUUUUCAUAAUUCAUCAAGUAUACUGGUGGAUGCAAUUAAAUUCUUUUUGCAAGAUCACCAUAUAUAAUGUAAUGUUUCGAGCGUUCUUCGCUACAGUUUGAUCACUUGGUGCGUGUGGAAGGCUGGAGCUCUUUUCUGUUCUGUGUUCAAGCCUCUUGGAAUAAUGUUUAGCGUGAUCAUGGGUGUCAUCUUUUUGGGAGAUUCAGUCUAUCUUGGAAGGUAUAAAUAUUGUUCAUCUCAUUUGUUUCAACCUUGUCACUUGUGCUAUUCAAGUGUUUGUUGUAACUUGUUGCUGUCAUCUUUAGUCUUUAUUAAUCAAGUUGCAGGUUGUGGAGGGGCAAAAGAAUAGUAAACUUCAGGCUGAAGUGAAUUCUCAUUUUUGUUUGAUUGAAUAAUUGAUUGAAGUUAGUGAAGGCUACAGCUGGUUGACAAAGUCUUUGGCCUGUUAAGAGGUCUGGUUCAUGAUUAAGACAGAAUUCUUAUUAGCAAAUUGUUGAAAAUUUUGGAACAAUUUUGCAGUUUGAUUGGUGCGCUCAUAUUUGUUAUUGGAUUUUAUGCGAUGAUGUGGGGGAAGGCCACAGGAGAAGCUGGUCGAAUCAUUAGGCCAAAAUAAGGUCCCUCUGCUACCAAACAAUAUACAAGAGCAGUAGUGCAGAAGUCUUCUUUGUAGAUAUCACAUCAAACGUACACCGUACAACGACGAUGUAGGGGAUACAUUGCAAAUCCAACGGUGAUUAUUGCUUUAUAUUCUCAGGGAAAAAGAUCCUCAACGGUGGUUGUCACUUUAUAUCCUAAGCGAACCCGUCACCUCUAAUGGUUAAAGGAGGUGCUGAUAGUAUACAUGGUUGUAUUAUAGAGUUUUCUCAAUGCAUAUCAAAAUGUAAACAUGAAGGAAAGAAGUGUGAAAUUCUAGUGGAACAUUUCAAAUUAUAGAAAGCUACUGAAUCUCACAACUUGGGCUCUUGUCCCUUCCUUCAAGUUUUUCUUUCCUUAGACCAAAAAAAAAAAAAAAAAAAAAAACAACGGAAGAUUGUAAAUGGUUGUAUAUUGUUGGGCUCUUAUGAACCUAGCCAACAUUAUGCAUCAAAGAAUUCUUGCACGUGUUUCCUUCCAGCCUAUAGUGGCGGCUGUGACUCACGGCAGACAUAAAAUGAUGCAAUACAAACGAACCGUGUAUAUAAAACAAUAGUUUUUAGCCUACCGGCUUGAAGAUAACAGCAAUUGGGCUACCCAAGUGGUGCCAUUCAAAUCAAAUUUAGUCACUUGGAAUAUUCAUCUUCGUUUGUCUUCACUCUUCUUCACAUUAUUUGACUCCCUCGAGGCUCUAGGCUUCUACCAACUACAUGUCUGCAUAUGGUGGGGCAUCGAAGUUUUAACUUCACGAUUUAACACUUUCCAAGAGACGAGUUUGAGUCUCUGAAUUCUGGCUCUGAGAUUGAAGAACCAAAAACAAGAAAAAGAAGAAGAAGAAAAACAGAGUCAUGGGGAAGGUUGCAGCACUACCAAUAGUUGGGAUGGUGUUGGCUGAGAGUGCACAAGCUGGGCUAAUUAUAGUGAGCAAAUUAGCAAUGUCUAAUGGCAUGAGCAACCUCAUCUUUCUCUGCUACUCAAACGCUCUUGCAGCCCUUAUCCUCCUCCCAAUUUCCUUAGCCUUCCACAGGUGAUUGAAUCUUACUCUUUGUGAACUACCCAGAAACCAAAGAUUUUGUUUUUACUAUAAUUUCCUACUUUGAUCACAAAAGUAAUUCCUAUCUUUGCCCUUAUGUUCUUGGUAGAUCCGAGCGUCCUCCUCUCACUUUCUCUACCCUCUGUUGGUUCUUCUUGCUUGGUCUAAUUGGGUAAGUUACGAUUUUCAUCUAUAAUAAAAUCCCACAUGGGAAAUUAAAGGUUGCAUUUUGGGGGUGGUAUUGUGUGCACAUUUGACGCUUUUAAUUCGUUGGAGUGUUGUUAGCGGAUUCUGUUUAGUGGGUUUGAUUGAUAUUCGCGUUUUGCAGAUUCAUGGCGCAGUUUUUUGGGUAUGCUGGGAUUAAUUUGAGCUCUCCUACUCUGAGCACGGCUAUGCUCAACCUCAUUCCAGCUUUUACCUUUAUACUGGCAGUCAUCUUUAGGUCAUGCCCUCCUCUUAUUUACUCACACUGCAAAUUGUGACCACCCUCUAUGAUUACCUAUUUCACUUUUGCCUUCAAUGGGCUUAAGAAUCCUUGUUUUUCCUUUAUUCUGAACUAUGAUCUAUCAUAAUUGUCUUAUUUUGUUAAUGAAUCCUGAACCCUAGGUUUUUUUUUCUUGUGAUGUAUCCAUGAGGACCAUGACAUUGCUUUACCUGUUCUGUUUCUAGAGGUCUCUGUAGAAGAACCAUGUAAAUAGUUCAAUUAUCUUGCUUUCUUGUUUCCAAUGAGAAUUUCAGCUGAUGAGCUUUUCUCUCAUUCCAGAUAAGAGUUGUACAGUGCAAUUUUGAGACACUGGUAGAAUGGUAAUCUUUGACUGUCACCUGUUUCUAAAUUCAUUCAACUGGGUGAUUUCAGAAUGGAAAGAAUUGAUGGGAGAAGCUCCAGUAGCCUUGCUAAAACUUUGGGAACAAUAGUUUCAAUUUCAGGGGCUUUCAUUGUUACUCUUUACAAGGGUCCCCCACUUCUGAUGACAUCCUCAACUGAUAUAUUGUCUCAUAACCAACUUUUCUUGGAACAGUCAAACUGGGUCCUUGGAGGAAUGUGCAUUGCUCUUAAUUGUGUGUUGGCCUCAUCUUGGCUUAUAGUACAGGUGAAAUCUGUAAAAUUUAAUUAAAACUGUCGUGAAAGUGUGGAGUUUGGUUAGAAAAUUAAGACUAGUUACUAUUCCUUGUCUAUGUUUCAGGCAUCAGUUCUAAAGAAAUAUCCCGCAGAGCUGAUUAUGGUAUUUUAUUAUUGCUUCUUUGUGGCUAUUCAAUCUGUAGUAGUCUCUUUGACUGUAGAAAGAGACCUAAGUGCGUGGGAAUUGAAGCCUAAAAUCCGGUUGAUCGCUGUUCUAUACUCGGUAAUUAGAUAACCAAAUCCAAACCAUGUCUAUACCUAUUGCAUUGAAAUAUUUUCUCAAACAUCAACCUACGAUACUCAAACUUUAAAUUCUACUCUUGCAGGGAGUCUUUGGCUCAGCAUUCCAGGUUGGUGUAUCUACUUGGUGCCUUCACAGGACGGGGCCUGUUUUUGUAGCUAUUUUCAAGCCUUUGGGGAUUGUCAUUACAGUUUUCGUUGGUGCCACCUUCUUAGGAGAUACUUUCUACCUUGGAAGGUACGGUUUCUAUCAUUUUUUUUCCCCAUAAAUACUAUAUCAAAAUGCCGACUUUGGAGCAGCACCAGUUUUGUUCCUGUUGAAAAAUCCUAAAGGGCAUUAAUUCAACAUCUUAGUUUACAUUUUCUGAAUGGUGCAGUUUGAUAGGAGCAAUUGUUAUUGUCAUGGGAUUUUAUUCUGUGAUGUGGGGAAAAGCAAAAGAAGAGAAGAUGGAUGAUGAUGCAGGGGCAAGGAGUGUGGCAUCAAGUAGACAACGGGUCCCUCUAUUGCAGAGCCAUAUUGAAGAAAUAUAGAAGUUUCUUUGCAGUACAUCGCCCUGUGAGGUCUCUCUUGCCAAAAAACAUAGGUACUCUCUGUUGCUUUUGUCUUAGUUCUUUUAAAAUGCUACACUUUCCAUCAUUUUUGAAAACUGGGAUUGGUUAUUGUGGGAGUUGUUUUGCUCAGGCCAUGCUUGUUGGGAAUUAGUCACCCUAAGUAAUGCAGGACAAGGAACAACCAUUUGAUAUUGUCCAAGUCAAGGCAAUCAUUUGGCACAAAGAUUUCUUCUACUCUUUUUUCUUUUUCCGGGGAGAUGGUAAUCCUGCAUACAUCCAAAGGCAGUUUGUUGGUGCAAACUGAGCAUAGUUGCAAGUUUGCUGUAAAGGUGCAAAUACCAUGAGAAGUAUGUUGUGCUCAUUGUUACUACAUGUUAUGAUGCAUCUGUUUCAUCUUAAAUAAUGUCCAAGAGAGAGUAGAAAUUUCAAAAGACGAUUCAAGUUGGAUUGGCUGGCACUAUCUGGCUCCUCAUUGCUCAUUGUUACUACAUGUUAUGAGGAGGCAGUUUUAUUGGCUUGCCAUUAAUGAACCUUUCGAACUACUAAAGCGUUUGUAAUUCAUUUGUAGAGUUUCUCUGUAUUUUAUAUUGUCAAUGCACUUGUAGUUAUACUCUUAAUUGAUGAUUAUCUUGUCUACUUUCCGAUGAGUAUAUGGAGACUUAUGUUUGAUGUUUUCCUGCACAUAUAUAUUCUUUUUAAGAAACUUUGUUUGUUAGUUUUGGUAGUUUUCAUAAUAUGCCCCCAGACCUGAGGGAAGAAUUUUCUGAAAAGUAUUAAAUAGAAAAUAACAGUUUAUUUUCCAUGUAAUGUAGGGUCAUGAACAUGUGGAGCAUGAUCAAAGAUAUCAGCAGCAUGAGUUGAAUAUUGAGUUUGCAGGGUCAAAGCUGCCUCAAGAGCAACAUGUCAGUGAGGAGCAGCUCCUUUGCUUGGAAGUGAAAUCUACUCUCUCUUUGGUUUUUAGAUGUAUGAUAUCCUUCAUUACUCGUGGUAAAUAAGGUAAUAAUGUUGGAAUUAGGCAUUGGGGGGAGAAAAUGAUGGCAAAGGCCAAAGUUCUUGAAGAACAUAUUUUCAACUGUGUAAUCAAAUACAAUAUAAGAAUCUUAUAAUCAUAUAUCUAGAGCUUUUCAUACAUCCAAUACUGGGUGAGUUAAAAUUGAAAUGAAGGGUCAUUUGGCCAGAUGAACAUAUUCACUGAAACAGGAAUUUCAUCCUGGAAAUAUGCUAAUAGUAACAAAAGCUGGCAUGAAAUUCCAUCCAAAGCGGCACAAAUACUUGUAGCUAUGAAGUAAUAAUAUAAACUGGUAAGGUAGUUGAAGAUGUUACUGGAAAAUCCCAAGUAAGACACAGCUUUCAUUUUCAGCCUGUGGUUCUAAAUUAUUUAACUGCAAACAUAAUUUAGAGCUUUGAAAAAAAGUCAUAAGCCCACAAACAACAUAUUAGUAAUAGAGUUGCUCAGUUGGGGAGCACUAAAAACAAAUAUUAGAGUGAGGGACGAACGAAUGGCAAACAUGUAGCCAAGGUUAGGCCAAAAACGAAAGCAGUAUGUCCGAGAAACCUUUGCCCCACAAAGGUCAGCCUCCUUAGCUGCCAUUAUGAAAUGUAUAAUAUAUCCGAGUAGCUACUUCUCCUUUUCAAGUAGCUGCUUCAUUUCCCCAAGGGUUGCCCUCCCUCUCCCUUUUUUAUUGUUGCUCCAUAAAUAUAUAGAGAAAGAGAAUCAAAACAUAGACAGAGUCUGCUUCUGCUGCUGCUGCUGCUUGUUCUUGUUCUUCAUUUCUUCUUACAUAUUAUGUACAUACAUGCAAAUUAAGAGAAGCGAUCACAAGUGAGGUGGAUGAGAAGUGUUCAGCUAUGGGAAGCGGUGCCGUUUUCAGUUAUGGUGACAAUGGAAGGUUGUACCAUAAUAUUAACCAUUUGGGCAAAAACUGUCAUGACAGUUGAUGGCAUGAGCCCUUUUGUAUUUGUCGUCUACACCCACGCCCUUUCCUCUCUCAUCCUCCUCCUCUAUUCUUUCAUCUUUCACUGCCCCAGGUUCUCUUUCUUUCUACCUCUCUCUCUUUCUCCCUCUCUCUCACAAACACACACAAACACAUACUUGGUUUGUAACUUGUUCUUCUUUUUCUCAUGAAUUUACUGCAGAAACAGAGGCGGAAGAGAACAGUCACUCUUCAGCUUGAAUCUGUUCGUGCGAUGCUUCUUCUUGGGUUUAACAGGGUCGGUUUGUACUUCUCAUUUCAUCUCAUCUCAUAGGCUUUUACGUUACAUAAACUUUAAACACCUAUGUCUCCUCCCUCUCCCUUUCCCAAUGGAAAAGGAUACCAUUCACCCUGAAUCCAUCCAUGGAUUCUCGAGUUGACCCCAACAACAAGCCUCAGAAUAUUCUGCUACAGUAUGGUGGUGGGCCUAGUUUUUCUGUUAGUUGAAGGGCAACAUUGUAAAUUGUCAAUACAUUCAUUAAUUUUUGGGUUAUAUAAUAUUAAACAAAUAUUUCAUUUUAAGUAUUUUAUUUUUUUAUAAAUUGAUAUUCUAAACUACUCUAAUAUAAUAAGAGGGGAAUCAAGUUUUGGUAUAAAAUGAAAUACACACGCCUUAACUAAGUGGCCUAAACACCCCAAUAUCAUCAUUAAUACCAAUUUUAGCCUAGUUUCAAAAUAAAUAAAUAAAUUCUCAAAUUUUUGUCUACUCUUCUUUUGUUCUUCUUCUUCUUCUUUUUUUUUUUUUUUUUUUUUUACUCAAUCCCCAUUUACUCAUUUUUUUAAAUAAAAAUAAAUUUCCUCCCCUGAAUCUCCUGGCCUAGAAAACAAAGAGGUCAAUUAAAUUCGAAGUUUCAAACCCACAGUAAAUUGCCUAUCAUACCCAUCAUUUUGUUUCUCUAACUCUAUCCAAGCCCAAAGUACCAAGUCUUUGUUGGGCUUCUUCUUUGAUUAGUCCCAGGCAUUAAGCUUUUUGGAUGCUCCUUCUAAUUUAGGAAAAUAGUCCUAAUGCAAAGAUGUUCAUCCAUAUUCUCAACCUCUUCAAGUAAUGUUGCAAUAAAAAUAUAAAUAUUAAAAUAUUAAAAAAAUGUUCUUGUAGCAAUACUUACUUUAAUUCUCUCUUUGUAGGAUAACAAUAUCUCAGAACCUUGGAUUCCUAGGCCUAAGUUACAGUUCUCCAAUUCUUGUGUGUGCCAUGGGCCUGAUGAUCCCAACUUUUUCCUUCCUGCUCUCCGUCAUUCUCAGGUUAAUUCUUCCCUCAACUCAACUUGUUCCUUUCAUUUCAUGUAAUGUUUUAACUUUUUUUACCAUUAAAAUAAAGUUCAACUGAUAUCAUUAAAAAGAGAGAAAUGUGCUGCUUUAAAUUAACCCAAAUUAUCUCUACAGAAGGACAAGGCUAGAUUGGAGAAGCUCAAGCUUCCAGGCCAAAGUAAGUGGGACAAUAAUAUCAAUCAUUGGGGCAGUAGCGGUUGAACUCUACAAGGGUGCAUAUAUAAGAACAUCUUCAGUUUCUUCUUCACCUGGGAAGCAACUUCAAGUCUUAGCACAGAAAGCACUUUUGGUCUUCUCCUCAGAACCAACAGAACAUUGGGUUGUGGGUGGCAUUUUGCUGGCAUCUGCUUCUUUAUCUGUCUCAGUAUGGAACAUCAUUCAGGUAAUUAAUUAAGGGCUCAUAUGGGAGUGAUUAUGGAUAGACAAAUAAUCACUUUUAUAGAGAAUCACUUCUCCAUAUAAUCACUUUAAUCUCCCAUACUUGGUUUUUUGCCUCUUGUUUUACUUGUUCAAUCUCUAACUGGUUACUUAGCUGGGAACCAUGAAACUAUAUCCAGAAGUGGAAGCAAUGGAAGUGGUAACUUUUUAUAGCUUGCUUGGGACAAUACAGAGCGCAAUAUUAUCCUUGUUCUUAGAGAGAAACCCAAGUGCUUGGAGAUUAAAACUCAACAUGGAGCCCCUUCUCAUUAUUUUAACAGUAAGUAAUUAAUUAGCACAUAACAUAGCUAUUAAUUAAGUUGAUCAACUUCGCUGUAUGUCAUCACAAGACUUUGCAUAUAUGCUGUGUUGUAGGCAAUUUUUGGGGGUCUAGUUCGAAGCCGGGUUCACAAUUGGUGCAUGAGCAUAAAGGGUCCAUACUAUGUACCGCUGUUCAAGCCAUUUGGGAUUGUUUUUGCUACAAUUUUUGGUGUCAGCUUAUCUGCAAAUAGUCUGCAUUAUGGAAGGUAAUUUAUUAGAAAUUUGUCUUCCAAUCUAUUUAUUCUAGACAUAUAAGAACUUAAGGCAGAGCUCAAGGGCUAAAAGCUGACCAAAUUAAACACAUUGGUUUCCUUUUUAUUUUUGUUUUUGCAGUGUGAUAGGAUCAGUAGUAAUUGGAAUGGGGUAUUUUGUAAUAUCAUGUGGACAAAUCAGAGAAGAUGAAGGGCAGCAAGACCAACAAUGUGUUGAUGAGAGGCUGGAAUCUAAUUCUGAGAGGAAAGUCCCUCUCUUGCAAGAAGAAAAUAAUGGAUAGAUUAAUCUCAAACAGAAGGGAAAGCUUGAGCCUUGAGAAGAAAGAAGGCUCCUAGCAUUCUCACUUGUAAGUCUCAAACUCAAAUUGCAUAUCAGAUCAUUUUGUACAUAUUCAUUGCCUUUACCUUUCGUCUGAUACAUUGUAGCAUAUAUAUGUGCAGGGUUUCGAGAUCAUUUCAUCAAGCUUUAUAUCUGAUAAUUACAAGGGAACAUGCAUCAUUCUUUUUUCUUUUUCUUUUUUUGUGAAUAUGGUGAUGAUGGUGGUAUGGUCUAUAUUUUGUACCUGAAUGUUGUUAGAUAAUGUGAGUGUAUGGAAACAAAAGCAAUGAAAUUAUUGCAAAGGGUGUCUUAAAUUCAUCCUUUUUCUGUCUUCUUAGUGUUAUGAUUUGUUUGAACGUAAUUAACUGAUGUUAGAGUUUCGACAAAAACCGUUUUACAGAAAGUGAUGAUUGUCUUGACAAAAAUGAUUUGUACGAUGAUGGGUUUCUUAUGAGUGAUUUUCAGGUUCAACAUUUGAUCCACAUUGGAUGUCAUGAAUCUUGAGCAUCAUAAAUAUCAUAUCAUAUCAUAUCAGACCCAGGGUUCUGUUGUGCGGAAACACUCUAAGACAUUGUCAUUGAUAGAUUAUGUGACAACACACACAUAAACCCCUUUUGAGAAUAAAACACACGCACAACGAAGAGAAAAAACAAACACACAAUAACACAAAGAUUUAUAGAGAUUCAGCCUCGUGCCUAUGUUCUCUUAGUGAUCCACCUGAGAAAUUCACUAGUAUGUAAGAACAACUUUGGCUACAACUUAAACCUUCUUAGCUCUCACAAGAACCCUAGCUCUUUUUUCUCUCACCCUUCGUCAAAUUCUUGAUGCCCUUGAAAACACCCUAGAAUUCCCUCUUGAAUUCUCUUGUGUCUCUCUCUCUUAUAAAUUAACCUAGCCCUAAAAGUCAUAUUUAUAAUGCAUAGGACUUUUGCUACAAGUUAACUAGGAGUAGGAAACUAAAACCCUAUUAAAUUAGGCUAGAAAACCCCAAAAUCAUAGGAGAACCCUGUCAAAACAAGCCAAAACAUCAAACAUACGCUCGACACUAUUCACGAGGCGACUGGUCUCCAAGAAUGAGCGACCCGUCAUUGGAGACAGAGAUGCCAACUCCAGCAUUGGCCAAAACCAACCGAUCACAUGGCCAAAGCGACUGGUUGCUUGCUGUGCUGUUGCCUUAUUGCGACUUCUUCUCCUUCCUUGCUGCUCCAUCCUUGCAUCCCUUUGUUUCCUCAUCCUCAUCUCGCAUCUAUGGUGAGCCAAAAUACAAUAAUCUCCACCUUGGAGAACCAUUAAUCACCCAUGAAAACCCUAGAACCUCUUCAACCUCUUGGAAACCGUUCUAGUAAUUUUCAGGAGCUCCACCAUGACAAGAAACCUCUUGUCUCAACGCACCUUAGAUGAGAAGGUGCUUUCAUGAAACAAGAGUAAAGUUGGUGGCUUCGUGGGGAUUUAUAAAACAAGGGUUGGUACGCGGUUUGCAUAUCAAGGCAUGUCAAGAAUUCAAGGUUCCAAGAAGGUGAGGCGUAAGGAGUUCGGCCUGGGGGAUCUCUCUUCUACACAAGAGGUCUGGGUGGCCCAAAUUUUUCACACAAUUGUUUUUCGGUGGAGGGUGAAGACCUUAUUGACCGAUUGAAUGAAAGAAGAGGAAUUGAAAUAGGUUCGACCAGCAAGAAAAGAAAGAAGAGUACUAUGUCAAACUCCACCCCCUUUGGAGUCCCUUCCAUCACCACCUAGGUAAGAAGUAGCUUUUCAGUUGCUACCGGCCCAACAACAUUCUUCCCAUCAUUCCUUGUCCUGACUUCACCUUUAUGGACCUUGUCCUCCGACUCUGCCACCGCCACCUUUACUCCUUUGAAAUCAAGCACAUUUGAGUAUAAACUUUUAAUCAUACAACCUUAAUUAACCUUCCUUACUCAACUAGUCUUAAACGAACCCGUAGCUUCAUUCUGUUGCACCGGCUCUCUGACAGUAACAUCCCUUGCUUGCUUUUCUUUUGUACAAAACACUUCCUUGGUAGAAUUUUCUUCUCAACCUGCCAUUGUACUCCCUCCCACCAAAAAAAAGCUAAUAAACUUUGUUAGAUUGAAUCUCCCCCUCAUCAUCACCACCGAACCUUGUGUGAUUAAGAGCUUUCCUCCUUUGGCCUUGUAAGAAUACCCUUCUCUAUCACCAAGGGAAAUAAGAUUCAAUCUUAGUGCCAGUACAUGCCUUACCUCACUAAGGCUCCUAACUACACCAUCUUGCAUCUUGAUCUUCAUUAUUCCCACGCCCAAUACAUCACAAUUUGUUUUGUCUCCCAACGAAAUCUUGCUACCCUUUCUUCCUUCAUAUAUAUCAAACUCCAUCCUAUUUCAACACACAUGAAAUGAACAAGUGGAAUCUAGAAUCCAAACUGAAGUAGAAAACUUACCAGAAGAAUUUGCCAUGACUUCCUUGUUACGCUCCUCAUCUGUAACUGUCACAACUAGUUGACACAUUUGUUGUGCCCGAACUAUGAGACCUUGAAAAUUCCAGAAUAUUUUUACGCGUACAGUAAAAAUUGCACGGGCCAUUUUGAGGUAAGUGGCUUUUCAUUUUUUUAUUUUUUUAUUUUUUUUCCAAGUAAACAUUGCCAUUAUGUUUGAGAAUAACUUAAUUCCAAAAAUAUGAAGUUAUAAUUUUGAUGUUCUAACUUAAUGGAAAAUUAGUAGACGUUGCUACGAGCUUGUGGUAUUUUUCAGAAAAUUUUGCAAAACUUGGAAGUAUUUUUAGUGAAUUUUCAAAGUUGGAACGUAGGAAAAGAAAAUAUAUUUGACACAUGGAAUUUUCUGAUUGGUUGGAACACAUCACCAUGCCACAUGUCAAUACUUGAUUGGUUGGACGAAAAGGAAGACUUUUACUCAUACUACUAUUCGUAAAUUGACUAGGGUGUAGGGUAUUAUUCCAUGAAUUUAUCUCAUCUAAGCCAGUGAUCCAAUUUUAGAUCAGAUCUGGACCGUAGAUCAAAAUCAAAGAUUUUUGGCUUGAUCCAGCCUUUGGAUUGGUUAUUGGGAAUGCAUCUGGGCCAUCCAUCUUAAAGCUAUCAUGUACCUUCCUACACUUGAUCAAAAACUCAUAUUUUAAUUUGGGCCUUCGAAGUAAAUAUUCAAAUCAAUCUGAGCCGUCGAGGAAUUCUAUAAAUUCCCCUCCCAUCUCUCAUUUUCCUUCAUUCCAAAAAUUCAUAUUUUCUGUGCAAAGGACUACUAGUGUAGUGGUUUGGAGUAUUCACUCCCUCAUGCAAGGUCCUGGGUUCGAGUCCUAGCAUCCGUGUUGUGUGUGUGAGUUUAAUAUGCUAUCGCCCCUUUCAAUAGGAAAGGUACUCCAAAAAUAAAAAAAAAUAAAUCAUAUUUUCUUUCUUGCUCUCAUUCUCCUCCAUUAGAGUUACUAUUCCGACAUUCUUCGAAGUUACUAUUCAUCCCAAACACUAUUAAUCUACUAUUCACUUCCCGUACGUAGUAUCAGCCGUUUCCCAUCCAUUCCGGGAAUUCACUAUUCACAUCAGAUUUCACUAUUCAUUGUUACUCCGACCAAUUUCAAUUUGUCAAAUACUCAAUUCGUGUUAUUAAUUGGGUAAUUUUCAAGUGAUUCCUAAAAUUUACUCCAUAUGUCAUUACGGUAAAGUUAAAGUCUAAAUACUACUUUGUUGGUCAUACACAUGGACUAGAGGAAUAGGUAUAAUUUGGUUCAAGAAUUUUAGUGAAAGGAAAAUGACAAAAAAAUUAUCCAAUUUGAUUAGAUUUCAAAUGUUCCGCCACUGUGGGGAAGUCGCUGUGCCCCCUUCACUCUCAGAUCGUCGAGGAUAAUGCCCACACAAGUAUACCCUCAAAAACUUUGGAAAUCCAAAGCAAAGUAGGCGAAACUUACCUUAAAAAAUCAACGGUACGAGUAAAUUUUAUUUAUAAAAAUAAAAAGAUACACCUAGUUAGGAGGGACGUAAUGAGCCUUACCCUCAAAUAUGCAUAUCUAUACAUAACUAAAAGCUUAACAAAAAAACAAGAAGUAAAUGCAAUGCAACACAAAACUAAACUAUUUUAAUCUAAAACUGUACCCUACGGGGCUUAGAAAUCUUAAAUUCCUCAAUUAUCUCUUCAUUAUCGAUAUUAUUAGCAAACUCUCUUUAAAUGUGGAGAAUCAUUAAAUCAGCAAGGAAUUCAUCAGCUAUGGUGCUUCGAAGUCUAUUCUUAAUAAUUCUCAUACAUGAAAAAGCUCGUUCCGUUGUUGCUGUAGAUUUAGGAAGAGUCAACACCAACUGAAUCAACCUAUAAAGAAAAUGGUAGUCUUUUGCCAAAGUUGUUUCCACCAAUUGUUGACAUAACUGAGGAAGAGUGGUGAGGUCCUUAAAGCAGGGAAGGCGAUGCAUAUCAUUUUGAAAAUACCUCAACUCAAUUUCCAAAGCUUUCAAGUCACUUAGACUGAAAUCAGCAGGAUAGAAUUUCUCAGCAAGUUUACAUAGAUGCCCAAUAUUGAAUGAUUUGAAGGAAUUAUGAGGAUCUAAUGCUGAGCUAAGAAUAAGAAGUUCAACUGUUUGCUCUGGAAAUUUGUCAUUUAACUCCCUCAACAUGCAAUCUAUCACAUCAUUAAAUACAUCAACGCGAUAGUAAUGUUCAAUUGUAAUAAAUCUUUUUGUUAACAAGAAUGACGUAUGCCCAUCAUAUAAUUAGAACUCAUAUCAUGAACAUCAAUACCAUGUUGUUCACAAAAUGAUACCACACUCAUGAAUAAAUCAUCCUAGCCAUGUCCCCUUAUAUCUUGGAACUAUGAUUUUGUGUUUUCAACAAAGUUUAAAGCACUUCCAAUAUCUUGAGUUUUCUCUGAAACACUUGACAAAGAAAGUUGGUCAAUCCCAUAAUUUUAUCCAUCAAAAGCAAUGCAAACACAAACUCAAAAGACAUCAUAGCAACAUACUUACUCUCUGCAUCACCAUGAAAUUGUUGGUUAGGUCCAUAAUCACUGAUUUCCUGAAGAAGUAUUUUAGUCUCUUUAAAUAAACUCAUUAAACUUGUCAUAGAGGCAAAGUGAGAUCCCCAACGAGUGGCUCCAGCUCGUUUCAAACUACAACAUUGAUUAAGUCCUCUACCUAUCUCAAGUUCCCCAGAAACCAACAACUCUUUGAGUUUAGCUUUUCGAAUUAAAUUUAACUUAUUACGGCGCUUAGCAGAAACACUAACAAAAUUCACAAUGUUAGUCAACAUUGAAAAAAAUCUCCAUACAACCUUUACAUCUUUAGCCGCACCAUUUAAUGCUAAUUGCAAGCAAUGAGCAAAGCAAUGCACAUAAUAUGCAUAUGGACAAUCUUGAAGAAACAAUGCUUGUAAUCCAUUCCAUGAACCACUCAUAUUACUAGCUCCAUCAUACCCUUGGCCACGCAUGUUUUUCACUAGAAUUCUGUUAUUAUGAAGUACUUUUCAUAUCUCUUGUUUAAGAGACAAGGCAUUAGUGUCUACGACACUCACAAUAUCGAAAAAGCGUUCAUGAAUAAAUCUAUCACAAUCAACAAAUCUUAGAAUAAUAGCCAUUUGUUCCUUACUUGAUUCAUCAAGUGAUUCAUCAACAAGAAUACAAUAUUUGUUCUUCCCAAGUUCGCUACAAAUUUUCUUCUUCACCUUGGUAGCAAAAAUAUGCAAGAUCUAUUUUUGUAUAUCAUGGGCAAUAUACUGAGCAUUAUGAGGAGCCUUAUCUAGAACAACUUUCUCAACUUCUAUAUUCAUUCUUACAAAAGACUUUAAGAUUUCAAUGAAAUUGCUCCGGUUAGAUGAGUCAACGGAUUCUUCGCGACCUCGAAAAGCCAAUGUUUGAUUUGCUAGAUACCUAAUGCCCUCUAUUGUGGUUGUAAGUCACAAUCGAUUGUCCAUCACUUGUUGCUUUGAUUGCUUAUCUACCACAUUUUCAAUAUGAAGAGAUGAGUUUUUUAAGCUAACCCACUUUUGCAUAGCAAGAUGAUGUGGAGAAUUUUGCUUGCCUACAUGACUUUGAAAUACACAUUGAUUGCCACCAAUUCUCUUCCACUUUUGAAAUCCAUGAAUAGUAAAGGUUGAAUGUGAAUGAUUCACGUCAAAUAAGAAGCAAGGAAAACAAAAUGUCAAAUCUUUAGCAAUUGAAUACUCAAGCCAAGGGAAUUUACCAAACCACAAUUUAUUAAAUCGAUGUAAGUCUCGCCCUUCUAAAUGGAUUGGAUAGUCUUCUAACUCUAGUUGACAAGGUCCUAAAAUAAUAUAGGCUUUUCGCACAUUAUCUUGUUUAUUCACUGAAUAUUGGCAUAUAAGCCAGUGAACUCCCAAAAGGCCUCGUGCUAGAUGGAUGCGGGUGUGCACAUAUAAGGCACAUCACCCCCUCUCCGUUGGUCGAUGUGGGAUCUUACAAUCCACCCCCCUUAAGGGCCCGACAUCCUCGUCGGCACACUCGCACCACACGGCAGAGUGGCUCUGAUACCAAAUUGUCACAUCCCGGGAUCGGCUCCGCCUUAGCACGAUAUUGUCCGCUUUGGGCCCCCCUCUCUGCCCUCACGGUUUUGUUUCUGGGAGCUCACGAGCAACUUCCCAGUGGGUUACCCAUCCUGGGAUUGCUCUAGCCCCCAACUCGCUUAACUUCGGAGUUCCUACGACUCCGAAGCCAGUGAGCUCCCAAAAGGCCUCGUGCUAGAUGGAUGCGGGUGUGCACAUAUAAGGCACAUCACCCCCUCUCCGUUGGUCGAUGUGGGAUCUUACAAUCGACUUUUUGGGUCUCAACUCUUUCAACUUGAGGCUUGACAAUGGGAGAGUCGAGAAGAUUUUGCUCAUCACAAAUGGGAGGCAUUCUAGAAGAUGAUGACCCAUCAUUCUUUUUCUUAAAAAAAGAGGACAAAUUCUUUGUUUUCUUGGGAUUUUGAUUGUGAUCCGACAAAAUAAAAUAUAACCUAAUUUAAUCAAACAUCCCAACAAAAAAUCAAACAAUUUGUCAUAAUAGCAUCAAUGAAUUUAAUCAAACAUUAACAUACCAAUAGCAAAUCAAACAUCUCAACAAUACCAACAUCAAAUCAAACAUCUCAACAAAAUUCUUAAAAUUAAAGACCUAAUUAAUUUCAACAAAAUUUUCAAAUUAUAUUUCAUUCCUAAUUAAACCCUAGAUGACUCAAUUUCAAAUUAAAAUUAAAACUAAGAUGCAUACAUUUAUUUUAGGAACAACCCAAUAGAAGAAGAUAAUUAAAUAGAAGAGAAUAAGAAGAAUACUUGUUUCCUCAUAUAUGAGAGGAGAAGGGGCUGUCGACAAUUGCACAGCUUGACUAUUGCACAGCCAAGACUAUUGAGUUGAGAAGAAGCUGCUGACUAUCUGGAAUUGCACAGCCAAAAGCUAUUUGGCUGCUUAUAAGUUAUAUUCCCCCUUUUUUAAAAGUUUGACUGGGCCAUUCCAUAACAUAAGAGUGUGGGUUGGUUAUAAUUUUUUCUCUUUUUUUAAAAGUUUGAGUGGGCUUUAAUGGGCUGGGUAGGCAUGGGUUUACACCAUCACAUGUGAUGGGUAGCAAUAACUUUGGGGUAGGCUGCCCUGGUUGUAGGACCACCACUGGUUCCAUGGGUUUCGAUUCCCUAACUUCCAAAGGGGUUACGUGGACAGACUUUACCAAUACCCUUGUGUGAGGUUUAGUUGAUGAGGUGUAGCUGAUAAAUGGAUAUUCUCGCUACCGUACCAGAUAAGUUGGUUAUAUUUUUAUUUCUCAUAAGGGUAGUUGGCCUUUAAGGAUUGGUCGUCAGACAAGCAUAUUUGGGCGCCCGAAAAACAUUUGUGAAAGUUGCGUGAGCAUGCCAACUGUUUUGGAUCCUAUAUUUAUAUGAAAAAUGGUUUAUGUUAUGCAUAUUAUUUUCAUUGUUUUUCCUUAACACUAUUAUGUUAUUUCGCUGUCUAUUUUCAAACUUGGUCAGGAGCCCCCAACUGAGAAGAUGAAUGUAUGUAAUGCUUACCCCUACUUUUCCAUAUAGAUUACAAUCCUUAAGAGUCACUUGGUGUUAUUCCUGGACGUGUUAACACUUUGGUUCUUGUACCUCAUCAUCUCUGACAGGUCAUGAUUUCCUUUCCUAAGAGGUAAGGGUGCUUCUUGUUCAUUUCCUACCUCUGUAUAAAUUUUGGAUGGGUUAGUGUGUAUUUAAUCUUUAUGGUUUGUAAAAUAACUUUAUGAGGUUACUAGUACUCUUCCUUGACCUCUAGGGUUAGUUUCUAAUCAAUAAAGUUUGUAUAAUGUUUUAUUCAUUUUUCUGUUGUUAUUAACAACUUUGAUCCAACCCAUUUUAUUUAAUUAAAACAGCUUAGUGUAUUUUUGGGAAUCUUGGGAGUGUAACCCUCAAACAUAGGUGUUAUAUUUUCGGGAUCCUCAAGGUAUGUGAUGCUGUCACGUGUCUCGAUUUUGAGGUGUGACAUGAACUUUCGGCCUUAGACCCACACUCGAAUCCCCUUCAUUGUCCCUAUAUCUAAAAUUUUCAUCAUUGCUUGACUUGCCCCCGCGCUUACUUGAACGACCCCUCCCUCCGAUCCUUGCCACAAGACCUUCACUUUGAGAGCAUUCUUCGAAACGUUGAACCAUUCGGUGAUGCGUCAGGAUUUCUUCCAUCACUUCUUCAUUCUUUAGAGUUCUCUUACCGAACAUCAGCGUAGUGCAGAAGUGCUUAUAAGACGGAGGCACGGAUGUCAACAACAUCACGGCCUUGUCUUCCGACUUAUAAACUUCAUCCAACCUUUGCAAAUCUUCAAUACACCUAUUAAAGGAGCUAAGAUGCUUCAUCAUGUUUGCGUCCUUCUCUAUCUUUAGAGAGUGAAGCUCAUCCUUUAAGAAAAGCUUGUUGGACAACGAUUUUAAAGCAAACUCCUCUUCAAUUUUCUCCCAAGUCUACUUCACGAUGUCUUCCAUCGAAUUACACAACAUGUUAUCUGUGAGAUGAUGUUCGAUGAAUCUUUUAGCAAGCUCGUCUAAGUUUUCCCACUCCGCAUUUAUUAUGGUUUCCGACUUUUUUUCUUUGCUUGCCAAGACUACGCUAAGUCCUUGCUGCUUAAGGACGUAUUUCAUUCUUUUUUACCAAAAUGUGAAGUUCUCCUUGCAAGUAAACGGCUUCAACUCGACCUUCACACUAGCCACCGGUUGUGGAGUCUUCAUGUCGCCCUCCAUCAUCGACACACCUCCACUCUUAAAAUUGUAAAAGCACUUGAGCAAAACCAAUACAUGAUGCCGACCUAGGCUAUUAAUACCACUUGUUGUACCAACAAGCCCAAUAGGAGUCCACUACCUAUUCAAACCAUGCACUAACAUUGUCCCCACCUUAACCCGCUUAUUCACAACACCUGCACUUUUCAAGAGUGAGCCCCCGCAACUCCACCUCUUCCGAAAAGGCUUUUCUUGAGCCUUGCUAAGAGGGCUUACUCCACCUACACCUAGGAUUGUCUUGAUCCUUGCUCCACUAGCAUACUCCACCUUUCUCUGCCAGUCCAAGAAUUUUUUACUUGAGUCGCCUUCUUGAACUUGUCAAUGGAUCCACCUUGAACAAAGUGUGUCUUAGCCAAACCAAGUUCUAAUAACAAUUGUUGUACUAAUAGGCCCGAUAAGAGUCUACUGCCCGUCUAAACCACGCACUCAUAUUGUCCCCACCUUAACCACCUGGAUCCAAUCCUUAGGUUGGGUUAGGCCCAAUGGACCUCUAGGUAUGGGGGUUUAUCACAAAAGACCUCAGUGCAAUUAAGAGUGGACUAGCUAUAUUUAAACUGUAGAUUAUUGUUGUAUUGUCAGUCAUUUUUAUACAUGAUUUAUUAUGUGAUUCACCCAAUAUUUUGAGUUAGUUCUUAAUAUUUUAUUAUUUUUUACUUCCUUUUUGUGUUUUUAUAGAUUUUACUUUGAUUGAAAUGAAUGUGAGCUAAAAGUGCGUUAUUGAAUAUAAAAUAUGUUUUUACUCAUUUUCGUAGGCCAAUUUCUUGAUCGUGGAUCAUCAUGAUCUAGUGCUUGGAUGCAGUGAAGUUCUUCUUAAAACUUGUUCCAAUAGGUAUCGACCAUAACAUAUAUGAAAUUUAGCUCCAUUGAACAAGUAUAACCUCCCCAACUGAUCCAGUAUUGAUGUUAACUCUGGAAAUUUGUUUUGGGCCAGUUUUACCUUCACUUGAUGUCAUCUUAUUUUUACUUGUUACCAUACCAUUUGGUAACAAUAAUUUACCUUGUUGAAAUGGGAUUUGCGGAGACAAAAGGGAGCCUCUUAAUGAAUUUAAAAAUCAAAUCCCAUGAUGGCAAGAAGACAAGGAGGAGACAAUAGUCAAAGACUUUAGGUAAAAGGUGUAUCUUUAUAUGCAAAUGUGAGUUGACAAGGAUUGAAGACAACAACACAUGGAGGUAGAAAGGAAAAUCAAUGGAAGUCAGCCACACCAAAAGAGAGGAAGAAGCGUCGAACAUACAAUAAGAAAGGAAAAGAAGAUGAUAAAGAAAUGCAUUGGUGGGCUACUUGCUUGAUUAUUUUAAGAUUGAUUGAUCCCUUCCUUUUGCUAUAAUAGGGCAAGCACGGUAGAUGGAAGGGUGUGCAAUUCUUAGGCACCAAAGAGAGUAGAGGUGUUAGGCACCAAAUAGGGGAGAAUGGCAUGAUAAUUGGAGAGAACCUUGGGGAGCCAUGAGGCAAGGAUCCAAGGGGUUGAUAAUGCAAUUCUGUUUCUCCUCCUUGUUUUUGUUUCUUUCAUUUGAUUUUUUUUCUUGUAUUUUUUUAGUUUCAAUUUAACUUCUUCUUUUUCUAGGGCUUAGGUUGAAGCCCUAAAUAUAAUUACUCUUGUUUUGAUGCUUUGAGUUUUUGAAUUUCUAGAUUUUUUUUUAUGAAUUCCCUUUCACUAAAUUAAUCAUAUGCUAUGUGUUUGCUUUCUUUGAUUGCUCACCUUAGGUUGUAUGCAUCUAGCUAUAGUUGAGAAGUUGUGUAAGAUACCCAAGAACACAUAUUCAAAUUAGCUACAAGUGAUUGAAUCAUUUUUAAGUGAUCUUUAUGUGAAUUAGUUUCUUGAAUGACUAAGGUAAACACCAUGUUAUUAGGGUUCUUGUGAUAUUCAUAUUCUCUUCAAUCUCAAUGGGUUUCCUGAUAUGGUUGAAUCAAAGUACUAAUCACACCUAUAUCAAGUGUAUGGGAAGCAUGAGUAUUGUAGCACUAGACAUGCACCUUACUUAUUUUAGAGAGAAUCAAUGCGCCUAAAGCCACUAAACCUGGUCUUGAUUGCGAACAUCGUCAUCAAUGUGUAUAGAGUUCUUUUGCUUUGUGUUCACCCGUUUUGAUUUUUAUCAUGUGAUGGUAGGGUAAAGUUCCCUAUUGGCUUAUCAACCAUUAGUGGUCAACAAGUCAACUUUCUUUUGUGUGUGAGCGUGUCACUACUAGCAGUUCAAAACCCUAGCAGACUUCUUAAACAUAGAUAACUUGCGCCCCAAGUUAUUUAACUUCUAAAUAAGCAAUUGUGAAUUUGGGUAAGGAAUAUCUCCCAAGUAAGUUCUUUUCUUUGCCUCAGAAUUGUGAGGACUUUAUAAUUUUUCACAGUCUGGAGAGGGCAAAAGUGGUUGGAUUAAUGAUCACUAAGCUGGAGCUGCGCUAUGGUGCCUGUUCUGCUUGACCAAUGCUCUUUUUUUAAUUUGUUGAGGUUUUCAUAUUUGUGAAAAACCCUGACUCUACUUGACUUGGCUUUAUGCUGAACCAAAUUUGUAACGAGAGAAAUUUCGCUUUGUAGAACUAUUUCUCUGAACUGAACUGAAAUCAGAAAUUUUGUAUUAUAGCUGACUUAUUUCUUGUGGCUCAAUAAGCUUUGGUUGGUUCAGUGUUUGAAGGCUUGUGAGAUCAAAUGAUCAUUUUGAGUUUGUCAAUUGUGACAUUGAGAGUUUUGUUCUUGAUUGAUUUUAUUGGUUGUCCUUUGAUCUGUUCACCUCCUCUCAUAUUUAUAGAAAAUACUGGAGUGGGGCUUCUAAUCUUUUAAUAAUGUGCGGCAUAUUUUCCAAAAGAAAGAUCUUUUUAUUUUUAAAUGCCAAGAAAGGGGAAGUUUAUAUGUUCUAGCAGAAAAAGCCAUCAACAUUCAGUUCUUAUGGUGAUCACUUCUCUGCUUUUCCUAAAAGAAAACCUAAUCCCUUUUUAACUUUUAACUGCCAUUUGUAAGAGUGCAAUCCUACCGUGAUGGUUAGUUUGCUUUUCCUGAUGAACAACUCCCUACUCCCCACUUAUCUCUUUAGAAAAUGUAGUCUGCUUAUCCCUUGGAAAUGACACCUGCUCUGAUGUAGAAUUUUUUUGUAUAUAGAAAAGGGAUUUUGAUCUUUUGGCUGCAAAGAUUUUCAUAGAAGUCUUUCUUUUAUACCUGCCUUCGUUAACUCCCUAUCAACUCUUCUGAGAUAGUUGAACUUUUUUACUUUUCAAAGACAGGUAGUCACGUGAGGGUUUUUUUUUAAGAAAAGAUCUGCUAACUUGUCUUUUUGGGGUAGAGAUCAAAGUGGUGUGAAAAAGAGUUGUGCUAGCUUCUUUUAUUCUCUGUAGAUAAAGAGCCCAAAAUGUUUUGUUCAUGGGCCUUUAUGAUAAAAAUGGGCUGGGCGUGUUGAGAAUUGGCCCAAACUAAAGGUAAACUUCAGUGGCUGCCAAAAAUUGACAUGGGCUUUUUGAUUUUGUUUUUCAUGUUUGUUAAUCUUCUUAGUUAGCAUUUCUUUUCAUAGGUGUCUCUAGAAUUUAGUUUUUCAAUUCAAACCCCUCAUUUGUGUUGUUUGUUUAAAGUGUGAUUUUAGCCUUAGAGUUGUGUGACUUUGUAAUUGUGUUUUUCUUUCUAUUUCUUUUCUAAUUUCAACUAGGAAAUCGAAUGGAAUUAAGAGAUCCAAUAUAUGUGGCAUCAACCUCGCACUUACAUAAGCUUACUACUAAUGGUUCGUGCACUUACAGGUAUAAUGUGUAUUCGAAAUAAUCUAUAUUUUGUAGGUUGUCUAAAACAUCACAACAUAUAUUUUUUGAUGUGGAACUUACACAUUAUGGCUUGUAUCGAGCCAUCUACACUAACAGGCCCCACAUAAAAAAAAUUCAUAUUGAUGAUGAGUGACAAUGCUAAUGCAGAAAUUAGAACAAUAUACCUCCUCACAACUAGUUCUUCAAUAUUUAUUGGUAAAUAAUUAGAACAAUAUGCCUCGUCUCAACUAGUUCUUCAUUAUUUAUUGGUAAAUAAUGUAGACGUUCUUGCUUUUCUUAGCCUAUUUUAAUAUCAAUUAUUUAUUGGAAAUAUUUUGAUUAUGUACGAGGAGGGAGUCAAAUCAUGGACCUAUGCUAACUUUGACAUUUUUCAUUAUUUACUGGCGAAGAAUGUAGUUGUUCUUGUUUUUCCGAGCCUAUAAAGCCCACUAUUUAUUGGAAUUUCUUUUGGUUUAUGUAGGGGAGCUGAAUCCUAGACCUAUGCUAAUCUUGACCCUAAACCCAUUUUUAAUUUAAAAUUAAAUACUAACUAGUACAGGAGUCAAUACAAGUAUUACAAAAAUUGGUCAUGAUGAACUUUGCACUAAGGUUGGUUUUAAUAUUGUACUUGCCAAUAAAUGUGAGCCAACUUGUUUGGUACGACUGACUAUUGGGAAUUGGUUAUUAGGUCCAAAGAGUUUAUUUUUCGUUUUUGCUACUUUAAAAUCGUACUCUUUGUUAGCCCUCAAGGCAUAAAACAAGGGGCAUUACCGCAAGCACAGAAACAAAACAAAAACAAAAAAAAAACAUUUAUUUUGAAACAUACGGUACGUGCACAAGCUGCUUACAAACUAGACAUGGAUCAAACCAGCUCGGCAUGCAAACAUACGACUUCAACUCGUCUUAUUUAUUCGGCCACCAGAUUAUGACUCAUAAUUAAGGAAAAC